This 105806-nucleotide long non-coding RNA is filed under the name Medicago truncatula (barrel medic). Its description in RNAcentral is "long non-coding RNA (MTRU_LNC005185)". The stretch from base 93073 to 93152 matches the Rfam family "MIR5269 microRNA precursor family". The record is from RNAcentral. Lineage: Eukaryota; Viridiplantae; Streptophyta; Magnoliopsida; Fabales; Fabaceae.
AUAAAAAAAAAUGGUCACACAUCUGAAUUAAAAGUUCCAAGUCAAAAGGCAAACAAGUUAACAAGAUUAUCCCAUCUGAUCAGACAGCCAUACAAUGGAUGCAUGCCAAACAUUGGAGUCUUAAAUAACAUAAAGUUAAGUAAAAGAAUACCUGAUGACUUGAACUUGAGCUUUUAUUAUCAAAUUCUCAGAAGAGUCAACAAAUCCGUCAUUAACCUUUGACAGCUCCAUAAACUUUUUCCAUCCCCAGUCAUGCUCCUUCUUCCAAAAUCGGUGCAAUGUAUCUGAAAAACUCAACAAAAAAUGAGUAAUGAUGAUAGAAAAAAUUGUAAUCUCCAGUACGUAUGCCACUUAUUAGCAAACGUACCAGAAUAUUUUGACUUCUUUGGGUCUUUAUUGACCACGGCUAUUGUAAACUGUGCAAAGUGACUCCAUCCUGUACCAUCCCAAAAAGAAAAGGAAAAAUAAGCCAAAUACUAUGGAACAAACUUUAGUAAGUAAAACUAACAAUUAUUAAUUUAAACUCAAGGAAAUAAAAAUCAUUGGUUUUACCUGGAAGAAGUUUGUCAUGAUUAGCUACACACAGAAACAGCGAGAGAUGAUUGCAAACGUCACAUCCUUGUGGAUAAAUUAAAAUAUACCUGCCAAUAACCAAAGAAAGAUUCUGUUGAAAAUCAAAACAUAAUUUGGCCUGUGGUGCUUUGAUAGAAUUAAUACUACACGAUCACAGAUCACAUAAAGUUGUUUCCCUGAUAUGUACAUUAUGUCUUGCUCUUUACCCUGUCAUUUGUAAUCAUGACAUGUACAUUUCUUGUUCAUCCUUUUAGGUCAAUACUUAGAAGUGGAACUGAAGAGGCCAGUUUUUAAAAGCCAAUGUGUGAUACAGGCCAGUUUCUAAAUUUUAAGUCAACGUGUGAUUUGUGCCAAUGAUAUUAUGAAUUUGGUUGGAGCAUAAACCCUGUAUCUUGAAGGAUAUUUUGUUGUCUUAGAAGCUGAUAUGGAAUUAGACGAUUGACUUCUAAACGGUGCAAAGCAUGCAAUCUUUCUUAAAGGGUGUUGACAAAUAUACAGAAGGAUUGUGCAAAUGUGCUCAACUUAUAAUUCUCUUCCUUUCCUUUUUUUCCAUUGUUCCCAUAGAGGAUCUCAAUCGUCCAAAUUCACCGUGCUUUCCUUGAUUAAAUGAAUAAUUUAAUUUAUUAUUUAUUUAAUGCCUUAGUAAAUCAGGACAUCUCGGAGAUAUAAUCUACAAAAAAUUACAGUACACCGACAUUUUAUCAAAACUCAAGGUAAAACUGCUGUGAUGAAUGACUCGGGAUAAUACAAGCAUAACAACACAUUCCUGCAUAUAAAUAGUUCUAAAAGAGUAAAACUGUAAGUCAGAGUGAAACUACACGUUUCUAUAAGUUUAUCUAGACCCUCAUACCAUUUGUAGCCUCCAACCUCAAAUGCAUUACUGCGAAGUUCCCUUUUGGUAAUCUGGUUAAACUUUUCUAUCUUCCAUGUAUAUUUCCCAUAUAACUCAGAAGGUUUUUGUCCUACGAAGAGAAGAAGAAGUAAGAUUUUUACAAUUUUUUAUGGAAAAAUAUUGGCAAUCAACCACCACCCAUCAUGAAAGGAUCAAGAAUCAGCUCAAGCUAAAUUUAAAAAAAUAAAAAUAAAAAAUAAAAAAAAUCAUUUAGAAGAGAAUUUAAUCUAACUGUUCAGGAACAAGACACAACUUCCUGCUGAAUUCCCCCACUCUAGCCUAGAAAAGGUUCUUUUAAGAAAAUUGGCAGAAGGUACAUUUGGUACAACAGUUCAAGUUGUUGCCAAGUGAGUGACGUGACUAAGAUGAUGUGGGUUCAAAUUUGUAGACUCGGAUUCUCUACAAAUGUUUCCCUUUAAGAUAGGAACUUUAAAGCACCAGAGUACCUUUUAUGGCAAUCGGCACAAUAGAAUUACCCAUCUUAUUCGUAUAACUUGCCUUCAUACACUGUAAAAGUUGAAACAUAAUUACAUCCAUAUUCCAUUCUGCCACUAUAAACAGUCUGAGAAAUUUGAUGAUCUAUUAACCUCACUAGAAAUCUUAUAAAUUGGAAACUGAGACAAAUAAAAGUGUAUCCAAGUAAUAAAAACAGGAUGUAUAUAUUAAGAUGAGUUGAUCAAAGGUAGUCAAAAUAAGAUUUUACGCAAGAUCGGAAAGGAGAUGUUAAAUCGUAAAUCAUGCAACUGUAAGAUCAUACAAAAUUCAUAAAUCUCAAAUAUAUGCAUAUAAAUUCAUUCAUAUAUAUGCUUAUAAAAUAGCAUAACUAAAACAAAAGAAAACUUAAAUCACACUUGAAAUACUUGUGUAAAUUUAAAUUCAUAAGCAUAGCUCAAAUAAUAGCAUAGUGCAUAACCCUUACAAAUUAAAACUUAAAACACUUAGUAUGUAAUAAAACACAAUCACAGAACAACAGUAUAGCACUUGAAAUACUUAUCUAAUUAAAACACUAAAUCAAACUCAUAAGUCUCAAACGAAACAACAACUAAAGUUGCCUUCUGUAGUUCCAAAACCGCGACCAUAAUCGUAGAAUCGUUUCAAAGUAAUGUAGAUUAUGCAGGAUUCCACCAAAAUAAGAUUUUGCGACUCAUAAUCGCUGAGGGAAAGUAUAAUCCCAAAAUCGCCAAAUAUUGUCACACAGCACAACAUCUAAUAUAGAAGUAUGCUUUAUGCCAAAAUUACCAUCCCUAUACCUCACUUAGAAAAACACACACAUACACGCAAUAAAACAACAAAAAUUCAGUAGAAUUGUAUAAGCGAAAAAAGGAAAAGAAAAAAAAAAAAAUUGACUUUACCACCGUCGUCUUCGUCGGUGUCCCAAUAAGGGGGAGAAGUAGACGCGAUUCCAUUCUCCACCUGCUCAGAAGACCUCCAUUCCGCCAAUGCUUCCCCGGUAGAAUGCUGCCCACGUGAAUUUCCCACUCCAGACUCCUCACUCAACACUCCAGCCAUUCCCUAAUCAAGAAAUAUUUCAGUAAUCACUUGUACAAAGCCUAAAUCAUCCCUUAAACCCAAAAUUAAUUAUAAAAAUAAAGCAACAAUUUUUAGUGUAUACUUCUCAAAAAUCCUAUAAAAUUGAAUUCAACACACCAAAAUGAAAUAACAAUAAUUCUAAUUCUAAGCUAUCAGUUCCAAUGAAAAUUUCAUAAAUGUUAACUUCCCAAUUUCAAUUCACUGGCAAUGAAACUAAAACUAAAAACCAAAUUCAUAAACAAAAACCCUAAAUUCAAAACAGAUAAUGAAAUUAAAAUCAAACAAAUUGAAACAAGAUAACCAACCAAGAACAACAAAAUUGAAGAACAGGCUCGUGAAUCCAAAUUACAAAAAAAAAAAAAACAGAAUUCAAAAACACAAUCAACAAUGAAUACAAGAAGAUCAUUGGCAGUAAUUACCAAAAAAAUAAAAAAUUGAAAUCGAAAAAAUGGCGCAGAAGAAAAACGGUUGAAGAUGAAGAGGAAGAAGAUGAAAGUGGAUCGAAUAGGAGAAGAAGAUGAACCUGGAAUCGUGAAAGAGGAGCGGUUGUGAAAAGGGUAGAAUCGAAACUGUGAAAUUUUAGAGAGAGAAAGAGAGAGAAGUGAAGGAGAGAGAAAGAGCAGCAACACAAGAAGAGAGCAAAGGCAUAACCCAACACAACUAUUUUUUUCUUUUCUUCUUUUUGUUUUAAUAAUUUUAAUACAAGAAAGUUUCCUUUUCAAUUUUAUUUUAUUUUAUUUCAAUCAAAUAUAGAUUUUAAUUUCAAUUAUAUAUUUUUACGUUGGACUUGCGACUUAUGAUGGUUCCAAGGGCAUGCAUAUAUGCAAGUUUUAUAACUCGAGAAUUUACCUCAACUCGUUUUGUCUAAGUAAAUUCGACUCGUACACUCGACUCGAGAAUUCGUACGAAUUUACCUAAAAUAAAAAUUAAUAUAAAAUUUAUUAUAUGCAAGAUAUAUAUAAGCUAAUAUAAUAUCGUAAAUAGGUCAAUAGUACAAAAUAUGACUUAAUUACAAAGGCAAAUUAUACCAAACUACCAUAAUAAAACGUUAUGCUAAACUUAGCAUCAAAAUACAAAAAUUAACGCACAAAAUCAUAUGUUUCAUAAGUCUUCCAUCCAUUUUUUUUUUAUAAAAUAAGUCUUCCAUCCAUAAAACCAUCCAAAAAACCAAGUUUUACAAGUUCAAAAAAUUGUUAAUAAAACUAUCUAAAAAAUAAACUAGUUAAUUUCUUCAAAUGGUCAACAAACACCACCCCCGCAACCCUAACCGAUGUCGCAAUCACCGGCGUCGAAAUCUGAAUUUUCACCGUCGGAAUCGCAACCCUAACUGAUAUGUGCUCCCUUGUUCAUGGUUUGAGAACUCAGAGAAGAAAGAAAAAGAAAUGUUUCAUUUCAGGAACAUGUUAACGUAAAUGUAAUUAUUCAGUAACGUUUCAGUCUUUGGGUUUGUAGAAAAGGAAUUGGGUUUUGAAAAAAAUGGACCCAAAAAAAGGGCCAAUUUUUUUUUUUUAGAAGUAAACUCGAUCGAGUUUACACGAGUUUAGUGAGUGUUAACUCGGUCAAACUCGUUAAGCCUCCCGAUUUUACUAGAAACCGAGUUUACCUCAGAGUUAACACGAUUUUGGUACCUAAAAACGUAAACUCAGAGUGUUAACACUCGAUUUGCGGAACAUUGCAUAUAUGUUAGCGGCUUCUUAUAUCAUAUGGGGCAUUCUACUUUAGUUGUAGAAAAGUUGUAGGGUUGUGUACAUUGUUUGAGAAUGGCUAGUAGAUUGGGUUCACCCUCAUCGUUGUUGAUAUGUGAGUAUAUAUCGCACGUAGAGUACAACAUUGGGCGAGUUCGGGCCCAAAAUGACUCACUCAAGAAAAUUGAAAGUGAAAAACUCUAACUCACUUCCGACCGUUGUAGACUUUGAUUUUUUGUCCAGUCAUAGUUUAUACGGGUAUUAGUUUGAUCUGAUAAUCAUGUGAAUAGAAGAAAGACACGCAUAGGGAGAGACUUCUUAUGAAUUACAUACAAUAUAUAUAAUAAUAGAAAGAAAAAAAAUAUUUGCAUUGUAAAUUAAUUAGGUCAGUGGUCACCAUUAGAUUGUCUACUCAAUUUGAUUUUGCAACAUUGCAGUUCAUCUUAUGUUUGAAUGAAUUACAAUUUAUUUUUUAAAAAAGAAACGAUCAUGCUUAAAGGUGACUUGAAUCGCCUAUCUUUUUUCAAGUUUUAGGAUGUCAAUUAGAAUUAGAAUGAAGUGAUUUGAAUCAUCUAGCUAUGUGAUUCGAAUCACCUAAGAAAUUUUAGGUCUUAAACUUCAAUUAGAGAGUUAAAAUUCAAAUCAAACUAUUAAUGUGAUAUGAAUCGCAUUGGUUAAGAAUGUUGAUUCAAAUCAACAUACUAAUGUAAUCUUAAUCAUGCAUGUGAUUUUUCAGAUUUUUAAUACAUUAAAUUAUUUUUCUGGUACUGAUUCAUAUCUAAACCUCACCCAUUGCCACAUGAACAUCUAAACAUUCAUUUCACUCUAAAAUCCAUCAUUGUGAGGUUCAAUUUAAUCUUCUUGAUCACAAACUUUGAGUGAGAUUCUUAUAAGUUUAGAUAGGGAUUCUUUGUACAUUAGUGUUUCAAUGAAAUAUAUUAAGGAUUGCUCAAUCUUUUAUAGAUCUGAAGGAAACAGAGUACAUCCUUUUCACCUAAAUUGAGAAUUUAGGGUUUUAAGAUUUUUUAUCGUUCAUGAUGUAAAAGGUCAAUUAAAUUAAGGAUUGAAGAUUCAAAUCGAAGACUUCAGAUUGAAAUUGGACAGAUUCAAGGUGAAGAUCGAGGUCCAAAUUUUGAAGGGUUUCAAGAUUUGAGUAUUUCAAGAUUUAAUGGGAAUUAAAGACAAUUUGAGGGCUCAAAGAGUUAUUGUUGUGAACAUUAAUUCAAAAAAAUUUAAUAUUGUAAAUGAAAGAAACACUCACAAGUUGUGAGAGGACAUGAUUAGGUCACAAGGCAAGGAAAAAUGUGACCAAACUAGUAUGAUCUCGUGUCUUUCAUUCUAACUCUUAAUCUCUCUAAGAAAAUAUUAUAAAUCUUUUAAACCCUCCCUUCUAGAUUUUAGAUGGGGCACAAAGCAUAAGAAGAUGGACUAUUCAAGAAGAUUCAUCCCUCGUGGAUUGAUUAUAUUGAAAUUGUGAGAUCAAGCACAUUUACUGAGAAGCUAGUCGUUGCGUUGAUUGUAUUGCAAAUCUUGAACAUGGUGGCGAGCUUGAUUUUAUAGAGUUUCAUACCCCGUUCUUCUUUAUUUUUAUUAGAUUCUGGUAAUUGUAAAAGGAUCUUCUUCUUCCCUCAUCUUGUUUCUUAGUUUUCGUAUGUGAUAUCAUUUUCUUAUUAAAAAAAUGUUUAGACAUUACAUCCUCAAAAUCUCUGUUGCGUUUGAGUAUCUUUCAGAAUUCAAUAAUGAAAAUUUUAAGCAAGAGUGUUACUACUUCUUUUUCAACUUGAGAUAUUAGUCUCUUGAAUUAUCCGAAAAAACUAAUAUAUAGUUUAGUUUACUUUAACUUCCGAAACUUAUUUGAAAAUGUAUACAUAUAAGCACAUUUGUGGAUAUUUUAGGAAAUAAUCUUACUAUAUUUUUUUUCACAAAUUAUUAUGAUUUUUUUUUGGGACAAAUUAUGAACAUAAAUUUGAAAGGGGGAAAUAAUCUUAUUAUAAUUACACAAUGGUAUAAUACCAUAGAAAUAUAUACAAUUAAAAUCUUAUGUAUGAAAGUCUUUCCUGCUUAGUUAACUGAAUUUGAAGGAACUUGAAUGCAUAUCACGACGACGCCUCUUUUUGAUAAGAGACCUGGAUUAAAUACUCAUUUGUUGACCUCCAAGAUUAUUUUCUACUUGACAUAAUGAUAAUCAUUCAUUUCAGUAUUAUACAUACUGUUGACUUGGAAAGAAAAAAAUAAUUGAGUACAUAAAGUCUUUGACUUAGUUGGUCCCGAAAUGGUGUGACUCUUGGUCUUGGAUCCUCUACUGCUUCUCUUCAUAAGCAAAGAAAGAAAGAAAAAAAAUAGUUCCUCUCUCUCGUCUUAGUUGAAACAAAAAUAAAAUGUAAUCUCUCUAAAGCAUGCAUUUUCAUUACUACCUAGAACAAUGUAAUUUAUAAACUUGAUGACUACUGUGAAAUCUGCAUAUAUAAUUUUGUAUGAAUUCGCUCAUUGAUUCAUCUCCUCCUCACAAAUCAUGUUGAAUGGAGCAGUAUGUGUAGCUAGUGGUGAUAAUUGGGUGACUUGCGAUAUGCAUAUGCACAUAUUUUACUGACAUGUUCUUUGAUUUAUUUGGCAGAUUAUCAUAUCCAUUCAUAUGCACGUAUUUUACUGAUAUGCAUAUGCACAUAUUUUAUGUGGAAAAAGCGAAACAUAAAAUUGUGGCAAGGCGAUGACAACCUCUCCUUAGAUCAUUGUCACGCGAGCAAAGGAUAUUACGAACGAAUGAGGUUGUAUGCAAAGAGCAAAACUUCCAAUAUCCACGGUACAAAUCACUCUUGUGCAUGGGCCAAACCUCAUCACAGUAAAGUGUAAUGUUGAUUGUGCCACCUUUAACAAAGCACAAUCAUGAGUUAUGGAAUGUUCUUUGGAGACUAUAUGGGGCUUUUCUUUCUGGAAAAUAAUGUUGGAUGCAAUACAAGGCAACUGCCAUGGAAGUUGUAGCUAUUGGUCUCCUUGAAUCCAUCAUAGUGGCUAUUAAUAAGGGAUUACAAUCUAUGGUGUUCGAAACAGAAUGUAAGCCGGUCGCUGAGUCCCUAAUAGAUAGUGUAACUUAUCUUACUAUAUUUGUUAAAAUCAAAUACAUAAACAUAACAUAAAUGAGAAUAUCAAAAUCAUAAAAUACUUGCAAAUAACUUUGCAAGCAUCAAAAUAACCAAAGUUUCAGGGCUUAAAAUUGCAUAAAAUGCUUGCAAGCAUAAAAAAGAAAUAACCAAAGUACAAGGUCCUAAAUUAACUAAAGUCACAGCUCACAAAAUAACAAGGUUCAAGAGCCUAAAUGCAUCAAAAUCAUAAGUUAGGCUCACCAAGAGCCUAAGUUCCAUUUACAAAAUAUCAAAGUCAAGAACCUAAAUUCAAAAUAUCUAAGUCAAGGCUCUUCAUUAAUUUUCCACCAACCUGCAAUAAAAAAAAGUAUGUGAAAAACUAACAAUUGUAACAAACAUUAUGCAUUAGCCUUAUAGAAUUAUAAAUGCCUAAAAUCAUAAUAUUAACAAGUCAAACAAUUGCAUUUCAGUCUGAUAAAUAGUCAACGAAACACAAUUAACAAGAGAACAAGAUAAUGCAUUAGCAUUUAGCAUUUGUGAAAUCAAAUUGUAACACAACCUGCUUUUUCUUUGACUUCUUUUUCCUCUCAUUUGCUCCACGUUUUGUUUUCUGAUCAUUUUCAGCUUUCCAUGAUGCCUCUUCUUCUUCACGGAUGAGUUCUUCUUGUCUCUUUAGAGCAACUGCUUCCUGAUAAGCAACUUCAAUUUUGUUGCUGCAUAUAUACAUGAAAUUAGGAAUUAGGAUUUCUAACUACAUGCAUUUAAAUUUAAUACAUAAAUGUAAAGAGCACAAAUAAAUAAAAAGUGUGGUACAGAUGCAGUGAACCCAUGUACUGAAAUCACAUAGGAGCCAAAUAGAAUUUGACAAUCUCUUGAAAUACAUCUGAAAUCACAUAGGAGCUAUCCUUGUACUGAUCAUCUCUUACAAACUGGAAACCGCCAAAACCAUAACCGCAACAAAACCAACUGAUUAAAUUAGUGGAGUCUACUCCCAAGUAAUUUUAGCGAAUAAACGGUGCACAGACAGAGAGACAAAAUCCGGGAGUGUAUAAACAAUUAGUUAAGUUGAGAAAUGCAGAGAAUGAAACUAAAUAUUGUGUAUGAUACCUGAAUAUAUAGUUAAGGACAAAUAUUUCCAAAGUCAUGCGCCCUAAUUCUGUGAGACACCUUUCAUCAUGCUCAAUACAAUCUUUGUCGAAAUCCUCCCCAGAGUGUCCAUUCUGCAAGAACAUGGGAAACAGGUCCUUAGCAAUCAAAAGGAUUUCAGAGCCCUUUUGGCACUUCCUUGUUACCGAAGAUACCAUUUCAGAUACCUAAUAUAUGCUUCAAAUACGAGCAGGAUAGGUUUGUUUCUUUCUAAAUUAUACAUGUAAAAAUGUACACUAUCAUUAAUUAACAUCUACGAGAUAUGGUAAAGAAAAAAAGGAAACACGGCCUAAAAUGAAUUCAGUUGGAAAGGGAAUAUUUCAGUUAGUGGUGAGCAAAUACUAAAAAAUUCAAUAUCAAGCUAUCAAGCAUGUGCAACUUUAGAAUAAACUAAUCCAUAUUUGAACCCAUCACAUUUCAAUUGGCUCAAUGCUCAACCAUAUCAACAUCUUUUAACUGUCAUCAAGUAAAUCCUUAGUUGCUUUAACAAAUAUUAUUCUAAAUCUUACCUUCGUACAAUUUUGGGGACCCUUUUCAUCUUUUGGAGGGAGCGGUUCUGUAGCAGCCCUUUCAAGAAGCAGUAAAACAUCAUCCACCAGUACAAACAUGUCAUUCUCAACGCGAACAAUAGGUGUUGGUAUUUUUUCAGAAUCCAACAAUUUUUUCCAUUCUUUUUUGCUAGUCUGACCCUCGAGAGCCUUCAAUCCACUAUACAAGGACUCCAUUACCAAAGUAGAGGUGAUAUCUUUCAUGAUAAAGAAGUGUUUCACUACUACUUUCAAAAUUACAUCUGUCUUCUCCCUAGAUAUGCGGCGCCUAGAUGUUUGAUCAAUUUUACUCCAGAAAGCAGAGAAACUGUAAAUGUUGCAAAUAACUGUUUGAUCAACUUAUAAAAUCAGACACCCACAAUUUGAAGGUCUGACAAUGGAUACUAUUACAUUAUAUUAAUUAAUUAAAUCAGGAAACAGUGUCGUUGUAAUAAAUAAGAAAUGGCAUUAUGAAAAUCAGAUUUAGUUUCAAAACUAGGCACAAACCAUGGGUAUUUAUAAUACAUCAAACCAUGGUCAACAAUUAGACGUAUUAAUGGAAUUCACCCACUUCUGUAUCUUUUCUUCUCAAAUUGACCAAACUUUUUCACCUUUAUCGAUGGAAGAUGAAGUAAAUCAACCCAAAAUAUAUUUUAAGGAAGAUGUGAGACACUUUAGCGCAAGAUGGUAAUUACAAAAUACAUCAUGUGUGACAUAAUAGACAAUGCAUAUAUGCCAGAAGUGAGACACCAAGCAUUAUCAAAGGAGAGCAUAUACCUCAACCACCUAGCUUUAUCCUCUAUCAACUUCCCAAGCUUGCUUCGUCUUUCCUCCACAAAACGCCGACAAAUUUGUUCUACAUUUGUCAAAUAUACCUUAACUAGUUCUCUCCUAUAUUGACAAUCAAGGCAACGGAAAGGCCUGUCUGGUUUCUCCCUGCAUCAGCAACCAAUAACAAAUAAAAUGUUCACACGUCUGAAUUAAAAAGGCAAACAAGAUGACAAGAUUAUCCCAUCUGAUCAAACAGUCAUAAAAUGGAUGGCAUGCCAAACUUUGGAGUCUUAAAUAACAUAAAUUUAAGUAUGGAAUACCUGAUGACUUGAACUUGAGCUUUUAUUAUCAAAUUGUCAGAAUAAUCGACAAAUCCGUCAUGCCCAUUCACCUUUGACAGCUCCAUAAACUUUUUCCAUCCCCGGUCAUGCUCCUUCUUCCAAAAUCGGUGCAAUGUAUCUGAAAAACUCAAGAACAAAUGAUGAGUAAUGAUGACAGAAGAAAUUGUAAUCUCCAGUAACUAAGCCAAUUAUUAGCCAACAUACCAGAAUAUUUUGAUUUCUUUGAGUCUUUAUUGAUAACGGCUAUUGUAAAUUGCGCAAAGUGACUCCAUCCUGUAUCAUCCCAAAAAGAAAAGGAAAAAUAAGCCAAAUACUAUGGAACAAACUUUAGUAAGUAAAACUAACAAUUAUUAAUUUAAACUCAAGGAAAAAAAUCAUUGAUUUUACCUGGAAGAAGUUUGUCAUGAUUAGCUACACACAGAAAUAGUGAGAGAUGAUCGCUAACGUCACAUCCUUGUGGAUAAAUUAAAAUAUACCUGCCAAUAACCAAAGAAAGAUUCUGUCGAAAAUCAAAACAUAAUUUGAACUGUGGUGCUUUGAUAGAAUUAAUACUACAGGAUCACAGAUCACAUAAAGUUGUUUCCCUGAUAUGUACAUUAUGUCUUGCUCUUUACCCUGUCAUUUGUAAUCAUGACAUGUACAUUUCUUGUUCAUCCUUUUAGGUCAAUACUUAGAAGUGGAACUGAAGAGGCCAGUUUUUAAAAGCCAAUGUGUGAUACAGGCCAGUUUCUAAAUUUUAAGUCAACGUGUGAUUUGUGCCAAUGAUAUUAUGAAUUUGGUUGGAGCAUAAACCCUGUAUCUUGAAGGAUAUUUUGUUAUCUUAGAAGCUCAUAUGGAAUUAGAUGAUUGACUUCUAAACGGUGCAAAGCAUGCAAUCUUUCUUAAAGGGUGUUGACAAAUAUACAGAAGGAUUGUGCAAAUGUGCUCAACUGAUAAUUCUCUUCCUUUCCUUUUUUUCCAUUGUUCCCAUGGAGGAUCUCAAUCGUCCAAAUUCAUCGUGCUUUCCUUGAUUAAAUGAAUAAUUUAAUUUAUUAUUUAUUUAAUGCCCUAGCAAAUCAGGACAUCUCAGAGAUAUAAUCUACAAAAAAUUACAGUACACCGACAUUUUAUCAAAACUCAAGGUAAAACUGCUGUCAUGAAUGACUCGGGAUAAUACAAGCAUAACAACACAUUCCUGCAUAUAAAUAGUUCUAAAAGAGUAAAACUGUAAGUCAGAGUGAAACUACACGUUUCUAUAAGUUUAUCUAGACCCUCAUACCAUUUGUAGCCUCCAACUUCAAAUGCAUUACUGCGAAGUUCCCUUUUGGUAAUCUGGUUAAACUUUUCUAUCUUCCAUGUAUAUUUCCCAUAUAACUCAGAAGGUUUUUGUUCUACGAAGAGAAGAAGAAGUAAGAUUUUUACAAUUUUUUUAUGGAAAUAUUGUCACACAAUCUAAUUCAAGUAUUCUUUAUACCACAAUUACCAUCCCUAUACCUCACCUAGAAAACUUUUAUUUUAUAGGCUAAGAGAUAGGCGAGGCAUCAAGGUGAGUCUGAAGCAUAAACACCCUCAUUCUAUGCCACCGAGAAAAUAUAUAUAUAUAAAUGGGGGGAAACCAAAAAAAAUAAGGAAAGCAAAGAAAAAAUGGCCCUAGAAGAGAAGGUGUUGCUCAACCGCCUUUGGCAGUCCACAAGAGUCUUUUCACAUAUGUGAUGUGUUAUCUUCAUGCAUAACAUAUCUCCUUUAAUUUCCAGUGUUGUGAAACCGCAACGAUGAUGAGUGGAUUGGUUACCAAUUGUCCAAAAUUCAACACAAAUCCAAUUGGCAACAAGAGUCAAGCAGCGCAAAAGUCCACGUAUUGAACAAAAUGGCAUUUGGAUCCAAACAAUACAAAUAAUACAUGAUACAAGGAGAAACUCAUCACAUUGAACAGUAAUUAGCAAACGGAAUUCAAUGGAUGAAAGAUGAAGCUGAACGGCGCAACACAAACCCUAGCAUCUAUUUCUCACCUAGAAAACACAAACACAUACAUGCAAUAAAACAACAACAAGAGUAGAAUUGGAUAAACAACAACACAUGCAUGCAAUAAAACAACACCAACACCAGUAGAAUUACACUAAGGAAAAAAUUGAAUAUACCACCAUCGUCUUCGUCCGUGUCGCGGUAAGGAGCCAAAGUAGGCGUGAUUUCAUUCUCAACCUGCUGCUGCACACGUGAAGUUCCCACUCCAGACUCCUCACUCAACACCCCAGCCAUUCCCUGAUCAAGAAAUAUUUCAGUAACAUUCUCACAUUGUAUCAUAUUUCAGUAAGAGAAAAAUGAUUAAGUAAAUGGAGGAGGUGAUUGAAUAGAAGGAGAAGAACCUGGAAUCAAACAGUAGCGGUUGUGAAAAGCAUAACCCUAAACAAAAUUAUUUUGUUUUUUAUUUUUUAUUUUAAAUUGUAAUAAUGAAAAUUUUCCUUUUUAAUUUUAUCUAUUUAUUGUAAUUGAAAGUUUAUUCGAAUUCGGCUCCGGAGUUCAUAAGAGUCAAACAGUUGUUAAGACUCAUCUGCGCGCUAACAGAUGUACCUACAAAAUCAGAUACUUGCAUUGACACCAUGAGUUAAAUUUAUCGACGGGUAAACGGAGCUACUUAUAUAUCACCUAUCUCAGGUUGGCACCGAGAGUUCAACUCACAAACCAACUCCUUAUCAACGGAUCAAUUUUCAUUGAAAGUUUUUUUUUUUGUGCCAUGUAUUUUAUUUUAGAGAUAUGCAGCUUCAAAGGUAUAUUAUAAAUUUUCAUUUCAAUUAUAUUUUACUUCCUCCGUUCCUUUUUAAGUAUCGUUUUAGGGUGAAUUUUUUGUUCUAUUUAACUGUCGUCUUGAUAUUUUAAGGGUACGAUUUGUCAAUUAUACUCUUUAUCAAUUACUCGUAUCUUUUUCUUUGUUUGGUUAAUCUUAUCUUUUUUAAUAAAACUAAUUAAUGAUAUAUAUUUGAAAAACUAAAGUUUAUUUUUUAAAAAACAAAAUUUGUUUCUUGUUAUCUUCAUAUUUAAACAAAUGUAAAGAGAUAAAUAUUGUACCAAUACCAUUGUUGCUCUUUUCUAUCUGCUCUACUAAGUUAUCUUCAUCCAGUGCGGAUCUAACAUUGGUUGAAGUCAUAGUUGAAACCUUAAUUUUGAUUAAAGGAGUUGGAGGAAAGUUAAUUUUUUCUUAACUUUUGAUUAAUGUGAAGUUGAAAUAAUUUUUAUAUUGACUUAAAUUAAUUAAAGAGAUGUGCAAUAUUUAAAAAAUUGACAAUUAUUUGUUAUGAGAGAGAGUGUGCAAAAAAAAAAAGAAUUUGUUGGAGAAAAAGAUAGUAAGUAACAAAUGUUUGUUAUGGUCUUAUGUUAUGGAAAAAAUAUAACAUAUUAAAUUUAUUGGAAAGAUAAAGUGUGUGCCAAAAAAAUAGAGAUAUAUUGGUGGAUUAAAUUGAGGAUAUAAUAGGAAGAAAAUGUGAAAAAAUAAAAUUUGCUAUUUUCGUGAAAAUUUUCUAAAACGACACUUAAAAAGGAAUGGAGGGAGUACUAUUUAACGAUUGGAUCUUUUGUAGCUUAACUUUCAGAACUCAAAUUUAGACAUGAGAGUACAGCAGAAAAAAAACAUAUCACCUAUUUUAUGAGGAUGAAAAAUGAACUUUGAUAUAUUUAUUGGGACUUAAAAACUUAAAUUUGUUGACUUCCAAGAGAUUUUUACUUUGAAGAACAAAAAAAUUAUCUAAUUGGUAAGAAUGUGUUGUGGUGAAAAUCUUUCUCUCCAACAAAUGAAUUCAGAAGAUCAAUCUAUGAUUUAAGUUAGAUCUUAUAGAAUUUUUAGCUGAUAAGUUUUAGAUCACAAGCGCACAAUUGGAUAAUGAAGAAAUUAUGGGCAUAAAACGUGAAAGAAUAAAUGCACAAGAAAGGGAAAAUAAAGGAACGAAGCCUACAAAAGAGAAAAAUCUAAUAAUAAAGAUGUGAUUGAGUUUCAUCCAUCAUUCUUUUAAAGUUAUGAGUAAAAAGUUAUCAUAUAUGAUAGCGGAUGUGUUAUCCCCUUAGGCGAAGUUUUAUCAAACGGAAAUGAUCUCAUUUGCAUUGUGUUUGAUUCUACAAUUUUUAAAAUUAGAAAAUAAACUAACUAACUAACUCUAUAUAUAUAUAUAUAUAUAUAUAUAUAUAUAUGUUGCUUGGAUGUCACAUGUCUACUAACGUUCCAAGAGUCUUUUUCUGCAAGGUUCUUCUUUGAAUUUAAAUCACCGGCGUUGAAAAGCUCAUAAUUGUUGCGUGGAAAACUUCUUGGAUACAAUUCAUAUGCAAUUUUUAGAAGUUGUGUAAUUUGAAUUCUUUGAGUAACUCUGGACGCUACUUCUUAAUAUCUUAUUCGAAAUAAUAUACUCUUCAAACUUUUGACUUGUUCUCGAUCUUCAAAGAUAUUGGACUUAGUUCGCUUAAAAUACUAUCAUUCAAAAUUUGCAUAUACAUGUGCCCUCUUCAUUUCUCUAGGCAAUAAUUGAGAAUAAUAUCUCAUUUCUCGUGCUCGUUCAAACCACUUGAGUGAUCAUUGUAGCAAUGUUUCUUCUAACCUCGAUAAGCUUUAAGAAAAUCAAAUGAUAGUCGAUAAUGCUAUCAACUUACCAAAAGAAGAACUUCGAAAGAGGAAGAAAUGGAAGCUAUUGCUGCAACCAAAUAUAUUCUCCAUGACAUUGAUAUGGAGUUUGUAGAGUCUUGUACAACCUAGUCUGAUCUUUUAUGAAAUUUGAAUUUUGCAGCGAGGGUUUGUGAUGUGGCUGGUAAGAAAAAUAAUAACUUGGAACAAACUUGGGCCAGAAUCCCAUCUCUUCCAAAUCUUUAGAUGUAUUUUCUUGUGUUAUGUUAAUAUUACCUUUUUUCUUUUUGGCAAAAAUGUAUUUCUGACCCCCCCAAAUUUUUAAAACUUGCGAUUUUGACCUCCCAAGUUUGAAAAUAGCACUUUUGAACCCCUAAGUUUCACCCCCUUUGCAAAACUAUAGCGCCCCUUGAUUUUGACCUUGUCAAAGCUGAUGUGGACAUUUUUAUAUAAAAAAAAUUCCAACUACAUACAUAUGUGAAAAAUAGUUUAAAUUAAAAAUAAAUAAACAAGAACAAUAUCUUCUUCUCCCACCUGAAGAAUUUUCUAUCUGCUUCUAGUGAAUUUCAACCUCUACUUCUUCUUCCAUCACCAUCUUUCAACAUAUUCACCUUCAAAAUCUCACUCUAGAAAGACCAUUUUCAUACCCUUCACCACCGUUAGCCUCAAUCAAAAUUUCAUCACAUAUCAAAUCUUACUUUUGUUUCUUUUUUUUGUUUUGUUUGAAGAACCACUUAAACAAUCAAGCACGAUUUGCUUUGAUUUUGAUAGCAUGGAUCAAGAUUUUUGCAAGCUUUUCGAUUUCUUAUUGACAAUACAGCGGCAUCACCGACGUCAAAAGAAAUAACUUCAACCAAUUAAAUUUGGGGCUAUUAUUUUGGGGUUUGAGUUUAGAUUUGAAGCUAUUUUUUCUUAAAUUUCUGAUUUCGAAUUUGCAUUUGAAGUAGGUUUUUGUCCUCAUUCUCUGUCGCUUUUGAUUUCAAAUUAUCUAUAGAUUCAAGUUUAUCAACUUGGAUUUAAAACAAUCCGACACCAAAAAAUUAAAAUGGGUUUUGGUUUGAAUAGUGAAAAACUUUUAUCUUCUUAGUAGCUAGAUAAUAAGGAAUGAUGUUAUUUCUUAGUCAAGUGUCUGAACAGUUGACAAUAUUUUAUAAAAAAAAGUGUCCACAUCAGCUUUGACUAGAUCAAAAUCAAGGGGGUCAUGAUUUUGCAAAGGGGGUGAAAUAUAGGGGGUCAAAAGUGCUAUUUUUAAAUUUGGGGGUCAAAAAUGCAUUUUAGCCUUUUUUUUUAUUUUUUUUGGUCAGGGAGCCUUUCUUUUUUUAAUGUUAUUUGAAAUAUAGUAUAUUGGCCAUUUACCUCCCUAAAAAAAAAAAAAGUAUAUUGGAUAUUUACCCUACACUUUUUUCUUAUAAUAAUGGUAGAUUCUAAGGUGAGGGCUCAAUUAAGCCCCUCACCGAUGUACCACUUUAAUUGACCAUUAGAUUAAAUAAGUCUAUAUGAUCUCAAUAGUCAUAACCACACUCGAUCAUGUCUCUCCUCUCUCUUUCUCUAGCCCUAGCAAAUCUGACUUUGUGUUGCACAAGGACCAUGGCAGAGCUUGGUCUCCAUUUGUUCCAAGAAACGCUUGUUUGAGAUUUCAAAUCCCGUUUCAAUUUGCUUACCCUUUUUCAACAUUCAGGGUGCAAAUGUGGCCUCUUAUUAUACUCUCCUUCAUCAACUAGUUCAACAAUGUGUCUUGUUGGCGGUUUGGUUACCAUGUUCUAGUAGUGUAUUGGUAAAUUAUAUCAAACAAUAACACAUAUACCCAAAAAUUAAACCAAAAGAAAUGCCUCCAAAUUCUAACGAAAGUUUGUGUAUUCAAGGAAAAAUCCAUCACCAAAAGCACAAGAUUGUAUAAAAUAAUCAUACGUAGGACAAUUGAAUUUCUAUUCUCUUUACUUUCUUUUUAUUAUAUUCCUAAUUUUCACAAAAUCACUUUUGUUGGAUUAGAGUGUGUGAGUGAUACUGUUCUAAAAUAUGUCAUGAGUUUUUUUUCUCAGUAAAACUGAUUGAUUUGUGGUUGUUACCAUCACUGCCAUUCUAGCGUUGAGAUUAAUUUAAAAAUUCAAGGAAUAGAGGGGAUAAAGGGGAGAAAGAGGGGGAGAGAGGAAAAAGAUAAAUGUGAUUCGGUGUAUAUGGUGAAUAAUAAGAUAUAUGAACUCAAUUCUUUCAAAAAAAAUAAACUAUAUGAACUCAAUUAAUCUAAUGGCUCUUAUUGUUAUUUAUGGUGGUCCACCGGUGUGUGAUUUAAUUAAACCCUCACUCUAGAAUCCACUUAAAAUAAUAUUAGUCAUUUUAAUCUCAUGAAUGUCUUGUUUAUGGUAUUUUAAAUAUUGUCCAUUAAUUUACAUUUCUCGAUUGCUCAAACCUAUAUCUUGAAUCAAAUAUGCAUUAUUAGAAGAAGAAGAAGAAAAAAAAAACUCAAUGACGAAAGGCCCUUCCUAAUUCGGGAACCAUUUCCCAGAUCCUCGAGUUUUAGUAUCAACUGGAAAAAUUGUUUUCCAUUUCCCAAUUCAUUUUCCAUACCGUCAUGUACUUUAACCAAAGCCACAUAAGCAUCUUCUUCACUUAAGCAUCUUGCUAAAGUUCCAUCAGACAUUUGUACAUACAGUUCAUCACCAAUUAUGAUGUAGAACAAAGCUUUAUAUUUCAAUUUAUUGCUAUAAUUCGAAGUAGGGUAUUUUAGAUAUUCAACAAUCUCUAGCCUUCAAACUCUUGGUUCUAAUGUAUUUAUGUUCUGAAUAUGAAAUCAUAUUAUGAUAUAGCUCUUUGAAACUCAAUAAUCUUAUCAAAAUGUUUGCUUAGGAUUUUAUAUCCAAAAGUAUUUUGGGAUAGUUCAUUUGCCUAGAACUUUUCUAUUCGAGGAAUAUAUUCACGAACCACUCACUACAUCAACCUUUGAAAAUAGCCUUUUAGUUAUUUUGAAACAUUUCAAUAAAUUAGGGUUUUAACAUUUGUAAUUAUGUUUUAGUUGAUUUAUAACUAAUUGAGAAUCACCUUAUAUUAGCACAUUUCUUGCUUUAAAAGUUAGUCUUAGCGAAUCACCUUAUAACUAGUGGAACACAAGUUAACGAAAGUUCAAUUAAAGUUAGUGCCCAAUUAAAGUUAGUCUUAGCGAAUUUCAGUCCUUGGUAACUUCUCAAGAAUAACCACUUCUUUAAAACUUCUUCUACGGUCUCCACAUGGUUUUUUUUAGAAUCGGCUUAUAUAUAUAUAUAUAUAUAUAUAUAUAUAUAUAUAUAUGAUCAGCACACACCAGUAGUGCAAAAGUGGGAAGUUGUUACAAAACAAAGACCCUUGCCUACUGUAACACAGCGAAGGGCCAGGGCAGCAAAUAAGGCCAGUUAAAGGAAGGCGCUACAACAAAGCAAAACACCACAAAAACAAUGCUAUACACAAGCCCAUUCAUCUUCUAUUUAGGCACUCUCUAGGAUUCCAAGUCCACUCAUAAAAGAGGAAUGAGGCUAUCUUUAAUCUACUCAACGUCCAAACCCAAGAAACCGCUUUGAUCUCAUCCACUAAAUCCUCAACCUCCUUCGUUUGGUUGUUGAAGAUCCUUGCAUUUCUUUCCUUCCAAAUCAACCAAAGCCCCUUCUUUAGUCUCUUGGAAAUUACUUCUCUAUUCCAACAAUCGAAUUGCAUAAACAAGUUAUGUGGAGUAACAAAAUUAAUCUCAAGCCAAUUCAAUAUGCCACGCCAAAUUAACGAGGAUACAUCACAAUGUAAGAAAAGAUGAGUAGAUGUCUCCACUUGCCUCCCACAUAACACACAAAGAAGGGACGAAUUCGGGGCUAAGAUGUGACGAUUUACGAGAUUGACCUUCGCCGGAAUACGAGUAACGCCCACGAAAACGCCACUACUUUGGACGGAGCCGGACUCAUCCAAAGUAGAGAAAACCCCCUCAUUUAAAUCUCCCACACCUUCCUCCAAAAGCAAGAUAUUUUCCAAAAUGGAAUAAGAUGAUUUCACUGAGAAUAAACAUCCAUCAUCCGGAAGCCACACCCACCUAUCCUUCUCCCCUCUAAACACAACCUCCUCCAAAUGGGACAUCAAAUUAACAAUUAGAUUUAUUUCCCAAAUGAACGGAUGUCGCCUCCACGUUAUAUUCCAAGUGCCCCCCCCCCCCCCCCCCCCCCCCCCCCCCCCCCCCCCCCCCCCCCCCCCCCCCCCCCCCCCCCCCUCUCCUCCUCCUCGAAACACAACCACUCCCCUCCAAAAACUAUCCCUACCCACCUAUCAUUCCAAAAAUUAGUAUUCCUUCCAUCGGCUAAUUUCCUCAACACCCUUUUUGUAAACCAAAAAUCACCACUCCCCUCCUCCAACGAUUAGAUUCCUCCACCAUAGAGAGGUGAAGCGCGGCCACCUAACUACAUCACUAGAUGCCAAACCACUAACAUUGUCACCAUAUUUUUCCACCAAAACCCUCUUCCAAAGAGGUUGCUCCUCUUGAAGUAGUCGCCAUUUCCACUUUGCCAAAAGGCUCAAAUUCACCAACUUCACAUCGCUUACUCCAAGGCCUCCCUUACUUCUAGGUUGACACACCUUCCUCCAUUUUACCCAACAAACUUUCCUACCUCCUCCAACCCCUCCCCAAAGAAACUCUCUUUGGAUCCGGAUAACCUUCUCAAGGACAUUAGCCGGAAUCUUCAAGAAGGAUAAGUAGAAGAUGGGGAUGGCGUUUAAAAUGGAAUUCAAAAGAACAAUUAUACCUCCUAGACUCACAUAUUUAUUUCCCCAUGAAUUGAGUCGUUUCUUCAAUUGAUCCAACAAAGGCUCCCAAGUUGACAACUUCCUUGAAUUGGCUCCUACCGGCAACCCCAAAUAUUUGAAAGGAAUUGCUUCCUCUUGACAAUGUAAGAAUCGGCACGCCGCCUCCAUAAAGUCUCUAUUAACGUUGAUACCAAUUAACGAACAUUUAUGGAAGUUAACUUUCAACCCCGAUGCCAUUUCAAAAUCUCUAAGAACGGCUUUCAACAACGAAAGAUUCUCAACCGUUGGUUCUCCAAUACAUAAAGUGUCAUCGGCAUACUGCAAAUGAGAAACCACCAUUCCGCCCCUUUUCACCUCAAAGCCUCUAAACAAAUUGUGAUUAACCGCAUUUGUCAUCAAACUACUAAAACCUUUGGCUACCAAAAGAAACAAAAACGGGGCUAGCGGAUCACCUUGCUUGAGGCCUCUUUGCACACUUAUCUCCUCGGUUGGGCUCCCAUUUACUAAAAUAGACAUAUUACCUCCGAAAACAAAAGUCUUCAUCCAUCUAAUCCAUUUAUCCUCCAUCCCCACCCUUUUCAUCAUAUAAUCACGAAAACCCCAAUCUACCUAGUCGUAGGCCUUUUCAAAGUUCACCUUAAGGAUCAAGCAUUCAUGUUUCACCCUUUUCGCCAAAUCAACCACUUCAUUAACAAUUAAUACUCCAUCAACCAAAUGUCUCCCCUUCAAAAAAGCCGAUUGAGAAGCCGAGAUAAUAGAAUUCAUCACCUUUGAAAGUCUCUUCGCCAAAACUUUUGAAAGAAGCUUAUACAAGCUUCCCAAAAGAGAGAUGAGACAGUAUUGUUUUAAAGACAACGGGGCAUCCACCUUUGGGAUUAAAGUAACAAAAAAGGAGAGGAAUAUCUUUAGAAAUAAUUUAUCCAGUCACAUUUAUAAAUAACUAUUUAUUUUUCAUGAUGCAUCUAAACUACAUUAUAGUAAAGAUGCAAUAAUCAUUCAAUGAAUCUAAAAAAGAAAUUAUUUAUUUAUAAAUGUAAUCGGAGGGAGUAUUUCUUUUUGAGUUUCUCUGCAUUAAUCUUCAAAAAACACUCUUCCAGACUUUAUGCUUGUAGCAGAAAAUACUUUUCUUCGAAUGUCCAUCUUCGAGGGAAAUUCUUAAAGGCUUUUGACUUAAUUUAGAAAUUAAAUUGAACUAUCACACUUUUCUCGAGUGUGAUCCUUCCAAAAAUACUAGGGGAGUUUUCAGAGGAACCUAUCAAAUGUCUCGAAACAAUCUUUCAAAUUUUGCAUAAACAAAUUAAAUGUGUAUGUUGUAGAUACAUUGAGUUUGUUAAAAUAACAACUAUUAAUUGAUCACUUUAUACUUCACUCAUUUCAGAGGAGCGAAAUCAAAUUCAAAAACAGAAUUUUCACAAUGGCGUGAAAUCUCACACCGUGAUGGAGGGCAUCAAGCUCAAAUUUGAAAAAGAAUUGAGGAUUGCUUUUAAGCACCUAGUGAUUGCUUUCAAACACCCAUCAAACAACAAUUAAUUGGCGUUCAAUACUUUGAAGAUCGGUUAAGACGCUUUCUAAUUCAAUUCAUGCGAUUUAAAAAUGUGUCCAACGGUAGUAUCGUUCGACUUUUUCUAUAUAUCAAAAGAGCAAUUGUAAAAAGAAUUUGUUCUAUACCCAAAAGGUCAAAAAUUAGAAUAUUGGGUUUUGGAAAAGCUGAUUUCAAAGAAGGAAUAAAAUGAGUGACAAGGCAGUUGAAAAGAUUCACAACAAACAUGAAGUUGAAAACAAAAUACAAUGUACUGAGAACAAACAAAGGGCCCCAAGUCUUUGACAAAAGGGAGUUUUUCUAAGUCUGAUGUCGUGCACGGUCCAUGGUGUCACCCACCACUAUAUCCAAGCAACAAAUAAUUAAGCUAAAUUUCAAAAUAAACAUUCAUUGAUAUUAGGAAAUUUUAUUGUAAUUUGUUUAUUCAUUGCUUCCUUCAAUCUACAACUUCAAUUUACAUUUUGUGAUCAUUUAACUUUUUUAAAUUGAUAUUGGAAAAUACAAAAAUAUCUUUUUUUUAAUUGUUAUUUCUUUGUGAUUUUUGAAUUGAUAUUGAUUUUUUUUUUGUUCUGUCUCUGUCUAAAAGCCUCAUGAGGCAUGAGCUAAUUUAAGAUUUGAUUGAAGAAUACUAUUGCACUGCUGUAGUUUCAUAUUAUCGUCAACAAUUGUGACCUAGUCAACCACAAGAAAUAACAUCACUUGAAAUAUUCAAUUACAAUGCUUAGUAACCUUUUCCUCGUACGAGAUAUAGCAUCCAUUCAACUUACAGUUUUGAGUUCUGGAUCGUUUUUCUUUAUCUUUUCUUUUUACCAAAAUUGUCAACGACUAUUUUCUUCGAAACAAAUUCUGAGUUUAAAAACUAAGAACUCAUAAACAUCCAUGAAUUUGAUGAACACUAAUUUGACUUGGACAGAAAAGUGAUAAAAAAAAAAAAAAAAAGUAACAGUUGACACGUUUUAUGACUUAAAAAAAUCAAUUUGGUAACAAAAUAAAAUAAAAUCCAAAUUUAAUAUAAAUAAAUAACAUAAAGACAACUCAUUAUGCCUUGAUUUUAAAAUUCUUUAAAAAAAAAUGCCUUGAUUUUAAAAUUAAAUUUUUUUGUAGUGUUUCAAAGUAACGAAAAGAAAAAAGAAAGGAAAAAAUAGAAACAAAGAGGGGUUAAGUUUCAAGCUUGUCUCUAUGAAGAAGUGACUCUAUACCUAGUGGAGAUGGUCUCAAUAAACGGUAGAAACCGAAUAGGAGUCUUCUUUAGACAUAAAAUUUGCACUUGUAUUUUGCUCACCUAAAAUAUACACCAAAAUAAAAUUUCUUAUUGUUUUAAGGUCUUAUCGAUUUCGAGAAUGAUCGAAGCAUGAAAUGUAAGUUAUGGCUAAUGGAACCAUGAAGAUAUUCAUUCCUUCCAAGCAGUCACUUUCACAAAUCACAUUCGUGUACCCUUAAUUAUGGAAAAUGUCAAUCCUUAUNNNNUAUAUAUAUAUAUAUAUAUAUAUAUAUAUAUAUAUAUAGCACACAACUUAGCCAAGAGAGCAUCCCCACCUAGCUCAUAAUGGAAAAAUCCAACGACGCAUUCACCCUUCUAGUUUUGUAUAAAAGCACUAGUGCAAGGCGCAAAGAGUCUUCUAGGAAACUGCCAUAUACAUUAAGCUUAAAAGUUUCUUUAGGAGGUGAAGUCCAAAUGAGCCAAUAGACGUGAAGAGGAUACAUUGAGGUCAUUAUGUCGUAGUAAGUAAUGUAAUUGUCGUGCAAAAGGAAUGUUUUCCUCGCCACCUCAUGUAUUUGCCAAUGUUGAAUGUUGAUCUUCAAAUAUCAUGUUGUUUCUCCAACAUCACGAUGAAAAGAGUUGAGGCAUCACCACAAGCUCUAUCAUAAAUCUAAACAAUGGCAUCUAUUUGAAGGAAAAAAAUCGAGUAAGGUCCAUUCUCAAACAAAAUCAUAGCUCUUUUGAAUGAGGACAUUCAUGUACAUAGUGAAAGAGGUCCUCCAUAGGUGAUGAACAACAAGUGCAGCUUGGCAAAGCUGUCAUGUUGCAAUAAUGUCGGCAUGCAUUUGUGGGGAGGGCAUUAUGGUAACAAGUCAGAUAAAGUGAUGUAGCUUCGUUGGGACGUUGAGUUUCCAGAUCCAAUUCAUGUCACAAUGAACAUCUCAAUUACUGUGUUUGAAAAGCCACAAAUACCCACUUGAGCAAGAAUACAUGCCACUUUUUUUCUUCCAUUAAGCACCAUUUUCUCCCAAGUAUUGUGCUUAACAAAGUCAUUUUUUCCAUUAAGCACCGUUUUUAUUUCCCCUCCAACGGGGAUACCUAAGGUAAUAUAACUUAUGAAGCCAAGCUCCCCGAUUGAAGAUGACCUAACUAUACUAAGAGAAGAGGGAUAUCACAUUUUAAUCCCACAUAAAGAGAAAAACAAUUGUCUAAUAAAGAAUUUUCAAUUUUUUUUUAGGGAAAAAACUAAAAAAUUGAGACAUUUAAUAUUUAUUAGUACAAAAAAUUAAAUAAAUAACUUUUAAUGAGCAUGCGGGCCAACCCGCCCACCUCGCGAUCGCUCGCUUUUUCAAUGGAUUAAACGGGACAGACCAACUAUAGGGGGUGGCCUCACAACCUCAACCCAGCCCGCCUAAAAUGAUGGGUUAAACGGAUCGGUCCGAAGGAUCGUACCCGUUUUGCCACCCUUAAUUGUAGUUGGCUAGUUCUCAUUUUAUUAUGAUAUAACUUUUUUUAACUAAUAAUUUAAAUAAUAUUAUAAAAAUUAUUUUUUUUUGAAGGAAAUAUUAUAAAAAAUAUAAAAUAGUUAAUUAAAUAGUUUAAAUAAAUGAUAAAAAUGGAAGGAAAAUACCACACAAAAUUAUGUAUCCCCUUUAUAUGAAGGUAUAUAUUUAAAUAAUAUUCUAGAAAGCAUAAAAUAGUUUAAAUCAAGUAUAACAAUAGAAUAAAAAAGUCAUACCAAAAUUAUAUAUCUUCUUUUGUCAAAUAUAUAUAUAUAUAUAUAUAUAUAUAUAUAUAUAUAUAUAUAUAUAUAUAUCUUCUAUACUAUAUAUAAAGGAGAUAUAUAAUUUUGGUAUGACCUUUGUUAAAAAAAAUUCCUGACAAAUGUAUCCUUAACAACUUACUUAAGUGAAGGACAAUACUAUAACACAAAAAUGCACCUAAGUUUUCUCCAAAAAAUAAAAAGGAGGCAUGUAAAGUUUGUUCCAAAUUUGUUUUUUUAUUUCGUCAACUUCACCCUUAAAGUGAAUAAACGAUUGUAUGGGAUUUAAAUCAUGACUCUUACAUAUAUAAUAUAAUGUCUCUACCAAUUGUGUUAUAUUCACGGAACAUUUCAAAUUUAAUUUUACUUUGGCAUUUGUAAAUUUAAUGACAUUUUUGUCUCAACUUUUAAAAUUUGUCAUUUGUAAUCUCCAUAAUUCAAUUUAGUCUUUCCUUUAAAAUCUACAACAAAAACGACAAAAGGAAUAUUUUUUAAAUUUUGGGGGAUAGAAACAGAUCACUUUUUAAGAAAAUGGAUAAAACUAAUUUUCAAGACUCUAGUAGCAUUUCGGAUAACUUUAUUAUUUUCGAAACAAAACAUUAUUUUCGAAUAACUUUAUACAAAAUUUUUAAGUGAUUUCUAAACACAAACAAUGAGAUUGGCUUCUCAAACAAAAUAGAACUUGAAAUGUUAAUUGUUACAUGAAUUGGAUUUGGAAACUCAAAGUCCCAGCAAAACUACAACAUUUUAUUUGAUUUUGUUGCCAUAAAGCCUUCCUCACAAAUGCACGUCAACAUUAUUGCAACAUGGAAACUUUCCCAAGCUUCACCCAUUGCUCAUCACCCAUAGAGGACAUCUCUCGCUGUUUACGCGAAUGUUCUCAUUCAAAAGAGUUUUGGCUUUGUUUGGGAAUAGGCCUUCACUCGACUUCUUUCCUUCAAACAAAUGUCAAAGUUUGGAUUCAUGAUAUGGUUUGUAGUGUUGCCUCAAAUAUUUUAAUUACGUGUUUUAUGGCAAUCAUUUUUUAAGAUCAACAUUGCCAAAUAUACAGAGGAGGUGAGAAAAACAUUAUUUUUUUUCUCUCGGUGAGAUCGGUGAGAAAAACAUUCAUUUUACAUGAAGAUUGCAUUACUUAUUACCCGCAUAAUGGCCUUGAUAUAUCAUCUUCACGGCUAUUGGUUCAUUGGACUCACCUCCUGAGGGUAUGCUUAAGCUUAAUGUAGAUGGUAGUUUCCUAAAGAAUCUUUGUGCCUUGGCGCGGGUGGUGUCAUCCGGAACCAUGAGGGUGAAUGGGUCGCUGGAUCUUCCCAUUAUUAUGAGGUGGGAAACUCUCUUGGCUGAGUUGUGUGCUAUAUUUAUAUGGAUUGACAUUUGUCAUUAUCGAGGUUAGACAAAUGUGAUUUGUGAAAGCGAUGGCUUGAAAGUUGUGAAUAUCUUCGGUGGUUCCAGACUUCCAGUAGCCAUAAUAUAUAUGUUCAUACUUCAACUAUUCUACAUAUCUCCGAGACCUUACCGCGAGAAGUGAAUUUUACUUUGGUGCAUAUUUUAUGUUAGCAAAAUACGAAUGCAUACUUUAUGGUUAAAUAAGACUCUCAUUUAGCUUCUACUAUUACCUCAGACCGUCCCCCAAAGAACAUGGAGUCGCUCCUCUUGAUAGAUAAGCUUGGAACUUAAAUUCCUUUUUUUUUCUCCAAUUUUUUCUUUCUUUUUUCUCUUUGUUACUUUGUAACCCUACCAAAAAACACAAACAAUGAUAAAAAUAAAAUAAUCAAAGCAAAUUAAUUUACUAAUUAUUUAAGAAUCAACUCAAGCAAAUUAACACCGCUUAUCACAAAAAUCACUACUGAGCUACUCAAUGCGAUAUAUCAACAAUAAAGUAAAAAUUAACACUCUCAUGAAAUUCAAAAAUCACAAUUAAGUCUGAAUUUCUGAGUCUUUAAAAAGAUUUUUUCAAUAUUCUGAGAAUAAUUCCUACACCAUGAAAAAGUUGAAAUCUUUGCAAAACUUGUGUUUGAAAAAUAGCGCAGAAAAAUUUCUUGAGAUUAAAAAAUUUCUUUUGCAAUCAAUCAACAAAGUAUUCAAAUUUUCAUAAAUUAAAGAGAGAUAGGGAAAAGAAAAAUGGACAUAGAGAUUUAUACCAAUUUUGUAACCAAAAGAGAUUUAUACCAAUUCAACUAAUGUCAUCCUUGCGGUGUAGCCUACUCCCAUCCCCUCACUAGGCCGAAUUUGCAUAACUUAAAAUAUAAGCGCGCUAAUAGUAUAUUGGAUAUAUAUAUAUAUAUAUAUAUAUUGGAUCUCCAAACUUUGGAGGCCUAACUCUAUAGAAAAAAAUUGUUUGAAAUAUUGGCCCAACCCAUAUGUAAUCGUCUAACCCGCUUGCGUUAUCCAUAGAACCAAAUGCAAAAUCGAACGACUUUGAACCCUCCUAUAUUCAUUCACGAAUUUGACUGGUGCUUGUUUUAAAACUCGAAUUGACCAACCCCGGCAAAUUUCCAAUUCUCUAAAGCCCGUUCAUUUUAAAUAAGACAAUUUUUUUAGCAUGCCGGAGUAUCAAAUCUAAAUCAUCAAAAUUCAUGAGUAAAUUUUCAACUAAUUGAUUCUAGACUAACCCACAUUAAAUAAGGCUUGUUUUGAGAGGUUAAAUAAAGUCAACUCACAAUUAAAUUGUGUGAGCUUUAAUCACUAGAUUAUUUGACAAAAAAAAAAAAUAAGGCCAACUAAACAAGGACUGUAUUAUUAAAUUUAUGGUACGUGUCUUAGUCAUAUAUUGUACUAUUAAUUUUGAUUUGGAUUUGAUAAGAAUAAGAUGGCCUUACUUUGAUACCAUCAACAUAUCUAAGGCUAAAUCUGUGUGCCCCCAAAUAAGUAAGGAGACAUCCCCAAAGUAUACAGUAUACAUACAGUGUAUCCACGCAUUUGGACUUGGUGGAACGACGUAGCACCCAAAAAAAUAUCCUAAUUCUAGAGAGAGACAGAGAAAAUUAAUAGGGAUGGGAAACAGGUCGGGGUUCUGACACGAGAAGAUCGAACAUUGAACGAGAAUUCAUAGGACUUUUUUAUCCAUCUAUCUAACUAUGAAUAAUUUUUUAAUUUUAAAAAUUAUUCAUUCAAAAAAAGUUAAAUAUUAUAAAUUUCAAUACAUUCAAUCAAACAAAAUCGACUUGUGAGGUGAUGAUUGCCCCAUCAUUAGAUUUAUCCAUCUAACAUCCGUCACAACCAAUAGCAGAAACCUGAUAGCAGGUGCUACAAUGAAUCUUGAAGAGGCUCUUAUACCAUCUUAGAAACCUGAUAGCAGAAACCUGAUAGCAGGUGGUACAAUGGAUCUUGAAGAGACUCUGAUACCAUCUUAGAAAUCGUGGUUGGAUCUAACAAAAUUCCAUAAAACUAGCUUGUGAGAUGAAGAUUGCCCCCGCUUAUAAACACAUGUCAAACCAUCUAUUAUCCGAUGUGAGACUCUUAACAACUUCAAUCUUAAAUAUGAGCAAUUUUUACCUUUUAAAUUCAAUACUAGAUGAUAUGUGUGGUCUAUAUCAUUUAUUCAAUAAACUUAAAAAAUAAAAAAUUUAUUUAUAAUUGCGACCGAAUGAAAUAUUUAUUUAUUUAUUUUUUGAGAGGGGUGGAAGUAUUUGUUCAAAAAAUCAAAUACUUCAGCAUAUAAUAGUCAGCAUAUAAUAAACUGAAUACAUAAAUUUUCAUACAAACUUAUCAUUUAAUCUUUUUAAAGAUCGUUUCGAAGGACUACUAUUGUUUUAGAGCUAUAUUAUUGAGUUUCUUUUGAAGAUAAGUUAUGCUAAUAAGCAUUUUAAGAAUAUUGUUUAAAGAAUCAUUAAAAAUAAAUUUUGUAUUAAAAAUACAAGUCGAAUGCUUGUCAAAAUCAUAACAACAUAAAUUUUUAUGUAAAAAUUACAUUUUUAUACUUUAAACAAUGCCUUAAAAUCAUGUUUUAACAUUUAAUUUUAGUCUUUUCUGGUAUUUCUCCGUCUUAUUUAAAUGCAUACCGUUCAUUUUUUUUACAGCAAGAAAUGUAACUAAGAAAAAUUUGAGUUAGAUAUUGUAAAUUGUCAUUUUAACAAGUGUUUUUAUCCUCCCCUUUCUUCGUCUCUCUCUUCUCUUCUCAAACCCCAGCUGUCACCCCUUUCUUCUUCUUUUCAAAGGGGUGAUUUAGGGUCAAUUUUGACCCAAAAAUCACCCCUCCGAAUUGUUUUUCCUUCUAUCCUUAUUGAAUAAGUGAUUUCACAUAUUUUCUGUUUUCUUUUGUUUGUUUUUGUGAUUUCGUCGUCUCUGAACGACUAUGUUUCUUUUGAUUUUCCGUCUUAGUGCGGUGUUUAUUUGAUUCAGGCUGAAAGAUUAGCUUUGAGCAAGUGCAAAUUCGAUCAAUAACAAUGACUUUAGCGUCGUCAACGUUGCAGAUCCGGAGACAUGAGUAUUCCGGAGACAUAAAUAUAGUCAUAUUAGUCAUAUUUGUAGGCAUAAGUAGUUUGCCGUUAUAUGUUAUUAACAUGAAUGUUGUGAGUUUGUUAAAAAAUUCAUCAUUUUUGUUUUUAGCGAAUUUGAAUUUGUAUUGUAUCGAUGUACUCUAUCAAUUUGAAUUAAUGAAUAUAGUUUAUUUUUGUCAAAUUUUACAAAAUGUUAACAAGUCUUAUGGUUAAGAAAAUCAAAAUUAGUAGGUUUGUAUUGAAAACAAAUUUAUAAAGUUUUCAUAAAUUAAAUUGAUCAUUUUUAACACAAUAUUUCUAUUUUUAUCUUCUUAACAAACAUUUUACAGACACUUUUUAACACUUUUCUAUAGCAAAUGAGACGAAGAGAAUACUAUAAAAUCAAUUUAUUAGUUAUUAUUGAUUCAUCAAAUCUAGGAAGAUGCUAACAAAUGCUCUUAGACAUUAUUUAAACAUUUAAAAGUAGCAAUUUUUACAUUAAAAAUUAUGUAGUUAUGAUUUUUACAUGUGUUUAACUUAUAUUUUCAAAGAUAAUAUUUUUUUGUGUGAGUUCUUUAAACAAAUCUCCUUAAAACCUUUGUUAGCAUGACAAUCUAAUUUAUUAUAGUAUAACUCAAUUUUUUGAGAUAUUUUCAUCUAUGCAUGAGGCAUGCUUGAUAUCAUAAUUACACUGACCACAACAAAUCCAUAUGAAAUACAUACAUCCAUAAAGAUAAUUUUUCUUUUAACGUAAACCUUUUAACUCUCUAAAAGAAAUCUUUGAUUCUCAAGAGAAUAGGUUGGUAAUCUACGAGUGUGCUUGAUUUGCUAAAAAGUGAAGGAUAUGAUAAGAUAAUUUCAGUUGUAUGUUUGAUUUAUAAAGCUGUUUUUGGCCGGAGACAAGAGAUAUGACAAAAACUGAAAUUCUCAUCCGUCGUUAAAUCUACACAACUUUUUUCCCACGUACGAGUUGUUAAAAAAUAUCAAAAUAGCUUUUAUAAAAAAAAAAUAUGUUUAAGACCAAAAAUUAUUCAUUACCAUAAAAGUUUGUCUUGUGUUGUUCUGCCUUGUAUUAUAUUGUUUUAUCUUGUAUUGUUUUGUCCAGUGUUUAAUGUAUUUUUUUGGUCAAAUAGCAUAGUCAUUGGAGAUCACUCAUUUUAAAUGUGCAGAAGUGGGGUGUGUUGGAACAAAAUGUGUUUAACAUUACCCUUUGAGAGUUUUGAUGAUAACAAGGUAUUAGAAAUUGUCCAUUGGAUAUGCUAAUAUUUGUUCAAGUAUACAGGACCAUAGACAAAAAUUUGACAUCUUAAAAAGGUUCUGGAAGAACAAUAGAAAGCAAAUGAAUCAACAAAAAGGAAGCUUAAAGCGUCUGAAGAAAACUGCUCCUGAAGGCAAAGUGCCCCUGAAGUGGUAACGUCAUUAGAAGCAAGUUCAUUAGAAGCUGAAAAUCACUAGAAGUUGUAGUUCAUCAUGAGAUGCAAGACUUAAAGCUUCAAAGGUUGUUCAUGGAUUUAAUCUCGUCUAAGCAUUGCAGAAGACUGGAAAAGUGAAGCAACGACUAGUUUGAAAGGAUUUGAAGGCAUUGGAUGCUUGUUCUUAAAAGAGCGUUGACAAAGUACAAUUGUACGAAGUGUACAACCACUAUCUCCACUACUAUGUUUUUGUCUCCGCUAAAAGACAAGAAAAACAGCUCUGCUUGCAAAGAUGUUCCUUCACAAUGGGAAUGCAUUUGAAAUUGAUCCUUCAUAGGACAAUAACCAUAUCAGGCAAAAGAUCAUUGAUGAUUGAUCAAAGCUUCAAACGGCUCUAUUUUGAAUGCGCUGACAAUUCACAACGUCUCUUUUACACCUCUAUAUAAAGGAGUGAAGACUUAGAGUUUUAUACAGAACAAUACCAAGAAUUACAAGUGCCAAAACUCUGCUGAAAUUGUUCUGCAUUCAAAAGUUCACUUAGAAUUUCUUAUCAAAGUUCAUAUCUUAGAAAUUCUAGAGUCUUAAGAGUCUGUAUCUGAUUUGUAUUGCGAACACCAUUGAUUGUAUAUCAAGUGUUCAACCUCAAACAUUUUUCUUGUAAUUCUGUUAGAAUUAAGAAGUCUCUUGCAGUUGUGCUCGAGCAUUAGAAGUCUUUUGAUUGUGUUCAGGAGCAUAGGAAGUCUCUUGCAGUUGUGCUUGAGCAAUUUGAAGUCUCUUGAUAGUUUUAGCAGUGAGCAAUUGUAAUCAGAUAUUACAUAGUGAACUCUCCUUGGAAGUGCAAGGGAGACAGGAUUGACUUCCAGUUUGUGGAAGGAACCUGUAUAAUUGCUUUGUGUCUUUCUUCUCUUUCUCUCUCUCUGUUUUAUCCGCUGCAUCUAAUUACGAACAUCACUUCAGAAGUGGAACUUUAUCUGCUUCUGAUCAGUGUUUACAACUUAGGAGAAAAAGAAAAAAAAUCUAACACAAUUCAACCCCCCUUCUUGUGUUUUUCUCACCUUCAGGGUGUUCGAGGUUCCAACCCUAACCUCUGCAUAUAUUAUGCACUUGUCCAUACCAACUGAUCUAAGCUCACGAGAACGGGUAUUUACCGUUUAACAUAUAAAAAAAUACCCCAUAAUUCAAGCUAGAGUAACUAAAAUCGAUGUAAGAUUCAAACUCAAAUUCUUCUGAACAUCUCCCAUGAUAUUUUUAACAUAAAAUGUGAGAGACUUGAGUAGUACUUGGGUGACAUUAAUGAAAUUGACCAAUGACAAUAUCGCCAGUGGUUUUCUUCUCUCUCUUUCACAAGGUGUUUUUGUUUUUUGUCCACUUGUGAUAUUGUGAUUGGUCAAUGUCACAAAUAUCACGAAUCACAAUAUCACCUAAGUAUUAUUUGAGAGACUUAACAUUAUUAAUUAGGAAAACGUUAACUAGUGUCCCUCGGGCAUUGAUUAAAUAUUUUAAAUAGUAACUUUUUAUAAAAAUUUGUGUAAUAAAAUGUAUUAGGAAUUGAACACUUUAACAUUUUUAAAGAUUAAUUACUUAAUUUAAAACAUUUAAAGAGUGUCACGGGACACUCUUUAAAUAUGAAUUAAAAAACCUUAUUAAUUAUUAAUGAAUUGAUAAAACGCAUAUACCCAAAGAAGAGAGAGAGAGAGAGGGGAAACUGAAAAGGAAAGAGAGAUGAAUAAAAUAUGGAAGGAAUAUUUAAAACAAAAAACACAAGGGCGUCCAAGUUCUCUUCAUGUAAGAAAGUGGGUCCCACUUUCUGUCCUUCUUCUCUUCUAAAUACAACUCACCUUCUUUCUCUCUCAAAACUAAAACAACGGCGCUUUCUCUCUCUUCUUUUCUUCUUAUACGUGGUUUUAUUUUAUUUUUUUCCUUUGCCAUAUCAAAAAAACACAACACAAACUCUAAUUUCUCCAAACCUUAACAUUCUCAAAACCACAACACUUUCAUUUUCUCUUCACCUUGUUCUUUCUUAACAACUUUUUUUUAUUUUACUUUUUCUCAUUUUCUGCUAUGAAAUUCUAGCUUAUGAAGCCAUUUUCAAUAAAGGGUCGCACCCGGUUUCGUGCCGCAGAAUCUCUAGCACAGUAGAAAUUAUUUUUUUAAUUAUUUUGUUUUGAAUUAGUGUCUCUUUUCCAAUGACAAGAAGGUGGGUGCACUUUGUUCAAAUUUAUUCAUCAUAAAGUAAUGAACUUUGUUACUGGGCUAUUUUGAUUUGAUGCUAAAGAAAGUGCUGAAGAUUUGUUCAAUGUAUUGUUGAUAAUGCAUUCCUGACAAAGCUUUGUUAAGAUCUGAUCAAGGUGGAAUAUCUUGUUGCUUUAUUUUUUUCAGGUACUAUUUCUUUUUUGGUCUGCAUUACUUGAUUUAUUGUUUAUUGUUUAAUUUUUUUUAGGUGGGGGAUUAAGGGAGUAUUAAACUUAGAAAUUGUUGGACUUUGGUUUUUUUAAUAUUAUUUUUUGGAUUUGGCUUUCAUCAGGUUUAGUAUAUCUUGGAUUUUCAUGUUUUUUUAUUUUUUAUUCUAUGGUAUAUGUGUUGAUGGUGGUUAUAUCCUCUGUAUCGGUUGGUACUGUCUUAUUCAUUGAUUUAUUCCAGUCUAUACCUUAGGUCUAUGUUGACUGAAACUAGGUUAAACUUAAAUUAUAAGAUUGGAAUAGUUUAGGUCAUUUAAUUUGUGAAAAAAUAUGGUUAAGUUUUGUUUAGGAUUUCAUAUUAUUUUUUGUUUGAUUUGGAUCUUACUGAGUUUUGAAUUUUGUUUUUGAACUGUUGACAGGGCCAGACUGGUUGAAAUUGAUUAAGACUUUUCUUGUUUUGUAACUUAAGUUAUCUUGGGGAAUGACUAUGGUCCAAUAAUUUAAGAUGGAUUGAAGAAUCAACAGCAUAUUGGAUCAAUGGUAAAAGCAAUAGUAUCUGUGCUGUUGAUUGCCUCUAUCCUCUUGUGUGUAUCUGCAACAACAGAUAAUGAAUUUCCUAGAUGUAAUUGUGAUGAUGAGACCAGUUUCUGGACUAUUGAGAGUAUUUUGGAGUGUCAAAGAGUUGGUGAUUUCUUGAUUGCUGUGGCCUACUUCUCAAUCCCUCUUGAGCUGCUUUAUUUUGUCAGUUGCUCGAACGUCCCUUUCAAAUGGGUCCUUGUUCAGUUCAUUGCUUUUAUAGUACUAUGUGGAUUGACACAUUUUUUGAAUGGUUGGACUUAUGGUCCUCACACUUUUCAGCUUAUGGUGGCACUUACCAUCUUUAAGAUUCUCACCGCCUUGGUGUCUUGUGCAACUGCGAUAACACUUGUCACUUUGAUUCCUUUGCUUCUCAAAGUGAAGGUCAGGGAAUUCAUGCUCAAGAAAAAGACAUGGGAUCUUGGACGGGAGGUUGGUCUUAUUAUGAAGCAAAAGGAGGCUGCAAUGCAUGUAAGAAUGCUUACUCAAGAGAUUCGGAAAUCCCUCGAUAGACAUACUAUUCUGUAUACUACUUUGGUGGAGCUUUCGAAAACAUUAGGUUUGCAAAAUUGUGCUGUGUGGAUGCCAAAUGAAGAAAAGACAGUGAUGAAUCUCACUCAUGAAUUGAACGCAAGGAACUUGGAUAUUUCUAUACCGAUUACUGAUCCAGAUGUUGUAAAAAUUAAGGGAAGCAAUGGAGUGAAUAUACUUAGCUCUGAAUCAGCGCUUGCUGUUUCCAGUGUUGGUGUUUCUGGUGACGCAGGUCCGGUUGCUGCAAUUCGAAUGCCAAUGUUACGUGUUUGUAAUUUUAAAGGAGGAACACCUGAGCUAACUCAGGCUUGUUAUGCAAUAUUGGUCUUGAUUCUUCCGGCCGAAGAACCUAGAUCUUGGAGCAAUCAGGAGCUGGAGAUAAUUAAGGUGGUUGCUGAUCAGGUCGCCGUGGCUCUAUCACAUGCUGCAAUUCUUGAAGAGUCUCAACUCAUGAGAGAGAAGUUGGAAGAACGCAAUCGAGCUUUGCAACUGGCGAGAAGGAAUGCUAUGAUGGCAAGCCAGGCAAGAAACUCAUUUCAGAAAGUCAUGAGUGAUGGUAUGAGGAGGCCUAUGCACUCGAUUUUGGGAUUGCUUUCAAUGAUACAAGACGAUAAUUUAAAGAAUGAACAGAAGCUUAUUGUGGAUGCAAUGUUAAAGACGAGCAAUGUCCUAUCAAACUUGAUAAAUGAUGCCAUGGACAGCUCUGCAAAGGAUGAUGGAAGAUUUCCUUUGGAGAUAAGGUCUUUUGGGUUACAUUCCAUGAUAAAAGAAGCAGCGUGCCUUGCCAAAUGCAUGUGUGUUUAUAAGGGCUUGGGUUUUAUGGUUGAGGUUGAUAAGUCUUUACCAAACCAUGUUAUGGGUGAUGAGAGGAGGGUUUUUCAGGUGAUUUUGCAUAUGGUUGGGAAUCUACUGGAUUGUAACCAUGGGGAAGGGGGGAUCCUAGUAUUUCGGGUUUCGGCAGAUGCUGGAAGUCAAGGGAGGAAUGAAAAAGGAUGGGCAACCUGGAGACCAAGCUCAUCUAGCGGUGAUGUAAAUAUUAGAUUUGAGAUAGGGAUCAACGGUAGUGAUUCUGAAGUUGGGAGCUCAGUGUCCUCAGGUCCUGGGGGUCGGACAUAUACCAGCGAUAGAUAUGAGGGCAGAUUGAGCUUUAGUAUUUGCAAGAGGAUAGUCCAGGUGAGUUACAUUGUUUGUUAUAUGUGUUCAUAGAUAAUAACUGCAUCAUAUCAUUGAUUUCAUUUGAUUCUUGAGUCAUGUCCUAUAUACAUCUUGCAAAACUGAAUUUAGAUAGACAUCUGUCAAAACCUUUUCAUUGUUUGUGACAUAAAUAGCUGAAUUUGGUUCUUUUGAUCAGAACUUGCAUUAUUUUUACUUGUGUGUUUUCCUUGAAUACUGUGGAUUAUGUUUCAAAAGCCGUAUUAAGCUUCAAUUGACGAGAUGUGUUUUACUGACUUGUGAUGUUAGUUAGAAUCCUAUUUUCCCAUCAUAUGAGCAAAUCUGGAAUUGGAAUGUUAUAGGUGUUGUAUCUCUAGGAUCUUAGAAGUAAUGUGCGUUAGGUAUAUUUGUUAGUGUAUUAAAUAUUUUAGCUGUAGUUUUUAAUUUUGCUUAGGAGCCAAGCUAUGUGUUGUACUGUUAUUUUGCAAUCCUUGUAUUCUGUGAGUUAAUUUCUUUCUUACCUUGAUUUGAUUACUUAAUUUCUGUUUACUAUAUUAAUUGCAGUUGAUGCAAGGAAACUUAUGGUUGGUACCAUAUACUCACGGUAUUCCUCAAAGCAUGACACUUCUUCUUCGGUUUCAAUUACGGCCUUCCAUUGCAAUAGCCAUCUCUGAACCCGGAGAAUCUUCAGAACGCAACUACUCAAAUUCAUUGUUGAGAGGUCUGCAAGUUCUGUUGGUUGACAACGACGAUGUAAAUAGAGCAGUGACACAAAAACUGCUUCAGAAACUAGGUUGUUCCGUGACUUCCGCUUCUACAGGAUUCGAAUGCCUUACUGUCAUUGGACCUGUCGGAUCUUCCAUUCAAGUCAUUCUUUUGGAUCUCCAAAUGCCUGAUAUAGAUGGAUUCGAAGUCGCCGCAAGGAUUCGGAAGUUUAAAAGCGGAAAUAGGCCUAUAAUUGUUGCCUUGACUGCAAGUGCAGAAGAAGAUUUGUGGGAAAAGUGUAUGCAGAUUGGUGUUAAUGGAGUAAUCCGAAAACCGGUUUUGAUGCAAGGAAUUGCUAGUGAACUCAGAAGAAUUCUGAUGCAGGGAAAUCUUUGAAAAAUGGAUGGUGCAAGUUAAAAAAAUCACUACAGCAUCUAGUAAUUAAUUAAAGUUAUUUGAAGUCACAUUCUUGUUCUUGGUAGAAAUUUAUAGAACACAGUUCUCUUUGGCUCUACCUUGCUACCAAUUUUCCACGUAGAGAUGUCAUACAUAAGAAGAAAAAAUGUUACACAGAUUAGUUUCUUUCUUUCUUUCAACGUGUUCAAGUUAUUGUUGUGUAUGUAGUUUUCAAAUCUAAUAUAAUCAGAAGAAUGGAAAAGAAAAAUUAAAAUUAGAAAAUAUAAUUAAUUUUAUCUUGUUUGAUAUUUUGUACAUUUAUUAAUGAGAAUAAUAGUAUAAAUAUUGCAUCUAUCACCAUCCUUCCUAUUUCUUGGUUUUCAAGUCUUGAAAAAGAAUAUUGAAUUUUGAAUGAAACCAAAUAGUUUUCAGAUGAUCUAUGAUGAUUUUAUCGUUUCUUACUUUGACAAUGUUAUAUAUGCGAUAUGAGUCAUUAUUGUUUCCUUAAAUAAAGUUUAUUGGUCUAUCAAAAAUAUACAUAAUUAAAUCAAGUUCAUUGAACAUAAAAAAGUUUAGUAUUAAAGUUUGGUUCACAAAAGGUGACAGAAUAAUGAAAGUUUAUUUCAACGUUUGGCACGCACCGAGAGAGAGAGAGAGAGAACGUUUAACAACUUACUACUAUAACAAGAUAUUAAUUUGUUUUCUUUUAUAGAUAAUCAAAAUUAGUAAGCAAAAGAAAAAAGGUGAAUAUUUGGAAGACGUAUGAAUAUAGAAUUUGUAGGUACAUUUGCAAAGAGGAAAAGUUUUUAGUGGUUUAAGAAAUUUGAAUUGUUAAGUUCAAUUCAUGUUAUGGGCCAAUUAACGUUGAAGUUGAAACCAUGCAUGAACCUGGGCACGUACCUGAACACUUGUCUUUGUCACGUGGACCCAUUGUUUUAUUUUAAUUUCCCCAUAUCCCAACACCAUUCCAAUUGCCCAACUUGGUUUCUUUUUUAUUAUUUUCAUUAUUAUAUCAUUUCUUUUGCCUGUCUAUUUGGAUGAUUUUUUAACUUUGGCUUCUAUUUUGGUUCAUGAGAGUAUUAUAUUAAGGAAGAAAAACCAUUGUCACACUUUAAUAAACGUAAUUUAUGAUGAUGUCACGGUCGGUUUAAAGGUAAGACCAUUAAAGCCUUCGAUUUAGACCUAUCAAUAAUUUUCUUUUUAAAAUUUAUAAAAAAUGUUUUAUAUAUCAAAAUUUACAUUAAAUUUCAUUUAGUUUUUAAGAUUACUUGGCCGGUUAUGAUGCUUCAUCAAAUAUACUAUUUAUUAUAAAAAAAAAAUACCAAAAUUGUAAAUCAUGAUUUUUUUUUUAACUUGUAAAUUUUCUGUAAAAAAUCCUUCAUGUGUUUUUUACAAAUAACUUUCCUACUAACAAAAAUGAAUUAGUGUUUUCCAUCAGAGAUAUAUAAAAAAGAGUUAGGUUAUGUGCAAACUUGACCUUUCUUAACAUUUCAACUCACACCAAGACAUGAAUAGACAAAUGGUGAUCUCCCUAAUAGAUUUUGGGUCAAUUCUGUGGAGGAGACCAAGCCAUGUCUCCAAGCUUGUGUUGUGUCUUGAGGAGAACAUGGGAAUCAUCACACUAAGCUUAUAACAAUCACAUGAGUAAAUUUAGCCAUACCUUUUUUAAAUAAAAGUGAAAUUGAAUAUUACAUAUUCACCCAAAAUCCUAAUGCAUUAUGCAUGAGUCAUGAUUUAUAUCACUUAUUUAGUGUUAAACAUCCACUUUUUUUAUAUAAUAAUAUAUGUGAUUUUUACUCACACUUGACAUGCUAACGGUUUGAGGCUUUGAAUUGGCUUUCAAUAGCGAAAUUUUCAAUAAUUGAGUUCUUAUUUUCUUUUUAAUGUUAUUCCUUUCUUUCAUUUUUAAUAUUCGUUUCAAUAGAAUAAUUGUGUAUAUAUUUAGUUUGUGUUUUUCAAAGUUCAAUGUAAUAUUAAUAUAGAGGUUAAUUAUUGAAGAGAGAAAAACAUGUAUAAUAAGUCAAUAAAUAGUUCUCCGUGAUCACAACUCAGUUAGUGAGAACAUUAUAAUAUGUAGGGGUUGAUGUUUAAUUUGAACCAAGAUUUCUCAAUUAUUCAUCUUAACGGGUAAAAUUUUGGUCACUAAACUACUUGAAAUUUUGGUCACUAAGCUACUUGACAUUUUUUUUACUAUUACAAAAAAAGAUUAAUUAUUCGGUCAGAAGUAUCAAAAUUUAUUUGUUUUUUUUUUUUUUAAUGUUGAUGAUGCCUGGUCUUGGAUCCCUGAUCCUUCACUUGGUUACACUGUUAAAGGGGCUUAUUGCGCGCUUACAAGUGGGAUGGUUCUAGUUCAUAAUACUCCAGUGGUACCUGCGGCUCUUAUUUGGAGGAAAAAUGUUCCUUCAAAGGCAUCUAUUUUCGGUUGGCGCCAUUUUCAGAAUAGAUUGCCUAUGAAGGCUAAUUUAUUUCUUCGUGGAAUAAUUCAGUUUGAUGAUCAGCUGUGUAUUACAGGUUGUGCGGAGAUUGAGACGGAUGCUCAUCUUUUCUUGUCUUGUAUUUUCGGGCAGGUUUGACAACUUGUUCGGCGAUGGUUGGGUGUUCAUUCAGCAGACCCCUUAACCAUUGUUAACCAUUUUAUCCAAUUUGGUACUCUUCAGGUCUUGCAAAAUCGCGGUGUUCUUUUAUGUAUCUCAUAUGGUUUGCAAGUUCAUGAGUAAUUUGGAAGGAAAAGAAUGCUAGAACUUUCCGAUCAAAAGAGAGCACACUUUACCAGCUCUUGAAAAAUAUCAAGCUUCUUUCCUUUUGGUGGUAUAAAGCGCAAUUUGUUGUUUAUCAUUUUAAAUUCCAUGAUUGGUAUCAGCACCCUUUGUUAUGUUUGAGUGUUGGCUAAUGCUUUCUUACUGUUUGAGACACUGAUGUAAUUAUUUACUAUCUCCUUUGACACACGUUGUGACGGAAGGGUAGCAUCUUGGUUUAAUAUAUCUCAUUUUGAUUUGUAAAAGAAAAAAAUUAUUGGUUUUUUCACAAUAGCAACUAAAAAUAAUACAUAGUAAAAUAUACUUUCUCCUUCCCAUAUUAAGUUUUAUUUACGAUUGUCUACACACGAAAGUGUGAUUACUUUUGUUUAAUCGAUUAACGGAAGAAAAAUUAGGACACUUAAGCAUAUACAAUUUAAUCUAUUAAACUCAUUAAAUAUCAAGAGACUUUUAACUAUGCUAUGAAAAUGUCUAAGCAUUUAAACAUCUAUCAAUUAUUUACUUUACAUUCAACUUACUUUAAGCUAAAAUAAUUUUAUAAAAUUCUAUUUUUGUUACCGCACAAUUAGGUAGUGUCCAAUACCGUGUUUCCCUCAUAUAUCAUUUUAUUAGGUCACUUUGCAGCCGGACCUUUUUAUUAAGAAAGAGAUGAUUUGUCUGGGGUGAUUUUAGUUAGUAGGUCAUUUAAUUAAGAAAGUUGAUAUAAUAUGUUAUGGUGAAGACUUUAUCUUUAUAUACAAAAAUCCAACUUGCCCAAAACUAUAUUAGUAGUAUAUAGAUAUAAUGGUGACUGUUGUGCGAGGGGCUCUGUAUCCCCAUUUUUUUUAUAAUUAUAUAUUUUGAAUGUCCUUCUUUUACUAACAUAUUGAGAAAAAAAUUCCUCUAUGUUUUGUUCUUGAAGUUGAGCUACGCGGUAUAUUUAUUUCAUAGGCUUAAACCUCUAAUCAAUUGUUGAAUAUGAGAAGUAAGUACUAAUUUUAUUCAUAUACAAAAGAGUAUUUUAGAUGCAAUUAUGCAUAAACAAUCCUUUAAAUACACUACAUGUUUGUCUUAAUAUAUGUAAAAACCGUAAAUGAUAUGAUUAUAGGAAAAAAAAAUUGGAACCGGAAGGAUCCCCAUGAUAUAAAUCCUUCAUUUGGACUGAUAGUUCAUGAUAGUAUUUUAAAUAAUUAUCGUCGUAGUAUGUGUUAGAAAAUCACUGCAAAACUUACUAAAGAGAAGAUUAAGACGAAAAUGGUGGUUUCACAUGAACUCUGAAAUGUGUGUGGACGACAAACUAAACUUUAGACUCUGUUCACCCCAAUCAAUUUAUGCAAACCGGAUGUAAAUUGAAAAUUUUGCAAAUCUCUUUUACGAUAUAUUGGAAUCCUUAGCAUGAAUUACACAAUUAUAUCAAAUGUAUUGAUCAAUGAUAGUUUAUAAAAAAGUUCACCAAUUUACUAUGCACUAGAGAAAAUAAAAAAUGACUUAGAAAUAAUUUUGAUAGAAUUUUGCCACAUGAAAAUCAUAAAUUCUUUCUCUAUUACUGCUUGUAGACUCAAUUUAUAGAGAAACUCAUGCCACUCAGCAAAGGGAAAAACAUACGGAAAUAGUUUCUAGAUCCGAACACUACAUAUAUAAAUAAGCACUUUGUAACCCUUUGUUGAAAGGUUGCUUGUUCGAAACCAACCGGUGUCGAUUAAUGUUUUGAAAUAUAAUGCAUUUUGCAAAUAAAAAUUUAAACAUAAUUUGUGGCUGAACAAAAUCGACCCCAUGACCGAACAACUAUCAAACCACUAGACCAAACAAGUCCUUUCAACAUCACAAGGUUCUUCACAUAUUUUGAAAAUUCUUCACAUUAUGUGGGGUUUGGGCCCCUAUAGGAUGGAGAAUGAAACUACUCUUCAUGUACUUAGAGAUUCUUUAUGCAACUUAUGUAUUAAUAAAAUUUACACCUUUUGAUCGGACAACUAACUUCUCUGCUUUUGACUGCAAAAACAAUGUUUUAUUUACCUUAACAAACAUUUGAAUAAAAAUCCCAACUUCGUGUAAAAGAAAGCUUUUAGGAUUAUCUAUUUUCAAACGGAACCCUCCAUUUUGUUUUAAAAAUAGAGAUGACUCUAACCUGGUGGGGUGCCAGUAAAACAUAUGGGGGUGAGAGUAAACAUAUUGAAAUGUUUAACUUGUCGCUUUUAGCUAAUUAAUGGAGAAGCCAAUGUUAACUUAUAUCGAUUACAUUACUCUAUAUUUAUAUUUGUUAUCUGAGGUCAUUAAUUAGUAUAUUUUAGGAGUUAAUCGGUCUAUGAAAUCUAACAUUUUGAAGUAGGAAUUAUGCUUUUACUUUUAUGAUUAAUCAAACCCUUUAUUGUAGUUUUGUUUUGUUAUUUACUUAGCGAAGCAAGUGGCUGCUUAGUGGGAAGUUGCAUUGCACCAGUGGGACUAUCUGAUGCAUCGCCUAAUAGGAUGUUGUGUUAAACAAGUAUUCACCCAAGUCCCACGAUGGAUGGUGGAAAGAAAAAAGUAGUAGACACUUGAUAUAAAUAUGGAGUUCGUUUGAGUUUUUCUUUACCAUGCAUUAUUUAUUAAAUGAAUCUAAAAAGUGAAUUUUUGUUUAUAAUAGUGAUCGGAGGGAGCACGUACUACGACUUGGGUAGUCGUGUGCAUUAGAAUGGUUGCUCUUAACCCAAUUAUCGAUCCCAUCCAAUAAGAUUUCAUCUCAUGGCCCAACAUGAGGGUCAUAUAUUUUCUGAGGAAGGAGUUUUCAAAAUAUUGAAGCUACGUAUCGUCUCGCAUUGCCUAACGAAGUGACUGAGAUCGCCUGACGAUGGAGGACACUUUUGUCAACCGAUGGUGUUUAAUUUUGCACAAUAUUUAAGUGCAUUAUUGAGAAGGUGUGUCAUAAAUUGAGGAUUUGACCUUGGGACAAGAAAUUGAAGUAUCAAGAAAUUUCAAUUUCUGUAUUUGCAUAUUUUCCACAACGUGUAACUAAAUAUCUUUGAUUAAGAUGAAAUUACAAUGCAUUUUAAAUUCUCGUUUCUAUGAAUGCAAUAAACAUAUUAAUAUUUGUCAUUAAAAACAUUAAAAAUAAAAUCACUCUGAAGAGAUUGCAAAGAGCCGUAAUUUUUUUUUAGGGAAAUAUAUAGAGCCUUAAUUUUUUUGAUUUCUGUUUUUUUCUUUAAAAAGUAAGAAAUAAACAUUAUAUUACUAUAACACUAAUAAUGUUCAUUUUGGAUAUAGUAUAUCAUUGAUGGUGCUCUUUUUGGGAUAUAUUAUAUAUGUAAUUGACUAAUCAUCACUCUCUUAAUCGUCAAUAUUACUUAUAUUUAUGUUGAUAUGCUACGAGCCUAUGAUUGGUUUCUUGUGUUUGUUAAUAUACUUGCUAUUUCUUUCCUUUCAGACAACCCAGUGAUGUGGUAUUUUUGCAUCAAACAAUAGUAAGUAUUUAUAUCGUCUCCUCAGAGACUAGUGCGAUAUCACGGACCGUUCGACACCAAAUAUCAUUCUAAGUUAAAGAUAAUUUGUUGUUUGUUUUAGAAACUAAGUUGCAAGAGUAAUAGGGCGUAAAAACUUGUUAGGAUUAGAGUUCCUUAAUCAAGCGUCACACGUAACCUAAUGACCAUACAUGGAUUCUAGCUUUUCUUUGAUAUUAUCACGUAUCCCUCGACAACACAAUUCGUGUCCAAACAAUAUUGUGAAAUCAAUUGUAUCAUUCAAUCGUUGAUGUCUCAAACUAUUGAAUGAUUCAAGAGUCGGUCUUAUCAUUUAAUCGAUGAUUUCUCAAUCUAUCGAAUGAUAAGAAAACUUUAAGUUUGGAUACAAAAUGUGAUUAUCAAAACAUCAAUUCCAUGUCUAGAACUUAUGUUUUGAUAGAUGAUUAUUCUAAACCUAGAUUCAAAAGUAUUUUCUCAAUCACAAUUAAAUCAAACAUAAGCAUUAAAGUGCAAGAAUAACAUCAAUAUCAAAUCAAAUGCUAGAACCAUAUAUUUCUACAUCAAAAGAUUACAUGUUAAGCUAAGAUCAAGUACCUCUAAUCCCAACAAAGGAGAUUUAGCUACUCAUUGUCAUGGAAGCCUUGCAAGAAUGAAUUGAAAGAGAAGGAUUCAUUACAAACUUGUGAUCUCUCAACAAAAUGAGAAAGAAUCCACUUUCUAUCACUCUCACUCUAUGAAGAACAAGCCCUAUCUCUCUCUAAAAGUAGUACAAGUGAAAAAUUUGAGAAAAACUAAGAUAAAAAACUAUCUCUCGAUUGAAAUGAUUAAGGGCUAUUUAUAGAACUUCUGAUCUGCUUCAACUCGCCUCGCGAGCUCCUUCAUUCGCUAUGGCAAGUGAAGUUCCUUCACGAUUGGGUUUGUGCCACGUCAUCUGUGAGGAGUUUAGGCCGCCCUAACUCGCCUCGCGAGUACAUGCACUCGCCAUGGCGAGUUGCUCGUUCGCCGUUGCGAGUUGAUGGCGAGUACAUAAGCCUUCCUGUCUCUUGCUAACCUUUGCUGCUCGCCACUGCGAGUUGGAGGCGAGCAAAGUGGUGCCCCUGCCUAUUUUGUACUUUUCUUUGUUUUUUCAUCUUUUCUUGGUGUCUUGAGUUAGAAUCCUGCACAAAUGGGUAAAGUAAGAUAGAUAAAGCGUAAAAAGGGCAAUAAUCACUUAUCUCUCGGCUUUUCCCUUAUAACUUGCAAAACAAGUAACAAAAGUGCCUAAAAUAUAUCAUGAAUUUAACACUUCCUAGCACUUAUCACCCAGCAGCCAGAUCACUUGGAGAAAAGAAUGAGUUGACCGCGGUAAUCCUGCCAAAUGUCCAAAUUGAUGUAGAUGUUCUCAGACGGAUUGGGGAGGUGUGAAAAUGAUAACGAUCCACCGAUAAACAAGGUGCCACAAGCUACCGAAGAAGUCGCAAUGAAAAAAUAGAUGACCCAGGGACUCCGGGCAGCCACACCCACCCACACAAAUAGUGUCGUCAUGCGGGAAUAUUCUCCUACGAAGAAGAUUAUCUUUGGUGGGGAGUCGAUUGCGAAGUAAUCUCCAAACGAACAUAGACACCUUUAACGGAACAUGUUUCAACCAGGCAGUAUCGAAAAGGCCUGUCUCUAUAGGUAUGGCCGACAUAUCGUGAGGUACUGAUAAGUCCCCUUAACGGUAUAACCACUAAUUAGGAUCAAUAAUCCAACGCCACCUAUCAAGAGUAGAAUCCUGCAAAAGAACAUUACACAAUAAGGACGAGCAUUCCACAACGGAAUCCUCUUCCCACGCUAAAAAAACGAUAUAUAUUAUUUAAAUUAGUAUAUCUAUAUGGGCUAUAAAAAUAAACAACAUUUCAAUUUAAUAAAAUGAGACUUUGCACUAGGCAGAUAAAGCCAACGAAUCACUUGUAUGAAGUUAUCGUCAAAACUAAGACCAUGAACAAACAGGAUAUAUACAUAUUCCACAGUCCACAGAAAGCUUAUAAAUAGUACUUCCAUUGUGCAACACUGAGGUGACGUAACAAAGGAGAAUUCUCUUUUUUGAAAUAAUUCGACAAAAGAGAAUUAUAUUAUGGUUUGAUGAGAUUCAUAAUUUGUUCAAAGAGCGUUAAGAUUUUUUUAUACAAGAAUUUGAUAGUUAAGACUUAAGUUAAACACUAUGAUACAUAGAUACGGGUGUGAGACUCAAUAAAAAAAGAUAUUGGUACAACACCUAAUACGAGUAAGAAGAAAUACAACAAAUUUUCAAAAACAAAAGGUAUAUGUACUUCAAAGGUUUACUUUUUAGCCAAGACUUCUACUAUUUUCAUCAAAAGACAAAUAUGUUACGCUAUUUAUUCAUGGCCUGCACAUUUGUUGUAUCAACCACUUAAAAAUGGAUACAGAUCAGUACAAGGUACACUAAUACUAUAGUUCAGAUUCUUGUUUUGACGGGAAAAUGACCUCCUCAUUAUUAUAAUUAAUUAACCUAUAUAAGAAAAGACGAUUCAAAAAAUCUUUUAAGGUGUAUUUAAUUAUGAUGUAAAAGACUUUUUUUUUUUUUUUUGCUCUACAUCGGGGCUAAUUUCAUACAUAAAAAAUUUUAGAGGGACCAAAAACCUACAUAAUAUUUUAUGAGGAUUAAAAUCAAAUAUUGAUAUAUUUAGUGGGACUAUUUACUUAUUUGACCCUUUAUUUUAUUAUAUUAGUGAGAGUAUAUUUAAUAUUUCACAAAUUUCUAUGAGUGGAUACAUUUGUAAAAACAUUCAAAAAGUGAAACAAUUAAUGCUUCUAUUGAUUUUGAUGUUUUUUUGGUUUUUCUUCUUAUAAUAAGGAUCAGACAGUAUACAAGAGAUCUGGAACCUCUCCUGCAUUUUUUGCGCAGCUUCCUCUCCUUUUCUGAUCCAAUAGUUGAUUGGUUCAUAAAAGAACAAAAAUCAGCACUAAAGAGAGAGAAAAUAGGUGAAUAAAAAAUGGCUUAAAUUAUAGCAAGACAAACAACAUGAGAGGAAUGGUUGAAGAGGAUCCAAAUCCGUAUACAAGAAAUGUUGUCCCGAUGUUUUUGCAUCUAAUUCAAAGAUCCUAGCAAUAUUAAUUUGUAUAUAUAUUUGGUGCUGAAUGGAAGCUGUUAUAAUUUUAUAUUGGAAAAAUCUCAUAGCAUAUUGACAUUUAAAGUGCAAAUACUUGUACAAGUCAAUAAUGGGCUACCUUUACUCAACAUGAAAGCUUUAAAAACAAACAUUACACAAAUGUUUACAUACAUUCAUAAUGUUAUUAAAUUCAGUAAUGUCUCGACUUCUUUAUUGAAGUAAUCAACCACUUUCUUCACAAAAGUUAUUAUAACUUUAUAGAUUUUUCUAUCAUGUGCAAACUUGCAUAAGUUCCAAAAUUAAAAAUAUAUAGUAAUUUUUAUAAUAAAUAAUUGUUGCAUUCAAUAAAAACUUAUUAUUUUUAGUGGUCUUAACCUAUGCAAUAUUGUAAGGAUAGAAAAACCCUAACUUUAUUUUGUUGAUAAAAUUUAUAAUUUUUAUUUUAUCUAUAUACAAAAGCAUGAAACCUUGCCUAAAAAAACCGAUUAGACUUUAAAGUUAAUAAUAAAUGGGAUGAAUUUCUUCAUAAACUGAAAUAAAUUUCGGAGAUCUAUAGUCUAUUAUAAAACAAAGAAACUCACCUACUUCCCCAGAUUCCUCUGCAAAACGAAUAAUUUAAUUGGUGUCGGAAAUUUCGUUUGGAGAAGACAAUUCCUUUUUGAGGGAAGAACAUCUCUCAAAUUUGUUGGUUUUUUAUUCAACCACUUUACUUGGUUCAAUCAAAGAUUCGUAGUGAUGUCAAAUCAUCGAUGGAGGUAUUGUUUAGGUAAAAUCAACCUAUCUAUUUUAAGCAAAUUUUUUAAGGUAAGUUCUCAGCUAACAUGAAGUUUAGAUCGAUAUCAAUAAGUUGUGGGUAAAAAAUAGAGUACAAUUUGUACUUAAUCUAUUUGUAUUUUGUUUACCUCUUAUUGAAUAAAUUGAUUUCUUCUAAUAUUAAAAAAAUGCUAAUUUUCUUCUUAAAAAACAUAUAUUUAAAGAACAAUUUUCUAAGAUUUGGGCAGCAACUAUCACUAUUCACUGCAGCAAAAUUCCAAAUGCAGAAAAAGUUUGUGUUGAGAAACCCUAACAUGCAGUGGUUUCUUUCUCUAGUUCCCAGAUCAUAAAAAGGUUAAAUGGAUGUGUCAGAAGAAGCUAAUUUUUAACUUCAGUUUAAGCCCUACUCCAACUUGCAAUGUCAAGAGUAUAUAUCUUACAAUAAUGGUUAUUAAUUAUUCCCUCUGUCUCAACAUGUAAGCACCAUUUACGUAUAAUAAAAUGGUGCUUAGAUACAGGGACUCAGGGAGUAUAUCUUACAAAUGGUAAAUGGUGUACUACUACUGGUUAUUGAAAUAUAAAUCCAAUUAAGAACAUGAUUCCCCCCUCAAAACACAAAAUUGCAAAGUCUAAUCAUUAAAACAACAGCAUCGAUAUCAUAUUAAACUACAGAUCUACAGCCAUGAAAUUUCCACAUGAGAUUAAUAAAAUAAAAUUUAAAAAGCAACCAAGAGAUAUAUAAAAUGCAACCAACUCACCAAUAUACAUAUGUAAAGGAGAUAAAACUACUAAAUUAUUCAUUCAUAGAUAUAUAAAAUAAAAAGACGCCCACAAUCAUAUUUUUUAUUCAAAACACAGAAGCAAAAGAGAAUAAAAAAGAAGUUCAUAAUCCAUAUACAACAAUAUUACUAAGAACUAAGAUGCAUGCUUCCUCAGAGUCUUCUUCACAAUACAUAUAUCCUUCAAAAUACAAGACAAAUUCACAGAUCUAAAUUUGAUUUUUAGAUAUAUUUGAUCUCUACCUCCCUAAAUUAUUCGAAAAUUCACACAACUCAACUCAAUAAGGUGGUCUUCCAUGAGCAGCAGCCCAGGCAAGAGCCUCAUGUCCCAUCUGCCCUCCAUUAUUAGGCAACAAAUUUGGUGGCAAAUUAUACAAAGGCAUGGAAGAAGGAUCUGGAAGCCCACCCUGCAACUGAUGACCAAUUCCUGGUGGAGGCGAUCCACCAGUCGACGCUCCUCCACCUUGCACACCGCCUGCAGAAUUAGGCCCUUCAUUAUUAUCAUUAUCAUCGUCAUCAAGUGGAAGUCUCUCAUAAGUAGCAUUAGUAAAAGUAGCGGCAAUAAGCAUAACAGGUCCAACUGCAACAAGAGUUCCAACAACACAACCUCCAACAACCUGGCCCUGACCUCCAGCCAGGUACACUGUAAGACCAGUUGAACCUGGUGGAGCAGGACCAGGUAGAAAUGUCCCGGUUAAGGACAAAAUCUCAAACCUGCCAUGAAGUGCUACAACGGCACCAGGAGCUGAAGGUUGUCUAAGAGUAACAUUAGCUACAGAGCCACUUCCACUGAGAACACAAACACCGCGUUGACGCCUCCUUGCGAAUUGUGCUACACUUUCUGCUAUAUCAGCUCCACCGGCUACCUCCAUGACAUGGCUCUUCAAAGCAUUUGGGCUAUCUCUUGUUACAAAGAUAGGUGGUUUUGGUCUGUUUUUGGAUCCAGGUGGUCUUCCUCUUGGUCUUCGGUUACCAACUUCGACUGCACCUUCUCUAGGUUCAUCUCUGUUGUCAUCGUCUUCUUCUUCAUCAUCGUGAUUUUCGUUGAUCGUUAGGUUUGUGUUGUGGUGUUUGUUUAAAUCACUUGGGGAGUGGGUUCCUGGGUCAACCCCAGAUAACCCUCCUUGAAUUGUCCACCAAGGAUUAGCCAGAACUGCUGUUGUAGUAUUUCUACACUUAAGAAGAAGAAGAUGAUGCUUUUGUUGAUGAUGUUAUGAGAAAACAAUUGAGCUUGAUUAGUUUUGUUUGAUUUCAGAUGUUUGUUUUGAUGUUUGAAAUAUAGGGAUGAAACAAAAAAGUCAAACUCAAUAAGAAAGCUGAAAAAAGAAACAAAAGGGAUAUGUAUGUUUAUGAUGACCUAACAUAUGAUGCUCACUCACUAACUUACUCAAAUGGAUGAUGAUAGGGUAAAGGAAAGUGAUGUGCUUAGAAGAGAGAAUUAGAUGCAAUUAUUGGAUGAGAAUCAAGUAAGGGGUUUGAUUAAAAAAAAAAACACUGUCUAAUUUUUUUUCUUUCAUUUAUUUGUUUUGUUUAUUCUAUUGGUUACAAGAUAGAAGAGAUACCAAACCUUUCAGAGACUCAACUCAAGUAAAAAGAGAGAGAAUUAAGAAAUAAAAAUUUAGAACAUAGACAGUGAGACAAAGAUGUUAUAAUAAUGAAGUAAUUUGAGAAGAACACGAAACUAACUAACUGUUUGAGGAGGACAAAUUAAGGAGAGAAAAAGUGUUUUUGAAUAAAUUGAUUUCAUUACUGUUAGUGUGAGCUGUGUUGUUGUUGACAUGGGGAGAUAAAAUAUUUGUUUUCUUACUUACUUUAUUGAUUUUGUCGUUUAUUGAUAUUCCAUACGUUCUAUGAUAAUCGAGUCAUUUGUUAAAAUAAAGUGUUCCAAAAUAUUUAAUUCAUCUCAUUUUUCAAUACAAUAUUAAUUAUUUUUUUUAUUACUCUCUCUGAUCACAUUUAUAAGGAAAAACAUUUUAGAUAAUAAUUAAUGUAUUCAGUCACAUUUAUAUGAUAGAUACAUUAAUGAUUCAAUGUACCUAAAAAAACUGUUUUUUACUUAUAAAUUUGACCGGAGGAAGUAUUAAUUACUACUAAUUUUAUCACUCUCAAUUUCAUAUAUUUUAGUUUGCAUUUAUACAUUUUUUUCUUAAAUUCGUGAAAUGAACACAAUACUCAAUUAUUAUAAGAAGAAUGGAGUAUUAUUUAAGUCAUUAACUACUUGACCAAACAAAUAAGAUAAACAACAGUCCAAUAAUCCCUUUCUUAGAUGUAUGACAAGUGGCAGGCAUGUAAAAAAUCAAUGGCCGAGAUUAAAAUGUAAAUGAACCUUUCACUGUUCCCUUUCUUCUCCCUCUCACGUUUUCUGCUUCCUUAAGCGCUGCCGUGAAGGUCAAUGACUCCGCCGUGAUCCACCACCACUGUGUCUUUGUUCUUCUUAUUACUCACAAAACAUCUGAAAGAAAACACAAUAGAGACGCUCCAAAAGAGAUCAUGUAGUUCAUGAAAACAUCUCUGCUUGUCAUCUUUCGUCCGACAUGAUGUUUCGACAAGGCUCGUUACCUCCACCACGCUGUGUCGAAAUUGGCAGAAUUAUGGGCCUUUGCGGCGGCGAUGAAGCAGUCGAGGGAAGCAGAAAACGUGGGAUGAAGAAGAAGUAGUAGAAGUAGUCUCUCAAAACAAGUAGAAUAAGUUACUCCAAAUGCAGAAAAAGUUUGUGUUGAGAAACCCUAACAUGCAGUGGAUUCUUUCUCUAGUUCCCAGAUCAUAAAAAGGGUAAAUGGUUGUGUCAGAAGUAGCUACUAGCUAAUGUUUAACCUCAGUUUAAGCACUACUACAACUUACAAUGUCGGGAGUAUAUAUCUUACAAUAAUGGUUACUAUAACAAAGGGUAAAUGGAGUGCUACUAAUUGUUAUGAAUAAUAAAUUUAGCGGAUAUCCAUCCUUAAUCUUCUACUUUUCUAUAACCUUUAUUAAUAAAUGUAUGAUUAUUAAUUUUUAAUUGAUUUGAUCAUUCACAUACUCAAUCAUGUCCUAUAGAUAAGACUCAUAUUUUAGUGUAAUAACACACUUGUAAAGAAAAGAAGACAAAAACUCUUAAAUUCUCUUGAUCUUGUUAUUUAGUUUAUUUCAUUAGCACGAAGUAUGAAACUCUAAUCAACCGAUGUUCGAAAGUUUAUAGCCAAUAGUAGAGUUGUGGAGAUGAAGGUAAGUUAAUGUUCCACUAAGAGGUAAUAUUGAUACUUUCUUGUUCCUAAUAUUGAUUUGUCAUAUUCUUGUUUGUAGUGGCCGAUAAGUCUCGGUUACAGAAUUGAAUUUUUUUUUUAUUUUUUUUAUAUUUUUAUAUAUUAUGAUUAGUGUUUUCUAUUCCGUAUACUAAUUAAUUAAUCAGCCAUUCUUAGGUAAAUUCUAUCCGUCAUUCUUAGGAAAUUCUAUGGUACAUCCACUAUAUUUAAGUGUAUUGGUACACUCACUCUUUAAAUUCAAAGUUAAAUGAGUUGAUUUUUGAAGAAAAAUCUUUUUUUUUUAUCAUUUAUAAUUAUAAUAACUAAAUCUUAUUCAUCAAAAGUGUCAACGAAAUAAUUUUUUAUUUUUUUAAAUUUUUAUCACUCAUAAUUAAGAACAUUCAUUAUUUUUUACGAUAAUAUGUAAAAAAAAGUUACUAUGAUUCUUAUAAACAAUUAAAUGAUGCUUUUUCUUAUGAAAUGUUGCUCUAUAAACUAUAAAUAUUGACAAAUAGCUAUAUAUAACAAAUUAAGAAAGAGAACUUCUACGGUACACUCACAAAUCAAUAUUGACACAUAUUAUUGUAAAUCAGGAGUUUACAAAAUCAUAUUAAGUUUGUUGUUGGCUAGACCGGUAGGGUCAUCUUGAGUAUAUUACAAUGCGAAGAAAAAAUAGUUGAUUUUUUUUUUUUUUUUUAUGGAUAUGUAUUGAAGAGUUAGAAGUUUCUUCAAAUUUAAUAACUUUUUUAAUUCCCAAAAAAAAGUUGAUAAUUUGAGGAAAUGGGUCUCACAUUUGGGGAGAUUUUUGAAUCAAUACACACAUAACAAUCAUGUGGACCAGAUAUAUAUUUUAUAAAUUCAAUUGAUGCAUCAAUUAUGGUCACAUGUAUGUUUAUUGUUGUUAACUCACAACCAGAAGUUUGUGAGAGUAUUUGACUAACAUUUCAUUUUACUCAUUUGAUAAGUAUUGAAUGUAUAUGAAAAUUGAUAUCAAACAUUCAGUAACAUAUAUUCAUUUUUAAGAAUGGACUUAAAGAUCCAUUCAUUAGACGACUAAUGUUAAUUGUACGAUCAAUACUUAUAAGAUAAGAUCUUUCAACUUUGUACUUGAGAAUAUAACAUCUUGCAUUAUGAGACAUUGAUUCACAUCAAGCCAACAAGUUAUCAUAUACAGAUCGUUCCCUGAUACAAAAUUUGAAGUUUGGUUUAUUAGGCUAAUAUUUACUAUAGAAGCAUUUUUUUAAUGUGUUGUGUAUGAUUCAAUUGCUCCAAUACAAUGCGCUUAGAGGAGUUGUAAACGAAUAUUAGAAAAAUAUACUCUCUCCGUUUCAAAAUGAUUGUCGCUUUAGCCAGUUGCACACAUAUUAAGGAAUGGAAUAAAGUAGUCAAAUGUCAUAGCAAUUUUACCGAAUUAUCCUAAUCAACUAUUGGUUUGUUUUUCAUUAAAGAAAAAAUAAUACUUUGAAAGUAGUGUAACAUAGUAUUAUUUGAAGGGUACAAUUGAAAAGAAAAAGUUAUUAUUGCAUUGGAAACUGAAAGUGACAUUCAUUUUGAAACAAUUUUUUUAGGCUAAAACGACACUCAUUUUGAAACGGAGGGAGUAUUUGAUAUGAAUCUUCAUAUAUUAUAAAGUAUAUUGAGUUAAUAAUUGAACACAUAUUUUCAGCCUAGUAUGUUGUAUCAAUUGAUGAAUUUAUUUUCCCAAUAUUAGGGGGAGAAUAAACGGUCAAAUAUCUGAAACAAAAGUUUAAAUGAAAAUUUGAAAUAAAUUACUACUAUCUAACCAUGAUCUUGUAUAGACCAAUCUCAGCCAGAAGUUUAAAACAUGAUUUCAUUUGAAAAGUUACGCAAAAUAAAUAUAUAAUGUUAAUGCUCAUACCAUUAGAGAAGUUCGGGUUGGACAAUCUAAUAUUGUAAAUGAAUUUCUAAUUCACCUUAAGCAUGGUAGAGCAGUCGGUUCCACAUACGAAAAUCCUUGAAAAUGAUCUCAAAAGAAAGAUGACCCAUGUGAGGAUAUAAAAAUUUCAAAAGAGAAAUUAUACAUAAUUUAUCUUUUAGUUCUAGCAGAACUUUUCAGGUACCUGAAACUUAUGAGAAUAUAGAGAUCUCGAUAAACUAUGUCAUGAAUGAAAUGCGAUGGAACCAAAAAAAAGUCAACGUUGACAAUAUUUUUAUACAAAAUAUAGCGUUAUAUGUGAAAAAUGAUAACGAGGAUCGUGAAUCAUAGUCUAUUAAAGAUUAGGAUAUUACAAUGAUUGACAUAAUAUAAAGAUGCAUUUUGUGCAAAAUUAAAUUAGCUUUGCAAAGCGAAUGGUUUUUGGGUCAGUAGUCCAUUAUGUAAAAAUAAAAUGAGAAUUAUGGAUUAUCUAUAUGUAAAGUCGGACUUAUCGUUCAUGAGUAGUGGUUAAAAACUACUAUUAAUUUUGAAUGGUUCAUGAGUAUUCACCUGAAGUGAAUUAUAGCAACACUUGAAAGCUGCAAUCUAUCUAUAUAUGAAGUACAUGUUACAAUAUAUUUAUAUGACUCACUUGAUAUUUUUAUAUAAAGUUUUCCGAAGAAAUUAUUUUAUCGGGGCAUGCAAUUCAUAUUCUUGAAGAGAUUACUUAAUCAACUUGAAAUAUAGAAACAUGUUGUAUGAUAUUCUUAGUGAAUAUUUUCUAAAGAGAGGUAUAAAAAUGAUAUCAUUUGUUCAUUUUAAAAUAAAUCUGAGAACUUCUGAAGAGUUUUUUGAAGAUGAUUUAUUAAAUAAUAGAUAUCGAGAUAAAAUAUGUAGGAAUGAUAAAUAUUUAUUUGAGAUUACAAGUUGAGUAUUUGAAGGAUUACAAUCUUUUAAAUCAUGAAACUUAUAUAGCAAAGUGCUAAAAUGGUUAUAUAUAGGAAAAUCUCAUUUGUUGUACACUUCAAUGAUUGUCUGAGAACUUGAUUAAAUAAUGAAGAACUAAUUGGUCUUGAAAUACCAUAUUUUAGUUUAAUUGAGCAACUGGUAUGAAAGAUUGAUCUUCAUAUUCUCGAAGAUGGUUGUUUAGUUGAGAGGGAGAAAUAAAUAUAUUCUGCACUCUUUUUCCUUAACCAUGAUUUUGUUCCCCUGAAUUUUUUUGGUAAGGCUUCUAACGAGGCAGAUAUAUCAGAUAUCGUACUCUUUUUUUUUCACUGAGAUUUUUUUCCUACAAGGUUUUUUCCAUGUAAGAUUUUAAUGAGGCAUGUCCAUUAUGGACAUUCAAGGGGGAGUAUUAUGAAUAAUAAACUUCAUGGAUUUCCAUCCUUAAUCUUCCACCUUCCUAUAACCCCAUUAGUGAAUAUAUGGUUAGUGGUCCUUAAUUGAUUUGAAUAUUCACUUGCUCAAUUAUUUUCUAUAAAUAAAACUCAUAUUUUAGCGUAAUGACACACUUGAAAUGAGAAUAAGACAAAAACUCUCAUCUUCUAUAUUUUUGAUCUUGUCAUUUAGCUUAUUUCAUAAAAAUAAUUCAUAUACAUCAAUAUUACUAAGAAUUAAGAAGCAUGCUUCCUCACAGUCUUCUUCCCAAUACCCUAUCCUUGAAAAUACCAGACAAAUUCACAUAUCAACAUUUGAUUUUUAGAUAUAUGAUCUCAACCUCUCUAAAUUGUUGGCAAAUCAAACAGCUCCACUCAAUAAGGUGAUCUUCCAUGAGCAGUAGCGCAGGCAAGAGCCUCAUGUCCCAUAUGCCCUCCAUUGUAGGCAUCAAAUUUGGAGGCAAAUUGUACAAAAGCAUAGAAGGGUCUGGAAGUCCACCCUACAACUAAUAGACAAUUACCGGCGAAGGCGAUCCACCAGACGUUCCUCCACAAUGCACAGCGCCACAGAACUAGGUUUUUCAUUAUUAUCAUUAUCAUUGUUAUCAAGUCGAAGUCUCUGAUAAGUUGCAUUAGUAAAAGUAGCUGCAAUAAGCAUAAAAAGUCCUACUACAACAAGAGUUCCAACAACAAAACCUUUAACUACGUGACCUUGACCUCCAUCCAGGUACACUAUAAGGCCAAUCGAAGCAUGACCGAGUAGAAACUUCCUAGUUAAGGACAAAAUCUCAAUCCUGUGAAGUGCUACAACAGCACCAAGAGCUGAAGGUUGUCUAAGAGUAACAUUAGCUGCUAUACAGAGCCACUUCCACUAAAAAAAAAAAGCACCACAUUGACGCCUUCUUGCGAAUUGUGCUAUGUUUUUGGAUCCAGGUGGUCUUCCUCUUGGUCUUCGGUUACCAAUUUCAGUUGCAUCUUCUCUAGGUUCAUCUCUUUUCUCAUUGUCUUCUUCUUCUUCUUCAUCGUGAUUUUUGUGAUUGUUUACGCAAGAUUCAAUGAAAAAAAUCAUAAAAAUGUGGUCAUGUCGACUUGAUAUUAGAACAUACAUUUAUAUGGAGUGAUUAGAUUACACUAGUGUAGCAUUUAAGUGAUGUUGCACCGGUCGAUAAAGUUUAAACGAAUACAAAAUUUUAAACUCUUAAACAAAUUUGAAAUCAUAUGGUAUGUUAUUGACUCAUCAAAACUAAGGUAUUAUCCGCUUUUACUGAACGUCAUUAAUCUCAUGUUCCCCAAUAUCAAAUUGAGUUAGAAUUAGGUAAAGUUUACAUGAUAAAUUGAUGUUCUGAUAUGUCAAGUGUGAGAUAAAAUUUCACAGAUAGAAGAGUAAAUAUUACAGAGAAUAUAAGUGAAAUAAAUUAUAUACCUAAUGCCUUAGAAUUUUGAGUGAAAAUAUGUGGUGUCCAAAUUCACCUAAAUGUCAGGGUCGUUUCUAUGAAAUUGGAAGCUCAUUUCUCAUAAUAAAAAUAAGCCCUUUAUAAAAUAAAAACACAAUUAUGCGAAAAAAGAAAGGAUUAUUAGGAUUCUUUGAAAUAGCUUUUCAAAUUGAUUGAUUAAGUGAUUAUUCAAAUUAGAUAGUUUAAUAGCAUUAAAUUCUUGUCCAAAAAGAAGAACUAGACCUUAUGAGUAGAGUGAGUCUAUGUAAGCGUUCAAAGAAAAAAGACAUACAUAUUGGUGAACCUUUCAACCUUGUAAGUUGUAACCAUUUCAGCUACUAGCACACUAUCCAACCCAACAAACAUUGUUACCGGUUGGUUGUUUUCUCAUUUUUAUUUUUCAAUAACAGUUCUUCUUUUUUACUUUUAUUUUUAUAUAUUUUGUUUACUAGAGUUACAUAUAUUUAAAACAUGAUAGAGAACUAAAUGACAGAGGAUGCUUAGUUGAAUUAAUAAAUUAUUAGUGUAAAUAUGCUAUUUAGUAAUUUUUAUAUAUUAGUUAUUAUUUGUAAUUCCUAUGUUUCUAGCACUUUUUUAGGAUGUUUAAGACUAUGGGCCUGUUUAGAUUGGCAUAUCUUAGAGUUUGUGUAAAACUGUUUAUGUAAAUAAAUAAGCCUUCAUGUAUUAUUUAUAAGUUUCCAUCCUAUAAUGAGUGACAUACUUAUGUUCAUUUGAAGCAUGACAAAAGGCUCCUUAGACAAAACCAAAGACAAUCUGAACAAAUUAGAUAUUUUAUACCAAAUCGCACUAGCAAGAUAUAUCAUAGUACAUGCAUAGUUUUAUCAUCGCAAUAAAAUAUUGAUCCCACAUGAACUUGUGAAUCUCAAGAUGUAUUUGAUGGUAAGUGGUGUCAAACUAAAGAGAAUAGUUAUAGGCUAAGCACUAAACAUUACAGGUGACGGUUUUGAAACUUGAUGGUAUGAUUUCUGAAGUGGGUGUUGGGGUUUUUCCCAUUUGUUCAUUGAAAAUGACCUUGAUUGCAUUAGGUAUUGGCUUUGACAAAAGGCUUGGUACAUUCUAGUAUAUUUUUACACCAUUGAACCAUAUAUCUCUCAUAUUACCUAUUUAUUCAAAAUAUAGUAAAAAGAAAAUAAAAAUACAAUUUUAUAAAACAAAUUAUUAUUAGAAAAAUACUAUAAAAUAUUGUGUUAUUACAUAGUCAUAAGUUGUAAAUAAAUGGUUUUCCUUUUCCCUAAUUUUCGUACACCAUGCACACAAUGAAUUAAAACUGCCACCAUAAACAUCUGUCUGCGAAAGAUUAGCUCUUGUUGGCAACCACACCAUAAUUAGUUUUCCAGAAGGUCAAUGAAUUAAGAGUAUCUCGAAUUUUAAUGAAGGAUAGCUUUUUCAUAGUUUUCCCAUUUCAAGAUUAAUUUCCAACCUCAAGUUCAAAUAUUCUUUAUGCAAUAACACGUUAUGUAAUCAAUACAUCGGAUCAAAAAAUGAUUUCACCCAAUUCUCAAAUUUUUGAAAAAAAAUAGUGAUAUUUGUACAACUCUUUAGUACAACUUUAAUGACAACUUUGGUUUUCUCUCAUUUGAUUGGUCAAAAAUAAUAGAGAGAAAAAAGGGAAAAGAGAUAUAUAAUAAGAAGAUAUGUGAGUAUGAAAGAGAAAAUUGUCAAAGAAUUGCUAGAAAAUUGUUGUACAAAUAUCAUUUCUCUUUUAAAAAUCAUAGUGUUGUACCAAUCUCCUUCGAUAUGUAACCAAAAAAAAAACUCCUUCAAUACCUCUUGACACGUCGAAUCAACUCAUAUUCCAACCCUAUAUUUUGGAAAUAUAUAUCAUUUGCUUCGAAGGAGAUUAACAACCACGCCCUCCACUGUGUCAAAAGUGACAAGUUCAUAAUUCUCAAUUAGAUAAAUUCCUCAGAUUUCCCCCAUCGAUGGCCUCAAAUAUUUGAACAAAAGACCUCCUUCACUACAAUUUAAAAAAUUAUACGUCAUAAACUCUUGUGAAACAUUCACCCCCCACUAAACAACUUUUGAAAAAAAUCACUUUCAAACCCGACAUUAUCUCAAAACCUCUCGACAAAGCCAUUAACAUAUUCUUUUGAUUAAGGUGAGAUGUAAUUAUAUUUUUAUUGAAAAAAUAUAUCAUAGAAAUGGAAAUGAUUUUAAUUCUCUUAAAAAAUAGAAAUGGGUAAUCUCGUGACCGUAUUUUCUGUUUCAUGUUUUCCAGGUUUUUCUAGUAAAUAAAGGUAUUUUAAUGUUUUCUAAUUUAUAAAUGAUGCAUAUGGAUCAUGUAUAAGAUUUAAUAUGAUUUAAUGAGUUUAUCUAAUGGACCUCCUAAAAAGUUUCAAAUGUGAACCUUAACCAUUUGUACUAAAAUAAUAAAACUUAUAAUAAUAAAAAAUGGGAAAAGAUGUAACGUUUUAUUUAAAGAGUCAAUAUUUAGACUCUUUUUAAAAUGUCCAUGUUACAUUCACCUUGAUUUAAUUACAAAUAAUCUAGUAAAAAGUCAAUGAAAUUGAAAAUUUGAAUUGGAGCUAUACUUGUAGUUGGUGGUGAAGUCAAGGACAUAUGCAAACAAACGAAAUGAAUGAAUGAGAGUCUAUCAGCUGGUCCCAUAGCAAAAUACACAAUGAGUUCACUUGCUUCCCGCGUGAUACUCAUCUUGGGGGCACGAAAAAUAUAGGAUAAAUUAAUGUUGAAUGUUUUGAUUGUCACAUGUAUGGUUAUCUUGUUGGGAAGUUUACGGUUAAAUGGGAAACGAUAUGGUUAAUGUUCCAAAACUAUAAGAGAGACGUCACAUCUCUUAUCGAAAAAACAUUAGAUAUAUCGGCAAAUUUGAACUUAACCGCUGCCAUAAUAGGAUGCAACACGGAAUCCAAUCAUGUUCCUCUACGAAGCCAAACAAAGGUUAUGAUACCACUUGUUGGGGAGUUCAGUGGUCGACGGAGCCAAUGCUCCAAGAUCAUAAGAGAGGGAGAUGUCAUAUUUCCACUUAAAAUCGUAAGACAAUAUUGAAAGAGUUAUGAUACAUAGACAUCCUUAGGUGGCAAUACACCCUUUAACACCCACACAAAAAUCUGACACGUGGUCACAUGGACCCCGCACAAGCACACUUUCUCUUUUCUCUCCUCUUCUCUCUUCCUAAUGUAUGGGGUGUACAAGGGUGUAUGGGAAUAAAUGGUGUCUAUGUAACAUUUUCCAUAUUGAAAAUAUGAGUCACUUAUGUUAUCAAUUCAGCAUUUUACUCAUUCAUAGGCGAUGUGAGAUUUAACCAUUCUCACUUAAAAUCCAACCGGUCAUUACUUUUUUUGGAGUGUAGAACUAAUGGAGAAUAGUAGGUUGGUAUUGUUGAUAACAAGGGUAAUUAUUGUUAUAUCGAGUGACUUGCAUAAUGCAAUUUGUUUCAAGGGUAUUAUACUAUUUUAAUUUCAUAAAAGAAUGAUGCUCUCAGUAUUAGUCAUGUACUUUUACCAUGUUCAUAACCUAAUUAGCAAUAGUUUGAGUUUUGGUACAACUUGUCCAAAAGGGGUAUGAAGCUCAGAUGAAAGAUUGCCGUUUAUGGCUUCAAGAUCAAAAUUAUAAUUUGAUUGCUAGGGUGUUGCUUGAAGGCUGGCAUAAAAGACGAAUUUUGGAUCAAUCAAGGCUUUAAGAGACAAAAUGAUUAUAAAAGUAAUGUCUUUUAUAUAUCAUCUCAAUCAAUCAUGUAAAACAUGUCUUUUUGAAAGUAUGCAAGAAGUUAAUUUCCAAAAGGAGCAAAUUUAAGAGUGAAUCAGUCUCUCCAACUUUGUUUCAUACGAUAAGAUGUGUGUGGCCCAAUUGAUCCAUCUUUCUUUGAUGAUAAUAAUUAAUAAUUAGGAAAAUGCUAACAAUUGUUCUUACGAUAUUGUUUAAGCAUCUAAAAGGAGUAAAUAGGUAAUUACCCCCCUAAAAUUAUAAGUUUCGUCAAUUACCCCUCUGAAAUUAAACAAAACUUCAAUUACCCUUACGAUAUUGUUUAAGCAUCUAAAAGGAGUAAAUAGGCAAUUACCCCCCUAAAAUUUGUAAGUUUCUUCAAUUACCCUCCUGAAAUUAACAAAACUUCAAUUACCCCCCCCCCCCCCCAUCCGUCAAAUUUUUCUAUUAGUCAACAUGAUCUUUUGCAAAUACCCCUCUGAAGUUUUGAACUUAUGUGCAAAUGCCCCCCAAACUUAAAAAUUUAUAUAUAUUUUUCUCAUACUUUUACUCAAAGGAUAUUAAAGGCAAACAAGAAAGCUUAAGAAAUGUAUUUAGGAUUCAAGGAAGAGCUUAAAGAGUUACCUGGUGAAGAAUACUACGGUAAAGGAGGAUUACCAAAAGUGUUUAUUGAAAAGAAAUACAUUGGUGGAGUUGAGGAAAUUCAGAAAUUUCAUGAUGACAAGAAACUUGAGAAAUUGUUUGAUUGUUGUGAAAGGAUUGAUGACAUUGAAGGAGGUGAUGGUUGAUGUGAGGCUUGUGGUGAUAUAAAGUUUGUUCCUUGUUAAACAUGUUAUGUAAGUUGUAAAAUCUACUAUGAAGGUGAUUACGAAGAAGAUGGUAAUUGUGAGGUUGGUGGGUGAGUGUGGAUUUCAAAGGUGUUCUCAUUUCAAUGAAAAUGUCCUAAUAUGAUGUUCCAUGUGUUGUUUCUAGUUCCAUAUUUCAUUUUGACGUUUAACAAUGAAAAUGACCUAAGUUAAUUGUUCGCCUUUAAUAUCUUUUGAAUCAAGGAUAAGGAAAAAAAAAAUAUAAAUUUUCAAGUUCGGGGGGCAUUUUGCACAUAAGUGCAAAACUUCAUGGGGGUAUUUGAAAAACAUCAUGUUGACUAACAGAAGAAUUUGACGUAGGGGGUAAAUUGAUUAAUGUUGUACAAUUUCAGGGGGGUAAUUGAAGUUUUGUUAAUUUCAAGGGGGUAAUUGACGAAACUUACAAUUUCAGGAUGGUAAUUGUCUAUUUACUCCAUCUAAAAGUAACAAAAUUUACAUUAAAAAUUAUGUAAUUAUUACUUUUACAUAUGUUUGACUUGUAUUUUUAAGAUAAAAUAUCUUUUUGUGAGUUCUUUAAACAAUGUUUUUAAAGCACUUAUUAGUAAGACCCUAAUAAAUAUGCUCUUGGACAUCAGUAGCUUUUAAAAAUUUCAAAGCUUUGUGAAAAAGAAGAGUGGUUAUGUAAUUCAAAUCUAUAAGAUUCAAUAGAGGUGGACAAUUCACUUCUAGAAUCUAAGGCAUUUGUUCCUAUAUGAACAAGUGGGUUUACCUUAUGAGGGGAGAGUGUCCUUCCUUCACAAGUGAGUAUAAAGUGUGACUGGUCGUAAGCUCCUUCUCUAAAAUGCAGGAGGGGGAGGGGCAAAAGACACUAAUGCACAAGUAAAAUUGGGUGUUGGCGAAUAGUGAAGUGAGUAAUUAGUAAGUAUGAGUGUGGUUAUCGUAGGUGGGGCAAGGCCCCUUAUUUAUAAUGAUGUAUAUGGUGUGAUGCUCUAUAUUGGUUGCUAACUUCUCUUGAUGGACCUUGACUUGACCCUUUUAUUGAGGAGAAUUGUUCUUCUCCCAUCUGUUUUUGGUCAUUCCCACUGGAAAAUACACAUGCGUGAGUUAACUCACGUCGAGAAUACAUAUGCGUGAGUUAGCUCACACUAGAUUAUUUUGACAGAAAUGAGCAAAAACAGAUGGAAGAAGGGUGGUACUCUUUAUGAUCCUAAUGGGCUUUGAUGUUGGACGACCCAAAAGGUAAUUGGGUUGGACCUUUUAGGUUUGUACCAUAACACUACUAAUAUUAGGGGAGGGGGUAUUGUGCUCGAGAUUAGGGUGUGAAUAAGGUAGAUCAAUUGGAGCUAAAUUUAAUUGGACGCAUGUCAUUAGUCUCACAAGCCAUAGAGGCUUAUGAAACGCCCAAACGUCAGUCUAAAAAAUAAGUCUGCGUAGGCUAUAAGCUAGACCUAGGCCUUGAAUUAUUAUUUUUUACCAAGUUAAACUUGAGUCUUAUUAAGUCUAGUUCGGCCUAGCCUAUUCUCACCAAUACUUAGGAUAUUUGAUGUGCUGGUGCUCACAAAUCACAAUACUCCUCUUUUCUGCGAGUAAUGUGCAUGAGUUUCGCGACUUUUAGAUAGAAAAACUACUUAUAUUCAAUAACAAUAUAGCUCUCAGGUGAUAAAUAGGAGUCAAAAAAUUGAUAAAUAAUUAAGAUAGUUCAUAAAUAAACCAGUCUCAUUGAAAUAAAGUAUUUCAAUAGAGGAAAGUAAUUUUCAUAAGAAUUUUUUUGAGGAAAGUAAUAGAUUGUUAGAGACACUUUCAUUCCUUUAACAUUUUUUCCUUUCACUUUUUUUUCAACCAAAUCAAUAGAUAGUGAAACUUGAAAUAAAAAGAAGGGAAUAUGAGUGGUGGUAGCAGAGGAAAAGGAAGUGAGAGAGAGUGUGGGGUGAUUGAAUGAAGGAAAAGGGUGAGGUGCUAACAGGGAUUACCACAUCACAUGUUCAUUUCAUUUAUCACAUCAUUGUUUAAAAAUGUAGGUAAGUUCAAUGUUGCUAGGGAAGGCAAGACCAUGCUAAGGAAGUAAAUGAAAACUGAGAUUUGUGAUAAAUGAAUGUUCCAUGAGUACAUAACAAAAUGGUGAAUCAGCUGUGUGUGUAAUGUAUGAUGCAAUGAUUCUUCAAGUCAACUCUGUCCACUGUCCACUGAUUUGCCUGACACGGUAACUCAAAGUUUAAAUAGUGCAUCAAGCUCCAGAAUUCAUUUCAUGGAUCACAAAUAAAUGUGGUAACUCACAGUCAGACAGUGGUAUCUUUUGAUGCAUGGUCCCAUGAUGCAGUACAGCCACAACUGUCUAACACCUUAAUGGAAACAAGAUUUCAACAUUGGGUGUGAAGCCACAACAGAUUUACAUUUACUACCCAAAAAAAUCAUUAUUUCGAAUCUCGUACCUUUGAUUUCUUAUAGCAUAUAAUUACAUUACAUCCAAAUGCAGCAUGAGAGGUUCAAAUUUAUCAGAUUUCCAAACCAGAAAAGAAAAGGCCUUUAACUCGAUAUCUAGAUGACUAUUACUUUUCCCACCCUAUAGCCUUCUCCCGCGCCCUGUAAAAUUUUCAAAAAUGCCCUUGUGCAUUCCGGAUUUUAAAAUCUGGAUUCAUGUUUACUAUUUCGGAUUUUAUAAUCCGGACAAUUCUUAUGUAUAAUCAGCCAUCAGACUCUCUCACAUUUCAGCAGUUUUGAGUUUUGCUUUUAAAAACAACAAAAUAACUAAGUAAAAAAAUGCUAAAAACCUGUCAAAUAAAAUCAUAAAAAUAUAAAAAUAGCACCAAAAAAUUCUAAAAAUCAAAUAAAACUAAUGCAAAUUUUUUCGGAUGACCCAAAACAGAAGGAUGGGAGUUAGGAAGAUUAAUAUUGUCCCUAAAAUGACUAUCCAUGUUACAAACAUGUUUAGGAUUUGUGCUGAUACAGUUCGGAUUAUAUAAUCCGAACUGUUUUACCUUGAAAAAGGGUGUUUAGGGGGUUUUCGGAUUAUGUAAUCUGGAAACAUCAUGUAAUGCGCCCUAUUUUUUGAAGUUUCCGGAUUACAAAAUCUGGAAAAACCCGUUACUCAUUUUUUCACCCUUUAACAAAAGAAAACAUCAUUCCGGAUUAUAUAAUCCGGAAUGCUCCGAGGGUAAUUUUGAAAUAAAUAGGGCGCGCGAGGAAAGGCAUAGGGUGGGAAAAGUAAUGCUCUAUCUAGAUUUUAAAGGCUAAUGACCUGGUAGCACAAUUUACAUUGGCCCAAGUAUCUCCCAAAACAAUAUUUUUGUUCAAAAUUUAUGCCUAAAUGUGUCAAAUCAGGAUGUCCGGCCUAGCCCAUCGGGCCAAAGUGCAAAAGCAGGCCAGACUAUAUGCCCAUAUAGUCACAUAUUUUGUGGUCUAGUCUAGCCUAAAACACAUCAACCCGAGCCCCGUGAAAUAUGCAUUUUAAACACAGUAUCUAUGCAGUUUGGCUCAACGUGAGAAACGGGUUGUGCCGAAAUGAGCUAGUUUUUAUGGACCUCUAAAUAAGUUUAGUCCAGCCUGAAAAAUGGGCCCAUCGGGCUGGCCGGUCUGGUCUGACUAAAACUGGCAUCUCUGUUUAUGUCAACUGCAGGCAUCUUUUCACUGAUAGCAUAGCAGUAAAAUUGAUUGAAGGACAGAAUCUUGCACAAGCUUACCUUCCAAAGUCCUUACUUUUGCAAAGUUAAGCCACUUCAUUCUAAACAUAAGUUUCACAAUUCAAGAUAUUGAUACAUACACCACAAGAAUGUGCCCUCUAAUUAAGAGGGACUCACUCUCUGAAUUAGCACGAUGAACCACUUGAACAAAUCAAUGGAAUCAUGAACCGGCGGCAGGCAAGAAUCUUAGAUCUUAUGGCAGGAUUAUAAAUUCAUAAUACAGAACUUUUCAAUAGAGUAAAUGCAUGGAUGAACUAACAGAAACUAAAAGAAUGAAUAUUCAUAGAGAGCAACAUGCAAGGCGCGCAUAAACAUAAUUAGAAGUACAGUAUGAAUGUUUUUGCCCAUUUUAUAAAAAAUAUAGCUUAUAUAUUUUUAUAAACCAAAUUGCAACCAAAAUGCUACUACGCUUUUCAAACAUUCAACAAAAUUAAUCCUCGAUUAAUGUACAAACUAAUCCACUGUGGUGUCAAAAUGAUACUUUUGAAUGGUACGAUAAAUUAAGGAAAUGCUCACCACACUGAGGAUUACAAUAUCUAGAAUGAGUUCAAUCGAGUAACGAAUCACCGCACUGCAAUUUCCAUUUCAUGCAAUCUUCCAAAUUGAAACUGCUUGCACAACCCAGUAAUGCGUUUUGUUGUUGUUCAUAACGACAUAUAUAGUUCAAUCCUUUAAGAAGUUCACAUAUAGCUUCCUCUGUCUUUAUCUUAUCAGCAAAGUAUAAUGUCUGAAAUAGUAGCACAUUCGUCCUGCUAACUAUUCCACGUUGCUCAAAAUUCCUCUCACUUUGCCAUUUCAUCAUAUUAUGAGCAAGCGGAGCAAGCCACCGAAGUAUCCCGUCAAGAGUCGCCUUCCAGUCAUGUGCAAGAGGGGCAUCAUAUAUGGCCAAAUUCUUGACAUAUGUCUUAAGUUUGGCCUUCAAAGAUAACCUUAAGCUAGUUGGCAGCAUCUUAUAUAGAUCAUCUCUAGCUUCCUCACCAAUUAAAUGUGGAAAGCUAAGUACUUUCUCAAUGACAAUAAUGAUAUUAGCAUAAUGCAAUGCAAGUGCACAUCCUCCAAGAGUUGAAGGAGGAGCAUAAACAACAGCUAAUCCACUAUUUGCACCAAAGGUUGAGCAUAAGUGCUCCUUUUUCUUGACAAUAUUUCCAAUCCCAAUAGGACUUUGAGAGCUUGAUACACAACUGUAAUGGUCCUCGCGAUCGAUAGCAACAUCAUCGAAAUCGUCGAAUUUUGAAACUGAGCUACUUAAACUCAGACAUUCCAUGAAAAGUCUCCCAGGACUUGUUCCACAAGGAAAACCAAAAUCUUCAAGUUGAACAUAUGCUAACUCACCUCUCUUCAUAUCUAUAUGAGACCUACUACUACCAUUUCCCCCAAUUGAACUCAAAUUGUAACCAGUUUUCUUGCUAUGACUGCGUUUCAACUUCUCCGACAAAUUCACCUCAACAUUAAUCAAGCUAGACGCCGAACCACAUUCAUUUUGCACGAGUGGCGAACCUUCACAGUUACCAAUCCCAAGGCCAUCCUUCCUCACAGUAGAAUCACCAAAGACCAUGCAGAUUCUUGCAUACAAGGUACAAACUGUCCUGGCCAACAACUCAACAACCUUAUCAAAAGUCUGAUUCCAAAGUGAAAUCUCCUUAAGCUGCCUCACAUCUUGCUUCUGCCAUACAAGCCUCUGCUCAAACCCCCUUCUACUCUCCUCAUUCUGACUAUUAUUCUGAAACUUCUUCACUGUUUGCUCCAACUCAUUCAAACCCCCCAUUUUACUAUACAAACUCCUAGUAGCACUCACAUACCUAUCCAUUUUCCUCACCAUUCCUUCCAUAUGCUUAACUAAAAACCCCAAUUCAUUCACAUCUAUAACACCACUAACAAUAUCACCAUAGACAUGCUCAAACCCUUGCAAAGCAGGCACAGAACACUUCUUCCCUAACCUAGAAACCACACCAGCAACACGGUUCAAUUCCUCGAGCUUCUCACGUCGAACAAGCUCGAAUAAAUAACCCUCUUCUGAAGAAACCAAGUUCCUAACACCCUCUGAGUUCAAGAUCUCAUUCCUUAACUUUGUUAUCUCAGAUUCAGACAAUGAUUUAUAAAGUUGAAUGGUUUUGGACAUUACAUUAGCUACUUCAAAAGAAAGAAUACCUAUAGUUUCUACUUUCUUAUUCUCUUUCCUUUUAGGACCAUGUUUUCUACUAGUAGAAGAAGUUUCAAGCAAAAGGGCUUGUUUAAUAUUUGCACUUACUUGGUUACCCAUCUUCAAAAUCCAAGCUUCAGCAACCAUAGCUAGUUAGCUACUACUUUCACCAAAUUUUCCUUCUGCAACAGCCCAAAAGUGAAACUUUCUAAAAAAACAGAAUUUACCUAAAGAAGAUCAAACCCAUUAAAGGGAAGAAGGAGAAGAUCACAAAAACUUGCUAAAAAUCCAAACUUUCAUGGUAAAAAAGGGGGUUUUUGAGAUGAAUUUUUUUAGGGGGUGUAAGAAAAACAAAAGGGUGCAAAUAGAAUAAAAAUUGAAGAAGUCAAAAAGUGGCAUAGCAAUAGCAAUGAGAAGAAGAGACAGAAAGAAAGUGGAGGGAAAAGGUUAAGGUUGUGAUGUGUUCUUUGUCUCUUGUUCUACAUUUCAAAAAGGAGAUUCAGAAUUUUUGAAAGUAAAAGGACUUUUCAAUUAAAAAAGAAUAAGUGCUUAUUCAAUUUUGAAUUUUAUAGUGUCUGUUACUGAUAUUGCGUCUUUCAAUUAAUUUUGAAGGUUCUUUUUUUAGUAAAGAAAUUAAAAUAGUUGCCAACUUGUUGCCAUUGUGAAGUAUGCAAGUUUAACUUCUACCUACCAGCCAAAACAAGGGCAUAAAACAGCUACACGAUGCAUAGACUUUAUUAAAAAUAUGUUAAAAAUGUAUAUUGCUAUAAUUAUUCAUACACAAAAUUUUUGAAACUCAAGCUAGUUGAUUGAUCAAUAUAUUUAAAAGAAAUACAAUUUAAGCAAUAAUGUGUAUUGUUUAUUUAUUAUAUAAUAUUUUAUUAAAACUAUGUUUUGAUGAUGAGAAAAAUUAGUCAAAAUUGAUGAACUAUAUUAGUGCAUUAGUUAUAUGGAUUAGGCAUGGUUUUAGUUGUAUUUCAUUUUUGAACAUUAGUAUGAAGACAAAACAUAAGUCAAAGUUGUUAACCAAUGUGGUGUUGGUGGAAGCAUAUCUUGCCCCAAUAAGAAGGAGGGUCUAAAAAAUUUAUCUAUUCUCACACUAUAAAACUUGAGAAAUGAUAUUUGUACAACCACUUUGUGACAACUUUUAAACAAUUUUCUCUCUCAUACUCACAUUAUAUUCUUACUCUCUCUCUUUCUUCUUCUCUCUCCAUUGUUUUUUACCAAUGAAAAGAGAGAAAAUGAAUGUUGUCAAAUAAGUUUUAUCAAAUGGUUGUUCAAAUAUCAUUGUUCAAAACUUAAUGGUUAGUAAAAACACAAUCUUAACUUAUUUUUAUCAGUCAAAAACUUGUCAAUUUUCUACUCUUUUAUAUAUUUUUACAAUAAACUUUCCUUUAUUUCUUCUAUUUUUUGAAUUCAAAUUUUAAAUUUUACCAUUUUUUUCCCGCUCAUUCCAAUCUUCUCUUUUACACUCCUUGCAUUUUCUCUUUCUCUUCCUCCCAUUUGUUUUAUCUUUCAUGUGUUACACUUCCAUCACUAUCUUGUCAUAUUCGAACACUAAACAUUUAACUCUUUUAAUCACUUAGUUCAAUCAAAUGAGCUACUCAUCCCAUAUUUGUUUAAUUUUAUUAAAUAUAUUUAGACAAGAUAGUCCGUAUUGGCGUAUAAACAUUAAGCCUUACUUUUUGUUUUGUUAACUAUUUAGGAGACUUAAUUUGUGCGCGAACAGCAUGGACUUCCUCUCAUUUCACUGUGGUAUAAGGGGAAGAUAUGGUCAUUUUAAAGGCUUUGCAUUUGAAUCAACAAGUGGGAUAUGAAUAUGUUCUUUUGGGUCAGACACUAAAAUUGUAGCAGAAGCAAUCAAUACCAAUUAUGUUGUUAUUUCCAACACAUGAGGGAGAUGAAAGUUGUUUCGAGCACCAGAGAAGAAUGACUUUAAAAGAAACACAUACACCCAAUACUCUACAAUAUAAUAAUGAAAUAGAAGAUACUCCAUUUAUAUUUAUGAUCCAAAUCCAUCUGGGUCGGGUCAUAAUUCAACGGUGAGAUAAAAGCCUAUGCCGCCGGUGAAGAUUCUGAUCACGAGGUCGUCAUGUAUCGCAAUACCUUCGGUGUCAUAGUCCAAUGUCGGUUUGAGUCCCCUGUUCUUCUUUCUAACAUGAAGGUGGAUUUUCUCGGUGGCAUAAAUAUGAUGAAAUUUCAGAGAUGAUGAAAUUUGACUUGAACAUGAGAGAGGAAACAAUUAAUUUUUAAGGAAUGGCUAAAUAAAUGAUACUAGUUUAUUGUAUUUAAUGGCCCUUAAGCUGUGAAAUUAAUGAUUUUUCCACUACCUUAAUAUGAUCGUCAACAAGUUUGAUGUUUGACAUUUAAAAAUUGUCUAAAACAUUUAAGGGUGUUGCUAACCGAUACCCCAUGGCACUGGUUAAGGAACAAUAAUAUUAAUGUGUCUCAUUUAAUUUCAUUCAAUUAAAGUGAAAAGUUUAUCAACUUAAUUAAAAUAGAAAAACGCUACAUUUAAUACUCUUUAGAAAGAUACGCUUCCUUUCUUUUUUUUUUUUCUUGUGAACUUUUUAGAAUCCUUUUUUUUUAGUCCCCUUGCUUUCUUUCAUAUAUCUUAACAAUUUUUUUCUCUUCUUGUGAAUUUUACCCCAUCAAGUUUUUCUUUCUGUGAUUUUUUUUAAGCAUUUUUUACUUGCAAGCUAAUUCACUGAAAAGUCUAUACUCAAACCAAUUUUUUUCCAUUACUCGAAAAAAACUAUUGUUUUUUUUUAAUUAAAAGCUGUAUAAAUAAUUAAAAUAAGACAAACAUUAUAUAGUCCAAAAUAAAUUUACAAUUACAAAGAUAAAACAUAUCCAAUUAAAGUAUGAAAUACAAAAUCAUAUUGAUGGAGUUUAAUGAGUAUUGAAUACAAGCAUUCAUAUUUUAAUGGCUUAAUAUAUGCUUUGGUCCCUUAACUUAUUUUUGAAUUUUAUUUUGGUCCCUUAACUUUAAACUGUCUCAAUUUGGUCCCAUAACUUUACCUCUGUUUACCUAAAUAACAGAAGGUAAAGUUAUGGGACCAAAUUGAGACAGUUUAAAGUUAGGGGACCAAAAUAAAAUUCAAAAAUAAGUUAAUAUACCUUCCAAUAAUUUUUAUUUUUUUUUACAUUUGACUCAUUAGAAAAAAAAAAUAUUAUAGUAUAAUAUACUAUCCGAUUUUGGGAGAAAGAAGUAGUGGUAAUUUGAAGUUUGAUUAAUAGGUAGGAAAGUCAGAUCAAUAAUUAUUCUACUCAAUAAUUAAUUGAGAUUCUUGUUAUAUAGAUUUUGGAAUAUAUUUCUUUUGUAUAUGUUAAUUUUAUUAUUAUUGGUAUCAUUAUCAUUAUUAUUAUUAUUAUUAUUAUUAUUAUUAUUAUUAUUAAUGUUAAAUUUUGUUUUUAAUUGAAAUUAUUUUGAUUUAGAUUAAAAUUAUAGGUAUAGAUAUUAAAAUUAUAUUUAUUAGGUUUAAUAUAUGCUUUGGUCCCUCAACUUAUUUUUGAAUUUCAUUUUGAUCCCUUAACUUUAAACCGUCUCAAUUUGGUCCCAUAACUUUACCUCUGUUUACCUAAGUGGUCCCUUCGGUUAGUUUUUUUAACAGAAGGGACCAUUUAGGUAAACGGAGAUAAAGUUAUGAGACCAAAUUGAGACGGUUUAAAGUUAAGGGACCAAAAUGAAAUUCAAAAAUAAGUUGAGGGACCAAAGUAUGUAUUAAGCCUAUUUUAAUUAAGUUGACCAACUUUUCACUUUAAUUAAAGUAAAUUAAGUGGAAUCAAUUAAUUUUAUUGUUCCUUAACCAGGGCCCCGAAGCACUAGAUAACAUUACCCAUAUUAUAUUCCUUUUAUCUUUCCUUGGCCAUAACUUCUUGAUGGCUGGUAAAAUAUGAUUAAUUACAAAUAUAUUACUCACUUCUUUCGUAGUUAUGUGUUUCUUUUUUAAUGUUCCCGCGACUCUAUUUACUUGAUAUUAUGCAUUGAUUUAAACUUCGUAUCACGAUAUAUGAUUCUAUCAUCAAGCAUAUAUUGACAAACAAUAUUUUAAAAAUCUCUUAUGUUCUAAUCCUUUAAAUAUGGAUUAAGUAUUUUGAAUAAUAACGUAUAACUCUAGGGUGUGUUUGUUUCAAAUUUACGAAAUUUAUUCCUAGGAAUAACAUUCCUUGGAAUAUAAAGAUGGGAAUUUUAUUCCAAGGAAUUUAAGAAAAAUAUGUUUGGUUAGCUUUAUAAUAUUCCUAGGAACCAUAAAAAUAGGGAUUAUAAUAGGUAAACUAUUUAUGAAUUUAUUCCCAUCUUCAUGGGAACUUUAUUCCCACCCUUUUCCUUUGGGAAAUUUUUUCUAUUCCCAGGAACAAUUUAUACCCGGAAAUAAAAUUUAGUAAACUUGUAACAAACAUAGGCAUAUACAUUCCUAUUAUUUUAUUUCCGGAAAUCAACAAUUAUAACUUGAAACAAACACACUUCUAAUCUUUUGCAAUCUUAUCAAUGAUGUUUUUAUUAAUGCCUACAACAAACUCUAGAGAUUGAAGAGUUGUCGAAACAAAUGAUGUUUGAUGAUAGAACUUCACAAAACAUUUGAGGGUAGAAUUAAAUACUUAUAGGGAUAAAAAAAAAAAUUUAGGGAUUAAAAGAUAGAGAAAAGUUUUAGGGGAACUAAAAUAAAAAGUUGAAAUAUUUAUAGGAAUUAAAAACAUAUUUAACCAUUUAUAGUAUGUAUAAAUAUUUAGAAUCUUACUAUUUUUUUUAUAAUAGUAUACAUUAAUAAUUAGAGGAGUAACAACUUUUAUUUUUUUAUUUUUUAAAGAAGGAGUAACAACUUUUUGGUACUUGUGUGUUUUACAAAAGUGAUUUUUAUUUUACACAUUUGUGCAAAAAAGGAAAGAAAAGAAGAAGAAGAUAAAUUAAGAAAAGAUUAUAUGAAAAAAAAUGAGAGACGAAACAAAGAUUUUAUAAGUCACUUUGCAAAAAAUAUCUGUGUUUUAUUAUAAGUCACUUUACAAUAUUGCAUCAUUAAUGAGUUUUUUUUUCCUAUUAUGUCCUUUACUGUUUACUAUUCUAUCUUACUUUAAUUCCUUUAAUCUCUUUUUUCCAUGUCAUUGAUAAGGGAUAAUUUUAUAAAAUCAUUCAUAAUUUUUCUUUCCAAUACAAAAUUAUCAACAUUUCUUAAUUUAUCUUAAUAAUAUUUUUUCGUUGCAUUUAAGUCUAAAAUUCUACAAUAUAAAUAUAUUAUAAAUUUUACUAUAAAUCACGGAUGAAAUUGAUAGUUUCUCCUCCAUGGAGGACAAAUAAUCAGCCAAUCAAUAUCUAAAUACUUUUGUCUCUCUAAUAUAUAUUUUUUAUUAUAAAAGAUAUUGAUUGGCUGAUUAUUUGUCCAAAUUGGAUAACAAUUUAAAAAGUAUAUAUGAAUAAAAAAAAGUAUUCCCUCCGUCGGUAAAUAAUAGUCGUUUAAGGUUGAUGCACGGUUAUUAAGGAAAUGAUUAAUGUGUUGAUUUUGAUGGUAAAAUUAGUAUCAUUUACUAAAACACCUUUAUUAAUUGUAAUUAGUGGAGGAGUAGUUAAGUUGGAUGAAGUUCAAUAAAUAAGGGUAUUAUAAUGGAAAAAAUAAUAAAUGUUGUAUUGGUAUUUCAAAGUGACAAUUAUAUUUUAAGAAAAAGAAAAAUGAGUAAAAAGACAAUUAUCGUGAGAGGGAGUGAGUAUAUAUGUUUAACUUUCCAACUGUUAAUACUUGACCCUUGAAUUUUUUUUUUUAUGGAGUUUGACCCUUCGCUAGUUAACGUCUUUAGAAUUUUUUUUUCCAAAUUUGAAUCUUAAUCUCCUUGGUUUAAUAUGAUACUCUGACUCCAUUCAUUUUCCUUUGACAUAAUUGAAUUUGUUGUUGUUUCAAAAAAAAUAAAAUUGAAUUUGUUGUGUUGUGAAAAUAACUUUGCUAGGAAUCAAACAACAAAAAGAACAUUUAAAAGGAAUUAUUGUUUAUUUAUAUUUUAUAGCUUACACGGAUAAAUUCUUAUAUUUCCUUGAAAGAUCUUUAAUUUUUCUUCUACAAAGCAUAAUCACCAUUGGAUAUGGAUUGCCCAUAUAGUUUUUCUUAGAUGAAAGUAAACUUAAUAUAAUGUUAUAAUCAUCGUGAACUUAGAUAAGUUAGUAAAGAAAUUGUAUAAUAUAUAAAAGAGUUGGAGAUCGAACCUUGAACCUUACAUAUAUUAUGCAUUAUUUUUACCAACUGAACUAAGCUAACGAUGACAUGCUAGUCUUAAUAUGCUAACAUGGUUUUAUUCUUGAUUUCUUUUUUUUGUUAAAAAGAUUGUUUAUUUAUUCUCUAUUAACAGAACCCCGUAAACUUCCGGUAGACAAUUCUUAUAGAAUAUUUUUCUUCUAUAUUUAUUUUUUUGAGGAAAUAUUUUUCUUCUAUAAAACAAUAGAUUCAAAGUAAACUUAUUCAAAAAAAGAAAAAGAAAAAUAGAUUCAAAGUAAACAAACAUAGAAUGAAAUCAAUUAACUUUUCACCAAAAAAAUAUAAAAAAUCAAUCAACUCAGAGGAAUUAAAUGGACCAACAAAUAAAGGCCCAAUAGCAACUCAGAGCAUCCACCAUGGUGAGGUCUUCACCAUUUAAGACCUAGUAUCUAAUAUGUACUUCCAUUGUGGAAAUUUUUUUUGAGGGUCUUCUAAGACUCAUGGUCUAACUUAAGACCCCAUCUUUCAGUGGUCUCCACACACUUUUUUUUAUAUUAAAAUAUUAUGUUAUUGAUGGAAUGUAAAUGAGGAAGAGUUAGUUGUGGAACCCAUUUAGACUUUUAGCCAAUAGGUCUUUAUUGGAGUGAAUGUAUACCUAUUAUGUACUGUUAUUAAAAAAUAAUAAAAAAUUGAUGUGUAUAAGUGGUACUCGUUUAAGACCUUCAAGUUGAGAAUCUCUAUUUUGGAUGCUCUCAGCAGAGCUCUGCUUUUUUGUCCUCUCCCCCUAGACUUUUUUUUAUUUUUAAAACCAUUCGGUUCGUAAUUACCAAAUAAUAUCUUUUUAGUUCUAAUAUCUUCAAUAGAUAACUUUCAAAUGACAUUUUUUUUAGCAUAUAGAGGAAAUGAGAGAGUGAGAAAAGCAUAGCUCAGCUCAGCUCAUCGAGGCACGGCCCAAUCAUGUUACAAGACAUGUAGGACACAAAAAUCCACGGUUGUUUGACAUAUUUGCAUAGAGUAAAGAGUACUGCUCUUCUCCCAUCUGUUUUUGCUCAUUCCUGUCAAAAUAGCCGAGUGUAGGUUAACUCAUGCAUGUGUAUUUUCAGCGGAGAUGAAUAAAAACCGAUGGGAGAAGAGAAGUUCUCUAUAGUAAAUAUGAAGUUGAUGCUUGAAAUUACAUGGUUGUAUUAUUUUCAGAAUCACUUUGAGAUAUCAUAAAUAUAAGAGACUAAAUUGAUACUUCCUCCAUCUUUUUAUGGGACAUUUUAAUAAAAACUUAUAAGUAUUAAGAAAAAUUGUCGAAGUAACAAUAUAUUUUAAAUAUGUGAGACUAUUAUUAAACUACAUUUUCCUCUUAGAAAAAUGUAUACACAUAUUUAAUGUUAAAUUUUCAUAUUUUAAUAAAAAAAAUGGUAGAAUUAAUAAGAGGUAUAUUUAGAGAAGAAAAAAAUAGUAAGAAAUGCAUCUAAAAAUUUGAGAUGAUCUCAUAUUCAGAGUAAAAAGACUUUUUUUUUAAUUAUCGUCAUAUAAUUAGUGACCAAGGGAGUUUUUGUUUUUGUUUUUGUUUUUGAUAAGAACGAAAGGAGUAUAAUCUUACAAUUUUAAGGAGUAAUUUAAUUUGUGUAUUUUUAUUCUUUUUGCAUUUUUUUCAAAUCCAUUUGGUAGUAUAUUUGAUUUCAAUGAUCGACCUAAAGAAAAGGAUAAUGCAUGACAUGAAAUAGCAAUAAAUGAGUGAAAAAUUGAAAACCACUCAUUUUUGGCACGACAUAGACAUGCAAAAAGACAAAUUAAAGAGAGAAAAGGCCAUGGAAUAUUGCUUUGCGUAUCAGCAACAACCAUUUCCAAUAUAUGAGGUGUACAACUUUUUCUUUUCUUUCUAUUGCCUUCUUUAAAUUCCUUUUUCAUCUUUGUUCUCUCGCCGCCGUAUUCAACUCAUCUCUCCAAAGCCCAAUCCUGCUACCCUCCUUUCUUGUUUUGUCCAGAUGUAGAUGGCGGUGGUUGGCGAUGCGACAAUGGUGGUGGGUAUGCCAUCCGAAUCGCAGCUCUCCCCUGUUCUCUCGACGGUGGUUCGUCGGUGGUACAGGUUUUAGGCGCGGUUUAUUCUGGUCCAUCGGUAGCGCCGACGAUUUGGGUUCAUUCGAAUCGUGCCACAGUGACUAGGUUUGAGGUUCUGUCAUACAUCUAUUCGGUUUGGAAGGUUGCUGCAGAUUUGGGUUUGUCCCUUUGCAGGUUCGGUUUCUCUGUUCUCUACAGGUUUUCACGAUUCAGUUUUGCAUCUACUGCGUCAAAGGAUUGGACUGCUUUGGGUUGUUGCCGUUUUUAAAAAAAUCUGAUUCGGUCUCGUGAUCGAUUUUGGAUUGUGGGGCUAGAAAUGGUCGUGAAUUUGUGUGCUUUGUCACAGUAAAUUGUGGAUGUGCGAUAUUUGUCACCGUGUUGGCGGUCGAGUUCAUAUGUCAUCCUUAAUGUGCCUCGGUUGUGUUUGUAUGUUCGCUUGAUGUGGGCCAGAAAUGGCUAAUUAAUCAGUUGAUCAGUUGGUGCGCGUGAAUUCGUUAAUUACCGUGUUGGCGGUCGAAUCCACCCCCAUUUUCAAGCAUUUGUCUGUGGUAUUGUAUGGACUCGAAAGAGUCAUCAAUGCUUGCUAGGGGUGUUCGUGGGUGGUUUGGGUUGGGUUUGGCCAAACCCAAAACCAAACCAAAUAGGCUACUCCGGUUUGGGUGAGGUAAAAUAACCACUCGUUAUACUAUUGGGUGGGUUUGGACAAAUCCACUAAUUUUUGGGUUGGGUUAGAUUGGGUAAUGGGUUACCCGACUUAUUUUUCUAUUUUUUUAAUAUUAAAUGACUAAAUGAUAAGUCCUCGUAAUUUUGUUUUAAAAUAGUACUCUACUUUUUAAUUUUUUUAAAGAAAAUGUUAACUUAUUUUACUAUAAUUGUAUGCAUCAUAAUAUCAAAUAAUAAACUCCAUCAUAAAAUUCUGGCAGCAAACUAAAUUGCAUGACAUAAAAUUGCAUUAGUAUCAAAAUAACUAAAAAGUGCAACAUAUUAAUGUGCAACUUUAGUAUGUUUUGAUUUUCAAUAUAUAGGGUACAAUGUGUAUGUUUUGGAAAUAUAACUUUCUUAUAUCCUAUGAAAAUAAAGAUAAAAAAUAUUAACAUUAUUGGGUAUGUGGGUUUUAUGGGAUUGGGUCUGGUUUUAUCCGAAACCCAUUUAUUUUUAUGGGUUUUCCAUUUUUUGAAACCACACCCACCUAAUUACCCAACCCAACCCAUUUUUUUGGGUUUUUUGGGUGGGUUUGACCGGAUUUUCUGGGUUGACCCAACCCAUGAAUACCCCUAAUGCUUGCUGUCUUUGUUGCAGGGAGUUGAUGGUACGUGAUCCGAUUUCGUGUUGACGAUCGGUUCAUUCGUCAAACUUUAGACCCGAGCUCAAUUGUUAGAAAUCUUUAAGGUUGGAUCCACUUUGUGGAUUUUUUAUUUUUUAUUUUUUGGUUUUGCCCGUUAGGGUUGUUUACUGGGUCAGGUUUUAUGUCCCCAAAUUUUUCCUGUAAUUUUUUCCUUUUUUUAAUAAUAUAUAUGAGCAAUUGACAACAGAUUAGAGUAGGGUUUCAACUUAGUUGGACACUAUUCUUUUUUAUGUCAUUUUACUCUUGGCCUAUAAAAAAAAAAUAAAAAUCCUUUUUCAUCUUUGAGUUUUUGGCACUAAAAUGAUAUUAAAGUACAAAUUCAUGUCAACAGAACAAUUCCAUGUCAUCCUUUGCAAUUGUUUGAAGAAUGAGAAUUGUUAAAGUGGCAAAUUACGGUUGGAACUACCAGGUAGACACCAUAUUGAGUAACCACCAAUUACCAAUGUAUAUGUUAGAACAUGAUUGUCUCCACCACCACAAGGUGGUUCAUUAAAAAAAGAAAAUUCUUCAUUAUUCAUUAAUGAAUAACAAACUUGACAUAACACUAGCUAGCAAUAACAAAUGCUUGAAAUUUUCCUGAAAAUAAAAAGCUUUAACAAGUUAGCAUUUCUUUAAAAUUGUUCAUGUAGUAGUUACUUUUUUUUUUAGUCAUUGGGAGAGCGGAGCAACAUAUGACCAAUCCAACAUGUUUAUAGGUCCAAGAGUUUCCAACCGCAACACUAUCUUGUCUUUUUGAGUUCUUAAAUACAAUAGAUAUAGACCAAUGCUACCUUGUUACUCCUAGUAUAUUGCCCUCCCAUCUCCUAGUUUAUGACUUUCUUAGUUAGCCUAGCAAGAAAUUACUUUGUCAUCAUGUAGAUGUGAAACUUAAACAUCAAGUCAUAUUUUAGAAAUCUUAUUAAAAACCACAUAUUUCAUACUCCUUUUAAUUAGAAGCAAGUGAUAUUUUCUAUUGAAUAAUGUUGUUUGAACAUCUAUUUGCCUGACAACCAAAUAGACAACCAUGUUUUUACAAAGAAAAGUAUGGAUUGACAUGAAAAUCAAAGUAAUAUAAAAAGAAAAUAAAAAUAUAAUGUAAAUAUGAAAGAGAAAGUUUCACAAAAAUUAUAGAAAAUGGUUGUAUAAAUAUCAUUUUUCUUUCCUAUUUCAGUCUUUUGAAGCUAUAUGCAGCAAAACUACAACUACUUUUUUCUUUACCCUCACGUCUUACAAAUGACUUUAUUAGCAUUUGUCGUAGAAAAUUGCUUUAAAUUUAAACAUAACAAUGCAAGUCAAGUAUCAAUUGAAAAUCACUGUUAGAAGGAUAUUUAGAAAAAGUUAAAUAUAUCUAGUAAAAACAGCCAAUUAAAUUGAAUAACCCUACAUUCCUGUCUGAACUUGUAUUAAUUAGCCAGGUACGAUUCACAUUUACAAGUCCUAACUUUUAAAUUGUACAGUCGAUACUUGACAAUGACAUGAAGUCAAAUUAUGUAACAUUUGUCAUUUGAUUUGUUGUGAUGAAUGGUGAUAGAAGCACUAUUUGGAAAGCACAUUACCCAUUUUUGUGUCGAGUAAAUAGUCAAUUUCCCUCCUGAUAUUGUAAGUUUCAUCAAUUACCCCCCUGAAAUUAAUAAAACUUCAAUUACUCCCCUGAAAUUUUACAACGUUAGUCAAUUUACCCCCUCCGUCAAAUUUUUCUGUUAGUGAACAUGACGUUUUGCAAAUACCCCCAUGAAGUUUUGCACUUAUGUGCAAAAUGCCCCCCAAACUUAGAAUUUAUAUUAUUUUUUUCUUUCUUAAAAACAAACAAUUAAUAGUUAAAUAUUAAAACUAACUAUUAAUUUUAGAAUUUGGGAAAACUACAUGCAUAUAUACAUCAAAAUAGACUCCAAAAUGGGGAAAAAUAUGUAUUUUUUAAAGUGACAAUAAUGGGAUGAUUUGUGGAUUAAUAUUGGGGGUUGUGUAGUUUAAAUGGUUUUAGCAAAUUGUUGAAGGAGUUGGAGGAGUUAAAAGACUAAGAUGGUGAAAGAGAAAAUAUAAAUUUAAAUCUGAUUAUUAAUUUGUUUAUAAACCUCUAAAAAUAAUAAUUUGUCUAUUAGAAAUAACCAUUAUUGUCACUUUAAAAAUACACAUUUUACACUAUUUUGAUGUAUAUAUGUAUGUAGUUUUUCCAAACUCCAAAAUUAAUAGUUAGCUUUAAUAUUUAACUAUUAAUUGUUUGUUUUUAAGAAAAAAUAAUAUAAAUUUUUAAGUUUGAGGGGCAUUUUGCACAUAAGUGCAAAACUUCAGGGGGUAUUUGCAAAACGUCAUGUUCACUAACAGAAAAAUUUGACGGAGGGAGUAAAUUGACUAACGUUGUGAAAUUUCAGGGGGAUAAUUGAAAUUUUGUUAAUAUCAGGAGGGUAAUUGAUGAAACUUACAAUUUCAAGGAGGAAAUUGACUAUUUACUUUUUUGUGUCCCCUCCUCUACAUGUGAGUUAUACCCUAUUUCUUGUAUCAAUUAAUCUUGCUCUGAACACUGCAUGUGCUUUUUGGACAUAGAAGAUGAGCUGUUUUGCACCAAAAGUGGUCCUCCCUUGGCAUAUUAUUAUCCAUUAAUGAGAAAACUGGCAAAUCUAAUUUACUUCUCUCCUCGUGCAUAAACAACCACUACAGUUAAUGAAACACAUUUUCAAAUAUCUUUGCAACCUUCAAAUUUGACUUGAAUUUAAUAUAACUAAUACUACUAUAUGAUUUGAAUGGAAUCCUACGCAUCCUUACAAAUCUUACUUAAAUUGAGUCUCUUUGUUUUCAAUAUAGAUUGAUUGCUCUAUACAUGUUUUUACUUUUACUUUGACUCAAAAACAAAAAUGUUCUAAAGAUUCAAAGCUAACCUUCAAAUCAAACAUUUUCAAUUCAAGAAAGUUAACGAGUUAAGGAACAUUGAAAGAGUUUAUAGCAUCAGGUCCUAAGUUCAAAUCCAGAAACUUACAUAUAUAACCCUUAAUUUCUUAACAAAAUUGAUAAGUUCAGGUCUUCCAAUCAAACACAGGCACCAUGUUUGCCAAUAUUGAUUUUUUUAUGCUUUGUAUGUCAAUGGAAUGAAAAUUUCUACUCUCAAGCUUGAAAUAUAACAACUACCAUAAUUUUUUUAAUGACAAAUAUUAAUAUGUUAACAAUUUUCAUUUUUCCUUUACCAAUAUAUACACAAAUUGUUACAUGUAUGAAUUUGUCGUGUUGAAAAACAGAACAGCAGAGUAGCACAUGAACGAUGUUCCCAAUUUUCGAACGUUGAGCCUGUCACCCACACACUGAGAUUCUUUGAAUUGAAUAAUUAACAACAACUAAUUAUUAUUAAUAUUAUUAUAUUAUAUGCUUGAAACUUGAAAUUUUAUAUAUACAACUUAACAGAGAAAGCAACAGAAUGCAAAUAAAAAAAAGUAGUGGCAAUCUAAUUGAAACCCCAAAAUUAUUAAAAAUAAUAAUCAAGGGAAAAAAGGGGGAAAAGCUUUAAAUCCAGAAAAUAAAUAGAAACUGAAACACACACAGGGUAACAUAACAUAAACCCUAGCGUGAAAAAUAGGUAAAAAACUUUUCCCACAAGGCAAAGAUACAACGUUAGAAACUAUAUCAAAUCAUUUUCAACAUCAUAUCAUAACCUAAGUGGCACCAAAGGAGCAUGUUCAUGGCAGAAAGGAGCAGCGGGAUGCUGCCAGUUUUUGAACGUGACGAUGACUUUCUCCGGCUCGGCGGUGACUCCUUGAGACGGUCUUGUAUCCGGCAGUUGAGGUGGUGGAGAAGAUGAUAAGGGAGAUAAGAGAGGGAUGGCGACGUUCCAUUGGAUGGAGCGGUUGAUUUGUAAGGAAGAUGGAGCACGUUUUUGUAAACGGCUUGGUUUUUGAAGGGUGGUGGUGGUGGUGUUUCUGUUUGGAUCUGCCAUAUAUAAAAGAGAGAGAUGAUUAGGUUAAAGUUGAAAGAAAUAAAGAAGAUGAAUGAAGAGUGGUUGAUUGGUUUUAUUAUAUAUAUAAAAAAGUGGGGUGGGGGUGUGAGAUGCACACGUUUGGAUUCGGAAACAGAAAGAAAGGAUCAAGUCAGGUCAUCCACUUAUUAUUCAAACAAACAUGGAUGGCUCCACCUAUCUGUUUCUCUCUGUCUUACACCUCGACUUGCCUGCCUAUUCUUCAAAUCUUUUACAGUAAAUCUAUUCCAAACAAGUUAUAAUAACUUCUAAAAGUGAUUGUUUUAUUUUUAAAAUGUAAUUUAUAUGUAAGAAACAUAAUUAAUUUCAAGACAAUUGUUAUUUUUUUUAGAAUUACUUAUUUUUUUCUACAAUAUUCCAACUGUUUAUUAUCUCAUUUCACAUCAUCGACUCUAUAGAUCUAUAAUAAAUUUCAAUCAUCCUCUCUAUAGAUUUAUAAUAAAUAUUUAAGAAUAUUAUUAACAAACAAUAAUUAAUAUUGCAUUGAACAUUGUAAAUAAUAAAUAAAUAAAUAAUUAUUUUCUCUAUGGAGUAACAAGUAAUAAAUAACGAAUGCAAUAUAUCUUACAUACAAUAUAUUUUUCUUUUUGUUAUUUUGGUUUAGAAUUAAAGAUAGAACAUGUUUAACGGAGUAGAGACCCUCUUCCAUUCUUAAAAGUAAUAGACAUCUCCAUUACAAUAAUCUUAAUAUACAAAUUUUAAUUAAUGUCAUCAAUUUUAAAAAUACAUCUUCAAAAUUUUAGAAAUAAACACUACUCCCUCCAUCCCAUUUUAAAUGACCUAAUUUAAAAAUAUGUAAUGACAUAUAAUUUGUUUUGAUCCUAUUUUUCUACUAAUAUAUAAAGACAAAAUAUAACAUAUAAGAUGAUGUUGGAUUCUUCUCGAUGAAUAUUUUCAAAAUAUCAAAUUUUUCUAUUAGAUUUUUAAAGAUAUUUAAGUUCAAAAUUGUGUAUUAACAUACAUGUCAGAGUCAACUAGGUCACGUAAUAUGUGACCGUUAGAGCAUCAUUUAUUUUAGGAAAAGAUGAUAUGUACUUUGUUUGGUGAGCCAAAGUCAAAUAUGAUUAGUAGGGAUGACAAUUGAACCUAGGCCCAAUGAAUACCUGCAUAAAAUACCCACAAUGGGUAGGGUAAAACUCCGCUAUCAUGGGUCUGGGGACGGGUCCAGGUAAUACCCACGAAUUUAAAUGGAUAUAGGCACGGGUAAGGGUACUAUACUGCCCAGCCCCGCAACCCCGCAUAUACAUAUUUAUUUAAUAUCAUAAGUAAUUUAUUUUUCUUAGUGUAUAAUUAAAUAAUUUAUUUAGCUAUUUAAGCCUAAACUAAAACCUAAACCAGAAAAUUGCUUAAUACAAUAACAACUCCAUCUUGCCGGGGUACAAUUUUUAAGAGAUAUUUUGGAUGUUUUUAAUUUGACUAAAUACCACGAUUCAUAUUAUUUUAUGAGUUAAUUUUAAAAGAUGUAAACCAUAGUUUUAUUUCAAUUGUGAUAUUUUUAUUGUCUUUUCAUAGUUAAAGUGCGGGUAAUGAGUGCGGGUAUGAGCACUUAGGUACCCAUAAAGUAUGAGGAAGGGCACUAAAAUUAUUGCCCAAAAGGAUACGGACACGGAUAAUUUUUACAAAUAUAAAUAUGGGGAUGGACAUUGUAAUACACUUAUUAGGUACCCAUUGUCAUGCCUGAUUGGUUUUGCAAGUGAUCGUUAUAUUGCAAAUUGUAGCAAAAAGUGGUCAAAGGUUGAAUGAUUAUAAUAGUAGUAUCAUUUCUCUAAUAUUGUGUGAUUAAGAUAUGAGGGACCCUAUAGAUAGCACAAAGUGGAUCAUGAUGCGUCUUUCUUUGUCUUGUUUUGACGUUUUUCUAUUAUUUUCACGUAAUAAUCAAACUUACUGGGUCCUCCUUCUCCAUCCAUGCCUAGUCGGUUUUCUGUCACAUUCACCAUAACAAAUUCUUAUGUUUGAUUGCAUUAUAUUAUUUAAAUUCUACCACCCAUAAUUAAUAUGUGACUCAAGUUUUUUUUAUACUAAUGUUUACGUGAAUUUAUGGUCACAAUUUUUUUUACUAAUCCACCACUCACAAAUCUCUUUGAAUCCCACGACUCAGGUGUGGUUACGUGGUCAAGUAUAAAACCAGCACUCACAAUACCAACGUGUGAUCCAGAUCGUUUGCAAUUAAAAUAAGGCUUACUAUACAUUUUCAUACCUACAAGAUUGACAAGAUCUAUUUUUAUUUUUAAAUGAUGAUUUAUAUGAUUUUACAAUAGGCUUUGUCAUUAACUAUAUGGAAGAAUUUGAUGCAACUAUAAUUGCUAAAAAAUUACAAAUGAAAACCAGAGAAAGAUUAAAAAAAAAAUUAGACGGUGGGAGUAGCCCAACAAAAUCAGACAUUGAACAUAACACAUGAACCAUAGUCUACUCUUUUAUUUUUAUUUUUUUACAAGAACCUUAGUCUAAUUUCCUCCCUUUAAUUUUGAAAGUUACAGUAAAAAUAAGGUAGCCUUUGAAUACUUUUUAACUAAAAAACAAUCAAACCUAUAAAGUAGUAUGAUAACCAAAAUGCAUAACAUUUGACAGCUUAAGUUAGUACAACUGUAGGAUGACCAAUAUGAAAGCAAAGUAGAAUGAAUAGUGGAAGCUGGGAACCCACCCAUACUCUUUUAGACAAAAACUAUAAAGAGUAAGACUUUAACAUUUUUUCGCAGUUCAAUUUAGUUUUUUACAAAAAAUAAUAUUCAAAUUAAUCUCUAACAUUUAUAUGCGAAAAACAAAUUAAUCAUCCACUUAUUACAACAGAUGAGCUAGUUUGUCUCCCAAUUUAAAAAUUAUUUUUUAUCAGAAACUAAAUUGGAUCGCGAGAAAAAUCAUGAAAAACUAAAUUGAGUUUUCACUCGACUAUAAACAAAAAGGAAAUAAUGGAUGUAUUCCUUCAAAUUAUGCUUCACUGUCCGACAAAGAUGAGAAAACCACAUGGAGGAUAUUUGACCAAUCUAAGUCAGUCUAGAAUACUAUGAUGUCUGCUCCAUAACAGUUGUUUCUUUAGUCUGAUUUUUGAAAAUUGCAUUAGAUGAAAGUUCUAGACAGUGCAUUAGAUGGAAGUAAAUUAAAAUAGUCUAGUACAACAUUGUCUAACUUAGCCAGGUGCAAUGCUUUAUUGUGCAUGAUAAAGGAAGUUGCUAUAAAUCAAUCAAUUAAGCAGCAUAUGAAGGAAUGGUCGGAGUGAAUUUAUAUAGGCUUCUUUGAAGUGAAGGUAAAAUACUACUGAAAAGUGUACUCUAUCACAUAUUAUAAGUCCCACAUCGAUAAGGUGGAGUGGAGGGAGUACAAUUGCUUCAUAUAAAUACACUAGAGAGCUGGUAGAGCAAAUUAAAAAGGGUCAGUUGGCUAAAUAUGCCACGCUCAUCAUGAUGAUGAGUGCUGUAUGGCUAUCAAGACAUAUGGCUGACAUAAUUUUUGUAAAUCAAUAGGGUUGGUUCGUUUAGCCGACCCUCCAUCUUAGUUUUAAAAUUUUGUUUAUCAUAAUUUUUAAAUAAGUUUUUGGGUCUGCGACUAUUUUUAAAUAUUUCAGAUUAUGUGAUUUAAUAAGAGCAACAAUUUAAAUCUCUCUACUUUUUUAAUAAUACUCUACAAGAAAAAGUUGACUUUUUAGGUUCAUAGAAUAAUUAAUGUAUUUUAUUGUUAAUAUAGACUAGAUAAUAAGGACCGGAGGGAGUAGCUUGUAUGCUCACCACACCAGGAGUGUUUGAUUCACGUGGGCAAGCAAGAAAGCAUAAACAGUUUAAAAACCUAUCACAAGUGAAAUUCUUUUUUACCAUCUAAACUCAUCAGAAAUAGAGUCAAGUCUUUUUUGCUUUACGAAAAAAAAAAUCAAUUUUGUGAUGAAAAAGCAAUUAAAUCUCUUUGUUGAAAUCCGUUAAUUGAUUUUGGGGUAAAAAGUGAUUAAAUUUUAAGUAGUUUUUAUGAGCUUCAUCAUCAACAAAAAUCCCAAAUUGAAGGAAGUCCGGAAAAGAAAUUCCAAAAAUAAAAACUUCAAUAUUUUUUUAUCAUCAUCCAAUGGGAUUGGUCCCUUUGGGAAUUUUUUUUUUUUUUGGAAUUUUAUUUUCAGUAAAAAUUAAUUAAAAAAAGGUAAUUUGUUGAUUUGAACUUGUCAAGUAAGCACUUUUUAACCGAGUUGGAUUGAAAAGGAUAACAAUGCAAACAUUUUAUAAUUUAGAAGAUCAAUUUGUUACAAAAAUAUUUAAAGGAUUAAUUAGUUACAAACAUCUAAUUUAAAUAACCGCCGCUUGAUGUAUUUGGCUUAAAAUUUAUGGAAAAAAAAUAAUAAUAAUAAAACUAAUGAGUCAACAUGUGAAUUUUCACAAAUUGAAUAUUUCCACAAUUAAUCUUUCUAGUUUCAAGGUGCUUUUAGAGUACAGAAACUAUAACUAUAACUUUAAAAAAAAAAAAAAACUGUCUAAACUCAUUUGAAUUGACUUUAUCAUGUGACACACCAAACAAAGACAAGUAACAAAGGAUUAUGUAACUUUAAUCCAUUAAUUUAUAGGUGUUUCAAACUUGAUAAUGUAUCACAGACCUUCCAGAAUUCAUGUAAUACAUAGCUUGAGCUUGAAGAUGAUAAAAAUCCUUGUAUUUUAAUUUAUUUCCAAUGUGAACCCCAGUUUGAAUUGAGUCCUACCGAUUUAUUAAUGCAUCCCUACCUAAAUCAAGUACUCCAAGAAUCUGCAAACACAAUGUCUUCAAGAGGUUAUGAAUUAUCCGUAAAAAAAAAAAGAGGUUAUGAAUUAAGAAAGUCCCACAUCGAAUAGGUAAAGUAAAAAGAACGCCAAGUAUUUCUUAUAAAUAUAAUAGGUAAGAAUUUUGAAUAAUUAGAUAGGGUGAGUUGGCUAAUUAUGCCACGCUCAUCCUCGUUGGUGAGUGCUAUAUGGCUAUCUAGACAUAUGGCUGAUUAUUCUCACAAAAGUUAAAAUAUAAAAAUAAAAAAAAAUAAGGAAAAAUAAAAAUAAGAUUAAAAUAGAGAGGAAGUACAGGAUUGGUGGGGCAUGGACCUGACCGUAAAUCACAGAAACAACCCUAAAGGGUAUAAAGCAAAACUCCAAAUACCAACUACCACGGACAGUUCGGCGCACCCACGCGUGGAUGCGAAACCGAAUUGCAAAAAACACAUAGAGCUAGUGUUUAGAGCAUCUAGAUAGGCGUAUGAAUCAUCUACCUACACAGAAACGAUCCAAGUUCCAACAACUCCCUAAAUAUCAAAUAUUUUUAGUAGAAUAGUAAUAAAGUUUAUGGAACACAAAUGAAUUAAUGUAACUUGAGAAAGUUACUCUGAUUCCAAUUAUAAGAAAAUAGUAUAGACCAGAUGAGCCUAAAAAGUCUAAAAUUUCUUAUAAUAAGGACCGGAGUGGGGGUAUUAAUUUAUAUUUUAAAAUACAUGAGCCAACAUGUGAAUUUUCAAAUAUUUCCACAAUCAAUCUUUCCGGUUCCCAGGUGAUUUUGAUGUACAUAAAAUAUAAUCAACUACAUAAAAAAAAAACUGUAAACUCGUUUGAAUUUACUUUAUCAUGAGACACACCAAAACUUCAAUCCAUGAAAUUAGUAGUAGUAGUAAUAAAUUUGAAACUUUAAGAUGUAUGACAAACCUUCAAGAAUUCAUGUAACACAUAGCUUGAGCUUGAAGAUAAUAAGAAUCCUUGUAUUUUCUGUUACUUCCAACGUGAAUCCCACUUUGAAUCCAGUCUUCCCGAUUUAUCCAUGCAUCCCUGCCUACAUCAAUUACUCCAAGAAUCUGCAAACACAUUACAGGUACUUUAAGAUGUUGAGAAUUUAAAAGUUAUUCAUAAAACUAUUUAAUAACCAAGGAGAAGAAGAAGUUAAUGAAGAAGUGAAGCAUGAUGAUCAUAUGUACUCAACAUACCGCCCCGCCUUUCCAUGACACAAAUGUCGGAUUUGCCCUUGAUUGUAUCACCUAAGAGCAAAGAAAAGAACAUAUUACAUCAAAAUAAGAGACAAGACAUAAUAAACAAAGCACAGUACAAAAAAUAAGAACAGUAAAAAAUUAAAAUACUAGAGCAGUUGCUUCAUUUGGACUAACCUCCACUGUAUCAAUUGCUUCAUUUGAAGGAAUAGCAUGUAAAACUCUGUUGUAAAAAGAUAAAAAAGAUUCAUCCACCAGUUAAACUUGAAAAAGUAAUCAACGAAAUCAUUGAUAAUGCUAGGUAAAUCUACCAAAGUCGAAGGAAAUUGAAACAAACCUUUCUUCAACUGCAGGAACUAAACCAUUUGUCAAAGCCACGCCGCCAGUCUAUUCCAGAUAAAAUGUGUCACUUUCUUUCGAUCAACAUGCAAUAUAAUGAACUUCAAAAUGCUGAGCUCAAAGUGUAAAACUCACCAAUUGUAUGCUACAAAAUAAUUUUCUUUGCAUGUCUAUGCGACCUGUGAAAAUAAGCACCAAAGAGCUAAACAAGGCUUGAACUCUGUAUAAAAUGGAGGAAUAUAAUAUAAAAUAAGUUACCAGUUGAGAGAAUGCAGUUGGUAAUAGCCUCUGCAAGGCCAAGAUUUUCUUCUUUUUUCGGCUUAGUUGAAAAAGGUGGAUAACUUUCCCACAUGGGCAUUCCUCCAUUAACGUUGGGAUAGAAAGUGUCGGACAUGUCAGACCUUCGGGAAAAAUCAAUUUGCCAUGUAUCUUCUAGCAUAUCCUCAUGGUCAUUAAACCUAGCAAGGGAAACGACCAGGGUUGUGUAAACGCAAAAUUGUUCACAAACAUGGUCACAGGCUGAUAGCACAGAGAGAAAAAUUUAUGAAUGCACUAACCAAGUCCGUGGUGGAGGAGGAUACACAUCAGGAACAAAAAACAUUGGAUAGAACAAUCCCAUAGGAGGAACCUAUGCAAUAGUAUUUGUCAUUAUUUAAACAGCAUUAUCUACUGGCAAAAUGUGAGGGCAAAUGAAGAAAGAAUACUACAGAGAGCACAUACAUUAAGAGCAGUAAGUCUUGUCUUGUGAGAUCCUGGCAGCACUUUGUCCUCAUAGGAAUGAACUACUGCAACAGCAUCAAGUUGCCCCUCCUAUAGAUAAGAUACUAGAUAAUUUAAAUUGAACUCAAGUUUGGAAUCAAGUUAAAUUUAGAGUAUCACUAGUCGUACAUGAUUUGAUGCCUUUUUUUUUUUGUAAAAAUUCAUCAGACACAUGUUCAAUUUCAAUGUUAUGGGUUAUUUUUAAUCAAAAUAUAAUUUAUUUUCUAAAGACUACAAUGUGGCAAAUACACAAUGGCAAAGUGGCGUGACAGAUUUUUCGACAACUGCUAUGGCCAAUUUGUGAAGAUCCAUUGGCCACUAUAGCAUGUUUAUACUUUAUAUAGAGAAUUUUCGGCCUUCCGCCAUUGACAUUACUGCAAAUGCAUGCAGCCAUGCACGACUCCAACUAAUAGAUAACGAAGCCGAGAGAGAAAUGAGUGCGAAAAAAAAAGAGAUAAUAGCUUUAGGCAGUCAAACAACCCUUGUGAUGUAAACUCAUGCUAUAAAUAGCUUCUCUGGUGUUUUUUCAACUCUGAUUCGAUAUUAGCAGUAUUCUCUCAUUUCUCCCAACUCUCUGUUUUCUCUCAACUAAGAAUUAUUAAAAUGGCUUCUCUUGCGAGUUAAUAAAGUGGUAAUUUGGGAAAUGAGAUAAAGUUGUAGAACUCACUCUGAUUUCACAAUAUGACUCUUUGAGUUGAUUUAACAUUAACAGAUCGAUUGGCUUUGUCAGCAUAUCUGUUCGAAUUUGUGGCCAGGUCUGGUGAUGUCUUUGUGUAUAGAGAAGGCUCCUUGAUAUAUCCUGAAAAUAUGAAGUUAUUAUUUGGAAAUUACAUAAAAUAUUACCACAAACACAAAAUUUGGAAUACAAAAUAUAAGACCACACGUGCAACACUUAAAAAAUCAGCACAUUAGAUACAAAAUGGCAACAUAUUUCAUACUUGAUAAACACACUUUUUAAUUAAAUAAGCACGGGAUUGAGAAGGAGUGUUCUAAAUAUUUUUAACUGAUGGAGUUUUGUAAGUUGUAAGUGGCUCAUCGACAAAGUAUCAAGGUUUGGUGUCAACAAAUAUGUCUCCAUACAUCCAAUUUUUCACUCUUAAUCCAAUUGUUCAAUUUGUUUUCAGUAUUUAGGUUUUCUUGGAACGCUAGGGCUACAAGGGUUUUGUGUUCAAUUUGUUUUCAUUCAUAAAAUUAAUACAAAUGAUUUGUUAUAGACUCAUAGACAUCAAAAAGCUUUAUGUGUGCUACGUGUGGUGGUUGGUCAGAAUAGUUUGUUUUUUAAACUUAUAAUGUUAUUUCCUUAUGAAAUACAGUGUUCAUCCUUUUUGGUGAAUGUUGGGUGUAAGAUUGGUCCUUGGAUCAACUUUUGCUGACUACCCAUGAUGGAUUUAGUAAAAGUAAAGAGGCUAAACUUUUAUGACAAAGUGCAAUCUAGGUUAUUAUUUGAUUUGAUGCAUUUAGUUAGAACAUAAAGGUCAUUUAAGGAGAUUUCUUUAGCUCAGCAGCUGAUACAGUAUAAAAUUAGGCAUUUGGUUCUCUUUGUUGUAAAACACAAAAUCUCAAUAAGGGGAUCUCCCUAAGUUCAGAUUCUUCAGGUUUAUAACUCAUAAUAGAGAGAAACCAAGAGAAAUUGAAAGAAUCCGAAGUGUGAAAAUGUUAACUGAGAAAUUACAGUUAUCAGUAACAGAAUUCUAUUAUUAGAGAGGCGGCUAGUCUGCGCCCCUUAGAAGGGCUGAAUAGAUGGCUCAGGGCCCAAACACACAGUAAAGACAAAUGAAUACAGAGGAUAUUCCUAAUACCUAACAGAUAUCCCGGGGUCUUGGUAAGCUUUAUUUCAUAUUUGUUUUCCUUUUUCUUUUGAUGUUUGUGUUUUCCUUUGUCAAGGAGAACUCCUCAUCCUCCGAAUUCAGUUAGGUUUUCUUCUCUUUGCCAUAAUGAAAUGAUUUUUCAACUUAAUAACACUUUUAAUCCCUAUAGUUUUAAUUAAGUGUGAUCUUUGUCAGUCAUGUUUUUUCGUUUUUGGGCCAAUCAAAUCCCUCUCUUUUUUAUAAUAGUUAAGUAAAGUUAGUCCUGCUGUCAAUUUUUUUUUUUUUUUUGAGGGAACCUGCGGCCAAUUACUUUUUACCUAGAAUGCUUAAAUUUUCAUUUUCAAUCCAAAUAUUUGGGAUUUAUAAUUGAUUUGAGAUAUGCAAUAAUUUUAGAGGUUUGGAUGUCAGAAAAUUACUUGAAGUUUGAUAAACUUUAAAAGAUUAUGUAGGAUGGGAGAUACGAGUUUUAAGAGGAGAAAUUUUGGAUUUUUUUAAGUGAAAUUUGAUUGUUUGAUUGAAUUUUUUUUCACUUCAUCUCAAUAAACUUGGUUUAUGAAGAGAAGAGACAAUUUCAUUGGUUUACAUACGUCGCAUAUGUGAAAGCAAAAUAAUGAAGUUUCUAAAUAAUAUAAAGAAAAGAUUGGUCAAAUAAAAUAACAAAUAAUGUAUCAAACAUGUUAGCAAUCGAUCAUAUACAUCUUAAAAAUUCAUGACUAUCUCAAAACACCAGUAACUUGUCCAAUAUUUAGAGUACCUCACCACCAAAAGUUAGAGUUUUUGCAGUUGAAGGCAUAGUAGCUCCCUCCUAAACAGCAAAAGAAGCAGUUAACUACCAAAUACUUAGCCAGCUUUUAUUUUUCAAUCUAUCUGAACUAUCAUCAAGCAUUGAGAGAAUCAAAUUGAUAGAUAAUUCGAGGCACAGCCUAAUAUACUCGAAGAUGGUGAAUGUAUGUAGCCAGUAAAUGUAAAUUUCCAUAGAAACUAAGAUGGAAAAACUAUAUUCAGAAUAAUAACACUAGUGUCAAAGCCAUAGUAAAUAGAAACUGUUUCACCAUAAAAGUUGUUUUCCCUGAAGUGACGAAGUAAACCCAAUCACUAUCAAGAAUCGAGACUCAUAACAACUUGGCUAAAGUCUCUCCUACCUACCAUGUCAGUAGCAACGAUUUCAAAGGUUUGAGCCAUUAGGUGAAAGCACAUGCAUGGCUUUGCAUCUCUAACAGAAAUGAACAAUACAAGAUGUUUCACAAAAGAUGAUGAUGAUGAUAAUCAAAGACACAGAAGUUUCAUUUACCUCUAUGCAUAUAAUUGAUGUCACCUGAGCACCAAUAUUCACUACACAUGCUGUUGAUAAUCCAUUUCCAAAAACCGCAGCAAGUCCUUCCUGAUCAAACAAUUCAAUUUGGACUGUCAAGCAUACAGUGGUGUUCAUGCCUACCAAAAAAGAAAUCCUACAUUCAUUAUAUAAACAUUUAGCAGCAAAUAGAAGGCCAUACCUGGUGCACCACCGCUGAGCCAAAGCAUAGUUCUUCCAGUACUAAAGAUAGAAUUUCCUUUAUUUCUGUUUGUGGCAUGGACAUAAAUUAACUAUACCAGAAGUGUGAAAUACAAAUUCAAAGGGAACUCCAACAGGAAAAACUAAAUGUGUAACAUUGGCUUUGAAGGAAUAAUGUUCAAAAUACCACGAUUAUCAAAUGUUUCUGGCAACACAAGAAUAGCUGAGUACAUGUUUCUUUCAUUGCGAGGAAUAUGCAGUUUCUCUAUUAAAAUCCAGUCCCAAAUAGCACGUAGAUCCUCAAACACCUGCAAAAUAGCCAAGCAAUAGUGAUGUAGAAUGAAAGCAAGAAAUAAUCAGAGGCACUCAAUUUUCAUGUCUGAGACGUAGCUUAUUAAACAACACAACAGACUCUAGAUUUCUGGGAAAUGUGACGCAAACUUUUCACUAGAGAAAGCCCAAUUCUAGAUAAUAAAACUAAAGUUACAAUUCAAUUUGGGAACCAAUAUCCAUUGACUCGAGCAACUAAACCAUAAACUCCCAAAUUAAUGACAACAAAUCCCUAAAUCACCAAAACAAACCCUAACUCCUAAUUCACAAUUACAUCAUAAAUUGGUCUAGUUUAUAAAUACCCUCAUCCAUUGCUGCACCAAAGCAAACCCUAACUCAUAGUUGUUCUCCAUAACGGAGGAAACUUAUUGUCAACUUUUGAAAUAGUGAAAUAAUAGAUGAAAUGAUGAAUAAAUGAAGCACGGCAUUUGACAACUAAUGUCAAAAAUAUAGGACACUGGGACACCUCACACACAUACACAGACACUAAAUUGAGAAUUAAGCUUCUAAAAUUAGAGUCUCAUUAGUAUAUUAAGACACAAUAAGUCUUUACAUAAUACAAUACAAAUAACUUACAUAUGUACAUCUCUAUAUGAAGCUUACAUAUCAUGUGAGUUGAGUAUCUAUGUUAGUUGCUAUGUUGUAUUCCUAUAUGUACAUCUCUAUAUCCAUGCAUACUACUCGGUAUGUAGCAUCUGCAUACACAUGCUUUAGUUAGUUAACAGUUAGAUAGUUAAAAUCAGCUACAGCAGUACAUGACUUUGUGUACUAUAUGAGGAUGAGUCUCAUUAAGUCAGUAAUUCAAUAGUACAGAUUAUUAGUUUUUGGUGAAAUCAGAAUUUCCCUUUUCUCUCAAACUUUCCCUAUUCUCGACUUCAACCCUAGCAUAUCUUUUAUAUUUAAAAUGAAUUAUUGUUAUGCAGCAUACAUAAGUAGUAAUAAUAAUUAGUUAUAGGAUGACUAUGCUUUGACAAUUGACAUUAAAUUAUGAUGCAAUGCAACAGCUAACUUAUAAGGCACAAUACAGAAUUCUCAAGAUACACUUAUCUAUAUUUUCUGCUCAUCAACUAACUUGAAUUGAUUACAUUUGGGUUAGGAAGUGACAUGUACCUGCUGCAUGGGAUAGUGUUGUGAAAUAUUCAAAUGUCCUCUGCGGAUUGGACGACAUAAACAAUACGGUUCAGUGGGGGAUAUUCUUAAUGCUUCCUCGCCACAAAUGAACUUUCUGAACUUUUGAUUGCUCGCACCAAUUUCCUUCAAAUCUGUACCUUCUUCUUUUGGGUUCAAAGACUCACUAGUCUCAGCUUUACUCGCAGUAUCUACAAAUGUCAAUUUAUAUAUGUAAGAUGUCCUAAUUCAUAUAAAAGUAACGGCAUUUCAAAUCGAAACACGAAGUAAUUUCAAAUAUUCGAGACAGUUAACAUCAAAUUUUAAAAAAAUUAAUCCGACUAACAACUUAAAGUGUAAUGACUACUGAGCUCAUGCAAGCCUUCAGCAACUUGUCAGACCAUGUUCUAACUUCAAGACAGGUAUACUAAAAAUAAAAUCAUCAUAGAAUGUUAAAAUCUGAGAUACCUACAUGCAAACUUCCAUGUGAGAACUUUUUUUUUUUUUAAUUCUUAAUUACCGUCUAAUAUUAGGUACUUGGUAAAACAGACUUGAGAUAUACCAAAUGCUAAGCUAGUUGACACAAACAUACCCAAAGCCACAGAUGGAACUGAAGAACACAGAAAAGUACUAGGUAAUAUGCAAAAAAAAAUACCAUUUACUCUUACCUAAUGCUGAAACUGAAGAUGAACUAGUGACCUCCUCGUAAACAUUAGUCCAAGUGAAGGGCGAAUCUUUCCUAUGUGGCAUGUGUCCAUCAACGCGCCCCAUCUGUGCAUUUAGUACAAUGGAAUUGACUAAUGAUCAGUUUUAUGAUAUUAUACUAAUCGUACCAAAAACACAACCUAAGUAUUUGACAGAAUUCUCCAAAUAUACAAAACUCGUAGUAUUCAUUGAAGGGCGUUGCUCUUGAGAGUAAAAGUGAUUUUUCAGAAAUCUUAGUAUUCAUACUUGUUAAACUGCUAUUAGAUUUACUACCAUUGAAUGAUCAGCUUAUGUAUUUUUAUAUACUGUUGGGAUUAAUGUUUACUGGUCAUCCUGCUAUCUGCUAUACCACUUUAGCGGUUUCAGGUUUGGGCACUCUAUCUUACUAUCCGAGAUAAACAACAUAGCUUAGAAUUCCAAAAAAGGGUCAAUCAAAUUACGACGGCAUAUCCUCCACGAAUGAUAUGUCUGUCAGCACGUUUGUGUUAUGUAGUUAAUUAAUUUCGUUAAGAUCAAAAUCUUCAACAUGGCAAGUACAACAAAUGUCACAUUAUUUGAAAUGCAGUCCCAAGCUUAAACAGUUCCAAAGAAAACCCCAGAAGGUCCAAACAUUAUAAAGUAUCAUAACAAACAUGAAAUCAACCAAAACUGAGGAGUUCACUUAAAGUGUAACAGAAAAGAAAUCAUAUACCUUACGAGGGAAAGAGUUACUGGAAGGUUCUUCAUCCAGAAAUGGUAUCUUCAACAGCGAUGCAAUCUUUUUUACACAAGAAAAAAGGGAAAAAGCCAAUAUCAGCAAAAUGUAGCAUAGAAGUAACAGUUCUGCAAUGUAUCAUAACUUACAACAUCAUAAGCCUUUUCCCUUUCCAUAUGCUGUGCAGUUGUAACUUGACUAUUGAGCAUCUAAACACAAACAAACAACAAUUGAAGUAAAACAUAUAUACCUCUAAAGGAACUGAAAACAACUGAAUAAAAAUAUAGUACGAUAAAAUAAUGAAGAUUUAAAUAUGAUUUUAGUCUCAGCAAAUUCAAAAAAUUGUUCUUUUAGUCCCUCAUGCCAUACAUGGUCCAAUAAAAUCACUGCCACAUGGCCCAAUAAGCUGACGUCCGAGACUAAAAUCAAUAGUUUUUGAAUUUGCAGGGACUGAACCCGAACAAAAAAACUUGCAGGGACUAAAACCAAACACACUAUAAUUGCAGUAACUAAAAUCAUAUUAAAACCAUAAAUUCACGAAAUAAAAUAAUUCAAAAACCUGAUCUCAGGGACUAAAACCAAAAACACUGUAAUUGCAGGAACUAAAAUCAUAUUAAAACCAUAAAUUAACGAAAUAAAAGGCUUAAAUAAGUAAAAGGUCCCUGUAAGUUGGCGCGUUUUUGGUUUUAGUCCCUGUAAGUUUUUUUCUUGCGAAACAGCCCUUGUAAUUACCAAACGUUUUGGAACUCGUCCCUGCCGUCAAGUUCCGUGAAAAAAAUGGUUUGCUGGCUAACGGACGCCUACGUGGCACAUGAUGGUAUGGCAACUGGUGCCAACUGGGUUAAGUAGAAGGACUAAAACCAAAAAAGAAUUUUUACACAAGGAUGUAAUAAAAAAAACAAAAAAAAAAAAUUUUAAAAUUUAAAAAAACUCUUUCCUUCUUCUUCAUCUCUUUGAUCUUUCAUUCUUCUUCUUCUUCUUCAAUCCUUCCAUAUCCAACUUUCAAUUGCAUGCGCCCUAAAACCCUUUUUCCUUCAACCAUGUCUUCUCAUUCCAUUUCUCAAUCAUCAUAUUAGGCAACUCAUCAAUUCCCUAAAACCCUAAAAUGCACCAACUUACAGGGCCCUUUUCCUUAUUUAAGCCAAAUUCAAAUUAUCAAUGUUGAAAAGUCACUACACACCCCAGAUGAUCAAAUAUUUGAUAAAUAAAGCAACGGUAUAAGCACCACAACUAAGUUCUCAAUAAACUUGUGGACAGCUGAAAUGAUUAACAAACAAUCAUCGGAAGAACCUUAAAUUCUUCAACAUGCCACACCUUUGAAAGGAAAACAAUGCCAUAUGGGUUCACUUUCACUAGGUUAAUUUAUGAAAAGGUAACAUAGCCUUGUACUUAUAUCAGAUAAAGAGGACUGCUAGCAACACUCUCUUUUGAGCACUUUCUCUAGCACUUACUCUUUUAUUGGUUGAAUUCAAUGUAGGACCUACACUUUGAAAAUGGAAUCCACAUAAAGUGGUGGGACAUACAAUGAUUUCACCCAAUAAAAGAGUGAGUGCUAGAGAGAGUGUUCAAAAGAGAGUGUUGUUAGCAUUCCUCAUCAGAUACAUUAGGCAUAAAUAUAACACUAAAAGGGAAACAUCACACAACAAUGAGGAAGAUCAUGAACAGACUUAUGCUGCAAACUAAUUUGCCAUUAUACAAAGAUCUAUGAGAAAUCAUGAACAAAACACAUAAUACACUAACCACACUAAAAUAGAAAACCAACGUUAUUUAAUUUUCAUAAUAUAACCGGUUGAACAAUUCCAAAUCAUCACAUCACAUGAUAAUCAUUUGCUUUCUUACUUCAUUCUUUAUCAUCUAGCAUCAAAUAAAGCAACACAUAUGCAUUCAAUCACACACACACACACACACACAUCUUUUUGUAUGUGCCAAAACAACACUCCUUGAAACUCCAAACCUUAUCAAACACCAACUACAAAGAACUCAAUAAUCUUGGUAAUGCAUAUCUCCAUAAUCAUCUCUGGCAGAAGUAAGAUCACUCUCAACCAUAUCCGCAAGACCACGCUCUUCAUACCUCACCCCUUCUUCCAGAGCAAGUCGACCCAGUGCCCCAACAGCAACACCAACAGCUAGUCCAGCUCCUAAGCCCAUUUUACUGCCUUUUGGCCCCGGAUCAAACGAGGAUGAAUAUUCAAGUGGCGCAGACGGUCCACUAGGCCCAACAGCAGCAUAACUUUCAAUACAUUCAAAGAAAUGGUGUGGCGACGGUGGUGGUGGGUAAGCACCACCGGGAUAAUAACCGGGAAAGUAAUUGCCACUAAAAUAGUUAUCAGAGUAAUUGGUGUAGUAAUUAUAAGGUGAAGGUGGUGGAGAAGGUGUAGAAUAGUUAUCAAAUGAGUUGCCUAUGGAAUGAGAACACAAUGUUGAAGAAAAUGGGUUUUAGGGCGCAUGCAAUUGAAAUUUGGACAUGGAUGGAUUGAAGAAAAAGAAGAAUGAAAGAUCAGAGAGAGGAAGAAGAAGGAAAAAGUGGUUUUUAAAAUUCAAAAAUUGAUGUUUACGUUUUUUUAAUUACAUCCCUGUGUAAAAAUACGUUUUUGGUUUUAGUCCCUCUACUUAACCCAGUUGGCAUCAGUUGUCAUAUCAGCAUGUGCCACGUAGGCGUCUGUUAGCUAGCAAACCAUUUUUUUCACGGAACCUGACGGCAGGGAUGAGUUCCAAAACGUGUGGUAAUUACAAGGGUUGUUUCGCAAGAAAAAAAAUUGCAGGGACUAAAACAAAAAACGCGCCAAUUUACAGGGACCUUUUACUUAUUUAAGCCGAAAUAAAAUAAUUCAAAAACCUGCUCUCAGGGACUAAAACCAAAAACACUGUAAUUGCAGGAACUAAAAUCAUAUUAAAACCAUAAAUUAACGAAAUAAAAUAAUUCAAAAACCUGAUCUCAGGGACUAAAACCAAAAACACUAUAAUUGCAGGAACUAAAAUCAUAUCAAAACCAUAAAUUAACGAAAUCAAAUAAUUCAAAAACCUGAUCUCAGGGACUAAAACCAAAAACACUAUAAUUGCAGGAACUAAAAUCAUAUCAAAACCAUAAAUUAACGAAAUAAAAUAAUUCAAAACCUGAUCUCAGGGACUAAAACCAAAAAUGCUAUAAUUGCAGGAACUAAAAUCAUAUCAAAACCAUAAACUAACGAAAUAAAAUAAUUCAAAAACCUGAUCUUGAACGUUCUUCUUAGGAACUUGUUUGGUAUAAUGAGCAAUGCAAUGAGGGAUAUUAUAAGGGGUAUCUUGUGAAGCCAAUCCAAUUCUGAUGUUUGCAGAACCUGAGAAAAUAACAUAAAGUCACCAUUUUUAAGUACAUAAUGUUGAUUUUAUUUAAACUUAGAGCUAAAAUGAUUAAAAGAGCAUAAGAUAAAAAAUGGGUAAUGCGCAAAAUUGGAUUUUUUUGCAUACCUGGGUUGAUAACAACGAGAUUGGAACCACGGUCUGACAUAAUCUGUGAAGGAAGCGCGGAUUUAAGGUAAUCCUGUGACAUAGAACACAUGAGAACAGAAUUGUUAAAUUCAAAGGGUUAGUUAAACAGAAUGAGAGAGAAAGUACCAUUGGAAAUUAGAGUUUGCAGAAUUUGAUGAUUUUUCCUCUUGUUCUUGUUCUUAGUGGAAGUUUUGAACUGAGAAAAGAGAGCACUUUCUCAUGUUCGUUUUUGAACUCCAAAAUACACUAAUUUCUUCUACUCAUUCUACUCUUUCUCUAUAUUUUUAGGACCAGGUUUUGAUGCUGUAGCAAAUGCAUGCAGUUUCACACAGUUUUUGAUCUUAAUCGUCUAUUUAAUAUUAAACGGUUGAGAUUGAAAACUGUGUCAUUUUUGUUAAAACAAUCUCGAUCAUACAGUUAUGAUCGGAUGUCUAUCAUUCAUUACAGCACUCUACUCUAACAGCAGAAAAUCUUGUUCCAUAUUUUUAUGUUCUGUUUCGUUGUAUUUAUAUUUGAGUAACGCUAACAACAUUCAGUUUUAAACUUAAUCUUUAAUACUCACACAAAAUAAUGAGACAUAUAUUAAUUUCAUAAAAUAUAAAUGUGGGUGGGUGUUGACAAAUAAAUGUUGUUAACGUUCCUCUUCAUAUUUUAUUUGUUUUUAAAUUUACAUUUAAAAAAAUUGUUAUGAGAAAAUUUGUAAAAUAAAACAUUCAACUAAUUUAAUACUAAAUAUUUGGUUUGCAAAUUUUCUAUAGUUUUGCUAUGGAUGUAGAUUUAAAGUUAAAUUUAAAAUAAAACUAAGUUUUUUAGGGGAAAAUAAAACUGGGUUGUAAAAGGUAAUUUUGUCCAUAGAAAAGUUCGACAAAAUAGUUAGUUAACUGAUGGUUUUUUUUUACAAAGAUUAACUCUAAAGUUUUUUUAUGCAAUGAUAUAUAAAAUUUAUUUAUUAGUAUUUUAUAGGUUAAUUUAGCAUCUGAUUUCAACUCCAUCCGUGUAUUCGGUCAUUAAUGAACUUCAAUUAAAAGCAAAUCAAUUAGGAUGCAAGAGUAUCCACAAUGGAGACAUCCAUUUUUUGGUUACGAGUCUCACGCGUACACAUCACUCAUUUACAAUUUUUUAAUAGUAGUAUCUAAUAAGCAAUCAAUUCCUCCAUCCCAGAUCUCCCACGAAGUUCUUAAAUGGGACACACUAAUCAACUAUCAAUAAUUUUAUAUCACUACAUUUCAAUUUUUUAAUAUUAAAAGAGUGUGAUUCUCGUUUAAAGUUGGGGUCUUAUUUGGGGUAUUAAAUAAGACCCCGGGUCUUAUAAGACCCUGAAAAAGAUUCUCCCCAAUAGGAGUAUCUAAUAGGUACAGGAUCGUAAAUGUUCAAGACCCUUCUAUUGGAGAUGGUCUAAUAACACCAAAGUUUAAAGUUAACCAUCAAAUAAUUACCCUGAAUUUCGAAUUUUCAGAAGUCAUUCUCCCUGUAAAACCAAAAAUAAAAUAUCAAUCAGAUUAAAAAUUAAAAAUAUGGAACACGUACAACAUUUAUAUUUCAUAAACUUAUGUGGAACAGACAAAAUUUAGUCUGUCUUAAUUAAAUUCCAACCGAUAGAGUGAUAUGGUCCAAAAUGUGUGUUGAAGAGUAUUUACCUUAAUACAACAAAUACAACAAUCGUGUGUGUUGAAGAGUAUUAUCCCUUCGUUCAUCAAAUUACCACCAAGGAGCAUCAUAUUUUUAAUUCAAUUAACAAUAUAUGAUACAUUCUAGUGUACACCAACAAGUGUGUGUCAACCAAUGACUAAUAAUGAAUAUCAACGAGCAAAACACAACAUUAAUUCAAUGAUAAAUGUAAUAUAUGAAAAUUCUUCCUCAUUUUAAUCGGUAAAGAAUAAGUCAUAAGGUUAUUUUCACAACAAACAUUAUAGGAUUGAAGAGAUGAGAGAUUGCACAUUUCAUUUAUCUACUAUCAUUUCUAUCAACUAAUUACAAGCAGUUAUCAUGUUUAAAAAAACACAAGGAAUAACCAUUACAUUAGCAAAUGGAACAAAUACAUAAAAAAAAUAAAAAAAAAUAGGGCAAUAGUUGAUCAUAGUGAAAGAACUUACUGUGAACAGCUGGCAUAAGAGACAAAUGGGGGAUAACAAUUAGAUUAGCAAAUUGAUUGUGUGCAUAUAAAAAAUAGUACAUUGAUUGAUCGUAUUAAAAGUACUUACCAGAAACAUAUGACAAAAGAGAUACGAAGAGGAAGGAGAUUUAUCCCUUAAAUCGAGAUUCUUCAAAUCGAAAGUUCAAACAUUAAUUAUCAAAAACGAGAGGUCAUAGUUUAAAAUAUAAAAGGGGGGAGACUUUUGGUGGUUUAGAUUUUCACUACCCACUUAAAAGAAGUCAUGACACUUGACGAAAAAAAAAAAAGAAGUCAUGACAUGAGAAAAUUGAUUUUCGAGGAGAAAUUUUUCGAUAGAGAAGAAGAAAGGAGAUUAGGACAUAAUCGAUGGAGAAAAAAUCAACAAAGGAUGAACGAGGAGGAAAGAUAAUAACCUCGUGUAAAUUAGGGCACAAAAAUUAAACAAAACCUACAAUUUUAAUUAUAUAUUUUAACGCUAAUUUAUCCUAUCAUUUAUUUUUAUUAGAGAGAAAGAAAAAUCAUAGAGCCCGCAAUUUUUUUUCUAUCUUUUCAUUUUUUUCUCUACACUAAAUAAGGGAUAAUAUCAUUUUCUUUUAUCUUUAUCUCUCCACUCUUUUUUUUUAAGGAAGCUUUAUCUCUCCCCUCUUAUUUUUUUCUUCUUUCUUCUUUUCAUUAAGAGAGAUAAAACAAUAGACCCCACAUUUUUUUCUCCCUUCUCACAUUUUCUCUAAACCAAAUUGAGGAGAUUGAACUUUCUUUCGCAUUAUAAUCCAUUCCUUUAGUCAUAUGUUCCAAUCAGGGGCGAAUCCCUUCACAUAAACGGGGUAGCAAUGACUACCCCAAAUGAAAAAUAAAUCUUGCAUAAUUUGUAUAGUUUUGAAUGUAACUACACCAAUAAUAUAUUAUAUGAUUACUCCAAACAAUUUUGUUGUAUUAAAGUCGGACCAAUCAUAUUUUCACAUUCAUCUAACUUAAAUGACCAUAAAAACUAUUUGACCUAAAUUUUAUGAAAUGUCAAAGUUAAAUCUUACAAAAUUUAACUCGAUAGAUCCUAUUUCCAUCCGGUACUUUGACAAUGAUCUUUAGUGGACAAUAAUCUCUCACCAUUGUCAAAGAUAAUUCAUUUCAAAUAGGUGCAGUCGGGUCGGGUCGGGUCAUGUAAGAUAAUUAAUAGUGGGGAGUAUACGGUAACAUUCUGACUUUAAUUAAUUAAAAAAAGUUCAAAUGUAAUGUAACGAAAGUAACCAAAAAGAAAAACGCACACAAAGGUUCAAAUGUUCCUGUUCAACAACGUUGUUCUCUUCUCUGCUUUCAGAUCCAUUCUUGCUCAAACAUUGCUGGAAUCAAAGAUAACACCCACCUCACCUACUCAAUCUCAUUUCACUGGUAACAUUCUUCUAUGCUCGUUUCUAUUUUAAUUCGGUUUUCUGAAAUUGGGAAUUUGUUUUUAAUGAGUUAUUGUUAGAAAUUUCACACAUUAUGAUACAUAUUUUCUUCAAUUGAACUACAAAGGUUACUUUUUUUAGCAGAAACAUACAAGUUGCAUGCUGGGUGUUUGUUUUUAUUAUCAUACCUUGUGUUGUGUGCUGAUUAUGCACAAUGUGUUUUUUUUAGAUCAAUUCAAUGUGAUGGCUUUUUGUUAGGAUAUAGAAUAAAGAGGAAGAAUUUGAGUAGUUAUGAGCUGUUAGAACUUAGAACAGUUAAUUAGUUAGUUAGUUACUUAACUGGCUAGUUUGUCAUGUGAUUUAGAUUGGGUAGACAAUCAUUUUGGUCUCUAAACAUGUGAGACGUUGUCAUGUGAGACCCCUCAAUGUUACGAAAUUGCAGAUACAUCUCAAGAGAGUUAGUCAUUUUGGUCCUCAAAUGUGUUUUUUGCUAGUCAAUUUAGUUCAUAGAAUUACAAACAAAAGAGCCAAUUAAGGAUACAUUUGCAACUUUGAUACAUUCAAGGACUAUAAUGACAGUGUCUUACACAUUCCGGUACCAAAAUGGUUGUUUACCUGAUUUGGAUUUUGUGUAGUAGUUAUGUCAUGCUGUAUUAAUUCGAUCUCAACCAUCCGAUAUCAAAUUAACAGCUGAGAUCGUUUGAAGCUAAUUUUGAUAUUGUGAAAUAUAAGCUGUCAGAUCUCAGAUUAACGGUCAAGAUCGUUUACUACCGGAAACUGUGUGGAAUUGCUACUGCAGAGUGGAUGUUCAGCUUAUUAAUAGCUGUGUGCUAUUUCUGUUUGAAAUUUGGUUAUUGUUAGCAAGUCUUUAAAUAGCCCUCAACGGGGAGAGGGGAGAUAGAUCUGAGUAAUUGAGUUUUACGACCGAUUAAUCCAAUGUGAAAGGAGAGUGCUCCUUUGUACUUCUUUUUCUUCCCAUUUUGCUGUUGAAUAAAAAAUUCUAGUCUUUUUUUUUUUUUAAUCUUGAUUCUUUUGAUUACUCAAUGCUGUGUUGUUCUAACCGAUGUAGAUUCUGCAUUAUAGGUAUAUGUAGGGCCUCACUAUGAGUAGAGCAUUUUCAUCAAAGAAAACUUCAUAUUUGCCUCCGCCACCAACACCAACAACCGCAAUUGUAAAGGCCAAUUCAAACAAGAAGCAAAGUCCUCGAAGCCCUUUACAGGAUCUCAACCGAAUUUCCAGUAGUAGCAAUGGUAGUGAUGCUUCUUCAUCUGUCUCCACGGAAGUCCCAAAGGGUUGCCUCAGGUUCUUGGCCUCCUCUCAUUUCAAAACCCCUGUCAAUAGACCCAAAAGUAUCUCCAAAACACCAAAUUCAGCACCCCGUGGACUUGCAUUAAAACAAUCUAAGUCCAAUUCUAAUUCCUCAAAGGAGAAUCUUCCAAAGGGUAAUAAUGUUGGACUGCAAACUAAAACUCUUGUAUCUAAUAAAGCUAAGAAGAACCCUCCAUGCCUCUACCAAUGGCAGUCCGGUAAGAAAUCUAGUUCAAGGACUGGCCAAAAGUCGAAGCUUACUUCUACUUUGAAUGAACAUGGACAAAUUUCACCUGCAUUUCCAUCUACAUCCAAGGAGUUAAAGCAAAAGGAGGAUAUCGUUGGAGGGAUAAGUGAUAACGAUGUUGAGUCUACCCAUCUCAAAUCAUCUAACAGAGAUGGAAAUUCGACUCCCUCAAGUAAAAAAGUUUCUGAGUCGAAUUACGAGGAGGCGGAGGACAACCUUAACAGAAGUAUUAGUAAAACACCCCCAAUUCAUAGCUCUCUUUCCCCAGAGAUACAAGGUGGUUCUUCUUUGGACUCAACAACAACACCUGGUUGUUAUGCUGCAGGUUAUAUUGUUUCUGGUGUCACUGACAAAAGGAAAUGUAGGCCUAGAGGGAUUCUCACUGUAGAAGAGAACUAUUCAUGCUCUGCUAAAUCGGUUGCCGAUAGUAUUGAUGAUGGAGAAGACGAUGAUGACGAUGAGAAGAAAACAAUGGAUGUCAUUAAGGAAGAUAGCCCUUCAUUGUUGCCUUUGCCAACUGAAGCUUUAGUGCAUUGGCUUAGUUCUCCAACUAGAAAGGGAGAGAAAAUUCUGAAUCGGAAGUCUGAAAUUGGACUCGUAGAGUCCAUAACUCUUGGUUCCAGUACUUCACCAUCAUCCAGUUCAAAAAAAUUCUGGAAUUUAUGUGAUAGUUCUAAAACUGUUUGGAAUGCAAGUGAUAGCAGUGAUAUGUCUGGUACUGCUAAUGGUAUGAGGAGAAAAAUGAGUUCUUCAAUUUCUCCAGGUAGUCUUUCUGAAUUUCAAGUACCUUUUGAUUCCAUAUUGUUUUCUCCGAAAUCCUCACCCAAUUGUAAGGCAGACAGAUCAGAAAAUUUUAUUGAUGAGAACUCUCCAUUCUCGCUGAAUUCAAUUAGCAGUGGAAAUGUGAUUCAAACUCCACAGUCAGAUUGCAGUUCAGAUUUACAUGUUGGACUAUCACUGGCGCACAUAGAUAAUCAAAGGAAAGAUAAUUUUAACCCUGACUUUAAUUCAUUCAGUGAUGUUCUUCAAUCAGAAAACAUCCUUCUCAAUAGUUCUUUGCCACUGGAGGAUUCAGUUAAUUCAAGUUUCCAAUUUGAUUGUUUAACUAUGCCUUAUGAAUCAAUUGAUCUCAGCAAACUUCCAAAAAAAUUGGAUGCUCGGGAUCCUCCUUGGUUAUCUAGUUCUACAAUAGAGGAUGGAUCACAAUCUCAAAUGAGGAUAUCUUGGAGGGAAGGGUUAAUGAACCAAGUUAAUGAGGUAGAUGAGUUUGACUCUUGUAGAUGUCUGUCAGAUGAAGAUCUCUCCGAUGACAACGACUGUGGUAGCAAUAGGGUAUCAGGUACUCUAGUUAAUAUUGAAGUAGAUGACAUCAAAAAACCAAACUAUGAUGUGGGACUCACUGAAACUGAAGAUAAGGAAUUGGAAACAGAUGGGAUUGGCAAUGAAAUGUUUUCUGGUGCCGAGUCCAUAAGCACCGAUUAAGGCGGUUUAGUUGCUAUUUGAACAAGUUAUUUGAAGUGUGAAAUUUAAAUAGGAAGAAGGAAGAAUCUACUUAGAGGAAGCAAUUUUUUUUCUUCUUGUUUUCAAUAUUGGAAUAAUUUACUGCUCAAGUGGUUGAUCAGGUCAAUAAUGGUAACUCAGUUGAGCAAUUUGUUCUUCCUGAACUACAAAUAUUUUUAUUGACAGUCUCUUUUCAUUUGUAAUUUUCUCCCCAUAGUUUUCCAUCAUUGUUUUUAGUGAAAUUUGUUUUCAUUCUUCUACCGGUUAACCUACAUGGAAGCCAUUUAUAAAAUAUUUAUGUUAUCAGUAUGGCUUUGGACAGAGUCUCUAAGUUGUUAAUUGGCCACAGGCAAUUACAAAUAGUAGCUAAUGUCGAUAACUUCAACUAAUCUUUUUUGAGAUAUAAUAUAAAAAUUGGUAGAGAUUACAUACUGAUGCAUAAGCUUGUGUUAAGUAGUUGAAGAGGCUCAAUGACAAUGUUUCAAAAGCAAUCCACAGGAGGCUAGUGAGUGUACCAAAAUAGUUUAUAUUAGUCCUCUAAAAAAGGGGUUUAAUUUCAUGAUCAAAUGUAAAUUAACCAUAAAGUCGAAGAGUAAGAUGCAAAUUGAUGUUACAUGUGACUUCGAGUCUUCAAUUAAUCAUUUACAUUAUUCCAGAUCAACAAUUUCCAUUACCAAGUCCCCCCUUUCAUUCAUAGAGAAGAAAUGACUUUUUAUUUUUAUUUUAGCUUGGAAAACAUAAGAAAAAUUGGUUGAACCAACUCCGAUGGAAUUGAUUUGAGCUACGAGUCAGGGUCUUAAGUUCAAACUCGAACGAAGGAGAAAAAAAUUAAUAUAACUACUAAUUACUAACAUUUGUCGUUCAAAUAAAAAAGUGACUCUCAUUUCACAUCAGCCUUUUACUAAUCUCACUCCACAAUGCAAAUUCUGCUUUAAAUUCGCGAUGUUAUAAAUUGAAGUAAUGUGUUGAAGAGGAAAUUGACAGAUAGAGAACCUCAAUUUCUCAAAGAAAUAAAAACUCUAUUACUAAUGUUGAGUGUAUAAAAGUCUAAUUAUACACAAUACUUCACCAUUACUAGAAUAUAGACGUUUAGACACCAAAAUCCUUGAAUUCUUUCGAAAAAUAAAGACAAAUCGUACUAAUAGCUAGAUACAAAUAUGUACCAUGAAUAUCCAUUUUUCCCAAACACACUAAACCUUCCAUAAUUGAAGCUGCAGUAGCAUCAGGUUCAUGACCGAAUGCUCAUGUAUAUGUUGACCUUACUUAAGCCUGCACGACGUGAUGAUAUUUGAGAAAGUAAGGUCUCCAAACUCGCCAAAAGUUUUGAUCUCGGUAGGACAUCAGAAGCAUAUAUUUCUACCGAUUUAUUAUAUAAUACCCCGGACAUCAUAUAAUAUUUGAUUUAACUGGAAUAGCUAAUAUAAAACAAAUCGAACUGGAUUUAACAUUGCACGGUUAGCAAACAAAUCUAAUCAAAUCUUUUGUUGAUAACUAUUCUUAGCCGCAAGUACAACAGAAUUGUAAACGAAAGCUCAAGCACAACCAAUCCAUAAUCAAAUUGUGCCAAUUAACAAAAACAACUAUUCCAAAACAUAGCAACACAACAAUUUGACAACCUGUUCUUAGUAAACAGACACAUCUUUCUAAUUUCUAGACUGCUUUUGCUUUUGGGGUUUUCUUCCUCAACUGUUUUCUGGGAAUUGAGUUCUUCAUCCCUAUGAAAAAUAGCAGUGCACCAAAAAGUGCUGCGUUCUGCAACCAAAAGUUAACGCAUUAUUAAAUUGUAUUAGAGAUAAACCAUCAGCCAGAAACACAGGAAAUAGCAAGAGUUUGCAUACCUGAAUGAACUCAUUUAGCAACAAACCGUAUUCGGGCUUAGUAGGUCUAUAGUUGUAGAAAUCAUACAGAAUAGGGGUAGUAAGCGCCAAAUGUGAAAGCUACAAAAAUAAAGAGGAAAAACUCAGUUUAUAAUACAACAUUUUAGGACUAGAAGAAUAUCAAAAUAUGAAAAGUGUAUUUGAAAAAUGCCAAUAUCUAUGUCUAUUCAUUCUUAAGCUAACAGAGGAAGCAUUUACCAAGAGAAAGGAUCCAAAUGUGCUGCCAAACACAAACAGAAUUCCUCCAACUCCCUUGAGAAAUAUGAUAGUGGCAACGAAUUGACGAACCUGUAUGAAACAUUUCAAUCAGAAAGACAAUCAAGAAAAAAUUGAGUUCAUUCUGAAAAAACCAUAACAUAUAGGAGAAGAAACAAUAAUCUUACAUAAGUUGCGUUAAAAUCUGGUAUCGCUACCCCCAAUUUGGAGGAUAAAUUUUUCCUUACAACCGUGAGCUUGGGAAUCAACUCCUUUGAAAAGGGUCCACCAGUGGCAUCAAAUUCAUUAAACCUAGCAAUACCGUAAAUUACAUAUAAAUAAGAAAGUACCAAAUGUGUCUUCAAUAAUAUUAUUAGAAAAUAAAAAAUGUAUACGAUAUACAGGCAAAGCACAUUCAUAAACAUCAACCCUGCAAUUCACUUCUAAGCAAGAUAUGAAGUAAAGUAAUAACCUUAACUGCAGAAAAAGCUGCAGCUUACAACAAAAAUACAUUCCAAGUAACAAGUCUCCAAGACAUUAUAUCAUAGCAAUAAAAUUUAGUACUAGACACACAAUCUCUGCACAAAUGCAUACGGAUCUAUUUGAAUUGACUUACUUGAGCUUAUCUACUAGCAUAAGUACUUGUGAGACUUUAGGGAGAGUUCAUGGAAACAAUUUAUAACAUGUUCAUAAAUUGUUUUCAGCUUGUUUCCAUAAGCUCUCCAGGGUAUUACUUUAACCCUAACAAAUCUAUGUAACAACUACCAUUGGAAAACAAACUCGACGGUCUUCUAUUCCGCCAGAUUUCAAAACACAGCUAAACUUCUAUUAAAUGCAAACUUGAAAAUCCUCAAUGAAUUGAAGAAAACAACUUAAAAGGAACAACAAUGAAACCCAUUAUGAACUAACAAGCAACUUAAAAUUUCAAGAUUUCAUUGGUUAAUAAUUUUAAAUUGCUAUUGCAUACCAAUAUCUAUGCUAAUGAUAACACAACAUUGCAAUCCCAACAAGUAAAGCAUAAUUUAAAACAUAAUGAAUCAAUAAUUCACAUAAAAACCACAAAGCAUAAACAAGAACUCUCCUUUUCCUAAAUCAUCACUAAUAAACAAGUAAGAUUUGUGGGAUCCAAAACCCAAAUCUGGUGAAAACCCAGAUGCAGAAAAACUAAAAUAUAACGGAAAAAAGAUAAAAGGAGCAAUUUUGAAAAGAUUGGAUCUAGAGAGAGAGAGAGAACUGACAUCUGCCAUGCGGAGAGGAUGAAGAGGGAAGCAAAGAGAACACGACCCAUGAAGGAGAAGAACCCCAUUUUUGUUUUCUCUCUCAAGCUCUCGGUCACUGUGUUGCUGGAGAGAGAGAGAGUGUGAGAGUCAGAGAGAGAGAGAGAGAAGAAAAUAUGAAGAGUCGCAGUGUUGUGUUGCACGACACUCUCCUUAAUCUGACCAAUGGGAAGGAACCAAAUUAUGUUUGUUUUUUUCUUGAGAAUCAAAUUAUGUGUUUUUUUAUUAAAAGAAUUAGAUGAGAUAGUAAUAGUAAUUUUUAUAUUUUAGGGUAAUAUAUGGAUAUGAUUUUUUUUUUCUAAACUGGUAUCCAACUAUUUUAGUAAAAUUGUAAAGAGUUUUUUCAAAAAAAGAAAAAAAUAGAUGUGGUAUUUUAUUUGAUAUUGGGGGGUCAACUUUAGACCAAUUUUUUCAAUCCUUAUUAAGGAGAUUUUUUAAUUUUAUUGGAAUUUUUUAAUUUUUAAGGGAAUUGAAUAAAAUUUAUGCUAUAGUUUUACGUUUGGAAUAUAUAUAAUUUUUUUAAGGGAAUUUGUAAUUUUAUUUGAUUUUUUUUAAUUUUUUAUUAAAUCUUUUAAUUAUUUUAUUAACCUUCCGAUUCCUAAUGGGAAAAGACUCUAAUGAUUGAAAGUUUAAAUCAAAUGUAUGUAAAUUACGAUCAAGAAUAAACUCUAUCAUAAAUUAAACUCGAUUUUUUUGAACGAUCUAUCUCAGGAGGUCAUUCGAGUCCAAUCACUUAAUUGAAUAUUUUAAAUUUUAAGGCAAUUGAAUAAAUAUUAUGUUAUAGUCUCCCUAAAAAAAAUUAUGUUAUAGUUUUAUGUUUGG